UUUUUUUUUUUUUUUUUUUAUCAAAACAUAAAGGUGCACAAUUGAUAGUUUAAACUUUAAUGUUUGUAGGUUGGUUUAAGUUAACAAAUUAAAAGGUGUAAAUUAACUCAUUGGUGGUAGUGUCUUCAUUGGAAUCUAAACUUGCAUUCUAUGUCUUGUGAAGUUGAAAUGUUUACCGCUCAACCAACCCUUAAUGUUUAACCGUAUGUUAAAUUUUCGAUUUUGGGUAUGUUUACAUUAGGGGAUUGAAAUCAAAUGGAGGGGGACAAAACAAAAUAAAAUAGAGCAGAACGUAACAAAUGUCUCAUUUGAUUGUUUGAGUAUUUUAUGAAGUUGUUUGGAAAAUAAAUGAAAUAAAAAUGGAUCACAAAAUUAAAGUGCUGGUUUAUUCUAUUUGGUAUCACAUAGUAUGAUGAAAAGGUAAAUUGUUGUAAACAAUGGAAUUAGAUGAAUAUGUCAUCAUGGCACCCAUAACUUUUGAAAAUAUCCAAACAAAUGUAUGUCUUAGCAUUCCAUUCUAUUCAACUUCAUUCUAUUGCAUACCAUCAAUCUAAACUUACGUUAUGAACUACAAAAUAUUAUUGGAUGAAGUUUUCACGUAUACUCCUUUUGAUACAAUUAUGUUUGAGGCUACUCAAAAAAAAAAAAAAAACAAGAAGAGUAAGGCCAAAAGGAUUUAUUUUUCAUUGGAACUAUGAGCCUCCCACUACUAAGUGCAAAAUAUAGACGUAAAUCAUUUUUUAUAGAUUAAUUAAGUUUUUGGUCCAUAUAAAUAUCUGCAUUUUUGUUUUUAGUCCCUAUAAAAAUAAAUCACACUUUUUAGUCCUUAUAAAAUUUUCCGUUAGUGUUUUUAGUCUAUGUUAAAUUAAAAUUUGUUUAAUUAUGCUUAAAAUUUUAAAUUUUUUAAUGAUUUUUUACAUACUUGUUUAAAACAUUAUAAAAGAUUCCGCCACAAUAAAUUAGUUCAAAAUUUUAUUUUUAGGUCCAAAUUUUCGUUAGUUUUAUCUUGAAAUUUUGGCGUUUUAAAAAAAUUAUAUUUAAUUCAUUACAUGUUAAAAAAUUCUUAUUUUUUAUAAAAGAGAUUAUUAUAAUGUUCUUAACAUGUCUGUUAAAAAUCAUUUAAAAAUAUAAAAGUUUAAGUAUAAUUAAACAAAUUUCAAUUUAAUAGAGACCAAAACAUACUUUUAGUCCUUGUAAAAUUAAAAUUUGCAUAAUUGUGCUUAAACUUUUAAAUUUGUAACAUAUUUUUCACAUACUUACAUAGAAUAUUAUACAAAGUUUUUCCGCAAAAAAGUAACUUAAAAUUUUAUUAUUAGGUCCAAAUUUUCAUUAAUAUAAUCUUGAAAAUUUGGUUUUUAGAAAAAUUCAUAUUUAAUUCAUUACAUAUUAAAAAACUAAAUUUUUUUAUAAAAGAGUGUCUUACGAUGUUAUGAACAUGUAUGUAAAAAAUCUGUCAAAAAUUUAGAAGUUUAAGCAUAAUUAAACAAAUUUUAAUUUAACAGGGACUAAAAACACUAACAGAAAAUUUUGUAGGGACUAAAAAGUGUGAUUUAUUUUUAUAGAGACUAAAAACAAAACUGCAGAUAUUUAUAGGGACCAAAAACAUAAUUAACCCUUUUUUAUAUGGACAUUGUUAGGCUUAAUUAUUUUGUAGGUCUAUGAAUUAUAUGAUAAUUUUUUAAUAAGUUCAUGAACUAAGAAAAAAUUCUAAUUGAAUAUUUGAAUUUGUCAAAAAUGUUUAACUAGACCCUUUCUUUUAAUUAAGUCCCUGAUCCAAGUCCUAAAUUUACAAAACAAAGGAGGUUAAUUUUUAUGAGCUUACAUCUCCUAUUCAAUAUUUGAGAAAAGUUAUUAAGUCAAAUAUUUAAAAGAAGAAAGAUCAUUAAAAAAUGUUGACACAUGUCACAUCAACGAUUUUGUAUAGUCAUAAUCUACCAAGUACUAAAAGUGAAAGAAUCUUAGAUGAGUGUGAUUAAAGAUAAAACAAUUGCAAGAACUAAAACUAGAUUUAACUCAUGUUAUAAGGAUUCGAAGCACGAUUAACCCAAAAAUCUCAACCUUUGAGCCACCUCUCUCAAUUUUCUCUCUUCCUUCUUUGUCAUCCAAUUGAGGUCGGGGUGUUGUUUGCCUGGAAUAGAUUGUUUUUCCCCCCUCCUUAACUAAAUAGGUGGGCUUCACAUGGUUAUGAUUUCGUCGUUUGAAUGCAGUGUUUUUAUUCAUCGUCGUACUAUAGCUUGUUUGAUUUUCCGUCUUAUUGUGGUGUUUGUUUGGUUUAGAUUGACAUAUUUAAAUUAAUGAUUUGUACGUCAACUUUACGGAUUAAAAAAUAUAAGUAUGUAUGUAUUUUGUCGAUUAUGCUACUAAGUAGAGUGUUGUGAGUUUCUCUGUAGUUUCGUUUUUUUUCUUCAAUUUUAGCAAUGUUAAAUCAUUGUUGUUUUCGAUUUAUUCUACUGAUUUAAAUGAAUCAAUGCCUUCUUUAGUAAAAAAUAUGGAAUACAAUUUACAUAUACUAAACAAUUGAUAAAUCAUACCUGAAAUACAAAAAAUGGAAAGUAGAAUAUUAUGCAACUAUAAACUAGCUAUGUAGGGCACCCUCCAACAACCAAUUAAUUUCAUAUUGACCUUAGUAACAUCUUCUCAGAUUCCAGGUGAGGUGAGUGAGUUAUUCAUAUACUUUAUCUUUUUAUUUUUUAUUUUUUAUUUUUUUAUAUAACAAUAGCAUUAUAUUAUCAAAGAAAUAAAAGAAAGACUUUCAGCUUGAUCAAGUGGUGCAAGCAUAACGUCUAAAGAUUCCUAACACUAAACUCAUAACCCAAAGUACUGAAAUUGACCAACUCCGUAACCACUACUCUUCAGAUAUUGUUCUGCUACUCCCACUGUUACAUCAUCUUCAUGCAACCGCAAUUCUUCCAUCUACAUCAAAGCCACAUAAGAAUCAAAACCCUUUCAACUCAAUCAAUAGUCAUUAUAUAAUGUGAUCUUCAUAAUGUCACUGUUAUAACUGAAAAGCACUUGUGCAAAUUGUGUCAUUAGAAGAUUAUAAUAUGUAUUUAUUUCUGUCAUUUUCCAGCUUGUCAAAAGAAUAAAUUUACUAAAGCAAAUUUACAUUAUACAGAAGAUUAAAAUAUUAAAUAACAUAAGAUUUUUUUUUUUUUAAAGAAAUUAAAUAACAUAAGAUUUACUUGUACAAACUAUGGUGUGACACAUUUAACCGAAUGUGCAAUCCUUACAUGCUUACAAUUUCAAAGACGUUUGCUCUCACAUUGAUGUUGAAAAUGAAGAAAGCAACAAAAUGAAUUAGUAAUAUUUACCCAGAAAUCGACUUCGUCUUCAUCUCUGAUUAAACAUGGAGCCUUAGGAAUCUCUGUGGGCUCGUCAUUGCGUGCAAACCUGCCACGUACGCGUGGUCGAUUGUCUGCUAGUGUCUUUCGACAUGCAUACUAUAAAAACAACACAUUCAGACUCUUCUCUUUCUAAUCAAACUUUGUUAAUUAUAGUAUAGUAUAGUAUAGUAUAAAUUCUCUAAUGAUCUUGAUUACCUUAAUGGUCUUGUUGAAGUUCCUCUGUGUUCUCUUAGCUCUGUACUUGGAAAUUUUUUCUUUUCUUUCUUCCGCACUAUAACGACCUACUUUGAAAUUUUGUUCCUCUUGCAAAUUCCCCUCUGUUGGAGACAUAUUAUUUUCUUUCAUGUUCUGUUUCAAAGACUAAACAAACUUCAAUAAAAUCAACUUUGGAAAAAUGAAGAAAAAAAAAUGAUUAGUAAUUUUUUUUUUAACAGAUUUACCUGCAAAUCACCUGUGCUACAAACCCUUCUCAAACUAUUUUCAGGAGAGCUUAAAUCAUGCCUUUGAAAUUUUGAUGAAUCAACGAGAUUAUCAUGGUGAGUUUGGAAUAGAAAACUAGGCUUCUUUUCGAAAGAGUUACUGCUGAAGCUUCUUUGCAUGUACUUUGAUACAUUCUCAUCACCACUGUAACUAUGAGGAAGGAAUUGAUUAUUAUUAGUAUUAGUAUUGUAGUUAUAAUAAUCAAUACUUAUUUGUGAUUCCUCGUUUUUAACUUGGGAAAAAUCAAAAGCUGAGAAACUUUCAUUACAAAGAGGCUGCACUGUAGUGUGGUUUUGAUCAGUUGGAGGAGAGAAAGAGAAAAAAGAAGGUGAAAAAGGGUCUAGAGAAGGAAGAAGAGGUUCAUCAAAUGGGUUUGAAUUUUGUUGAGAAGUUACUUCAUUAGUACUGUGAUGAGAAUUGGUGAAAAAAGGGAAAGAGUCUGAGAAAAAUGGAAGGUCUCCACUUCCAUCAUUUGAAGAGACUAUUUCUGAGGUUGAAUGUGUGUGGAAAGUUGUGGUGCCGAAUGAAUAUAGUUCCGAAGACAUAGAAUCAAAAAAUUCUAUUGAAUUGAACUCCUUUUUAAUGUGAAUCAGUAUCCAGCCUUUGCGCACGACUGCAGAGACUAAUUCCUCGAACCGGAUAGGAUCACAAAGGAUCAAAUCUCUCCCUCUGAGUAUUUUCUUUGUGAAGCUACACUUUGGACUGAAUGAUGGUAAUCCUUGUUGAACAAGGAGACAAAAGUGGUACUUUUGUGUGUCUGUGUUUUUUAUGGUGACGUUGCCAAAACCACAGAUUGAGACUUGAGAUUUGAGACCAGUCCAUCACAGCUUGAGUUUUUGCUGUGAUUUAUAACAAUUCAUUCUUGCCAAUUUGCCAUUUUGUCCCUUUCUUUUUUAUAUUCUCUAAAGUUACCUGGUGGGACCUUUUUUAAUUUUAAAUUUAGUAAGAACUGUAUCAUGUCAUCUUGCAUUUUAUGACUUGUGUAAUUGAUUAAUACUUGGUCCAACCUUUUUUUUAAUUGAUGUGUAUUGGGCCAAACUGCAUUCUAAUGGGAACUUGCAGCAUGCUAUUCACUUAAAUCAAGACAUCUAGGGUUGGGUUAGGUCAUGACCAUGAGAAUAACUUAAAAUUGGAGGACAACUGCAUUAGACUAAUAGGACUCAUUUACCUACACUUUUGUCUAAAAGUUUAAGACAGUAAAUUUAUGAGUAAUUUUAUUUAUAUAUCGUUGAGCGCUUGUAUUUUCAUCUAAUGUGAGAUUAUUUUACUCACAUUUGAUAUAUCAACCAACCACUAGUAACAUUAUGUUACAUGUCAGUCUUUGAGUAUUAAUUGUUGCUAGGAUUCAACUUAGUGUCGUGUUGAUGUCAAUGUUGAAUGUAGUGACUGUAUUGCUAAUUAUAUAUACUACAUGUUAGAGCAUUUGGCUGAAAAUAUUGAUGACUCGGUGAAGACCGCACUAGAGAUGGUCAAUGAAGUUGCAAUGAAGCCUGUGAGGAAUAACAUAGCACACUUGCUAAAUUUAUGGAUUUGAUUGGUUAGUGCAAUAGUGCAACUUUUGCUACUUUCUCAUACCAAGUUUUCAUACGUUUCAAACAAUGAGAUCUUAGGGGAUGUUCCAUGGUUCACGAGUACGGUCAACUUAUAUUCAAGACCUAGUAGGAUGAUGCAAUGUUACUAAGCUUUUGAGGUUUUCCUAACCAAAAACAUUUACGCCAUGAUUGUUGUGGUGAUUAUGAUCCUCUCUAACUUCAAAAAAGAAAAAAUCAUGAUCCUCUCUCAUGCUGAAAAAAAUGUGAGAAAAAAAUGUGGAAUAUCUAGAUGAUUGAAAUAUAGAGGGGAAGGUUUUGAAAUUUGAAAUAAUAAAGGAGAAACACUAGUUAAGGAUUGAGAUUUUGAAACUUUUUUGUUGGCCAAAAGGUUGAGAUUUGAAACUUGAGAAAAUAGGAGGAGAAAUAGCGACGAUUCACUUCUUGUUGUUGGGCACAAAUGGAGUGAUGGUAAUUUUUUUGCUUACCUAGUUAAUUUAUUUGAUAUCAUCAUAAUUUUGUUUGAGAAGAUAUUAUCAUCAUCAUCAUUGUAUACCUAGCAACGGAUGCGGGGUGAUUUGGAUCUGAUCAAAGCUUUGUUAAGGAACAAGGUAGAGAAGAAUUUUAUUAAAAAAAAAGGUAGAGAAGAAUUUCAACAUAUAGUGUUUCUUUUGAUCCUAUCUUCACUUUUUGGAGUAUUUAUCAUGCUCGAAAGGUUCAUGACCUUGUUAACGUUGUAAUUAGUUAAAUAUAUUUUAUCAAAGAAAAAAAAAACUCAAACGUUAACUAUUAUCGAUAACUUGUAACCAAAAAAAAACUAUUAUGAUAAUUUUGAUCGAAUAUUCUUUGGACAAAUUUACAAUCGACAUCAUACUUUAUUUCUUUUGUAAAAAAAAAAAAAAAAAAACUUUAUUUCUUGCAAAUUGGGUCAAGAAUUGACAAUAUACUUUUUAUUUAUGUAAAAGAAAACAUUUUUUAUUUAUAUUUAUUGUUGAACUUAAAAGUUAAACAGACUAUCGAUUAACAUUCAGCUGUAAUUUUGUUUGUGCUUCCAACGAUUACGUUGUGGAAUAAAUUAUGUUUUUCGACAUAAGUUUUUUAAAUUGUUUAAAGAGUGUCAAUUGUAUAUUUGGAGCUACUUAACUAAGAAAUGCAUGAAUGAAAAGUAAAGCAGAACGAAAACGAUUGUGUUUUUUGAAAAUUAUACAAUUGUGGUAUUUGUAGGUAAAUGUUGAUCCUACUGGUCAAAACAUUGCGACUACAUAAUUUAUUCUUUCUCGACUAUUUGUACAAGUAGUGUGAUCCUUUUUAUUGCUAGAAUAUAUGGCGCCCUAUUUUUGACUUGGUCUUCCCUCUUUCACGAUGAUUUUUGUUUCCUUAUCCCAUAUGUACAUUUCAUCAUUAGAAAGCACCUCUGUGUUAGAGAGUGGUGUUAUAAACAUGAAAUAUGAGUAAAAUUAUAGGUUGUCAAGUUCCAUCGAAAUUGAUUAGUUGUUUAUACGUACCCAAAGCCUUGAUGGAUCUCUACUUGAGAAAAAAAUUGAUUAUUUUGUAUUCAACUAUUUGCUUUGGUCUAACCUUUAAUUUACUCGCUCUAAAUUCAAUUGUUUACCAUUUUUUUUUUUAGGUAGCUUAAUGGUCUGAGAUUCGAACCCCAACCCCUUACAUAUAAUAAUGCAUUGUCCUACCAACUGAGCUAUGCUCACGGGACAACAUCUUUUUCUUUUAGGCGUAAACAAAAUGUAAAUUAAAUCAAAUUAUUAAUAUUUUGAUAAAAAAAAAUCCACAAUGCAUGCCUAACAAACUAAACUACUCCCACUUGGUAAACGUUGGGAUAAUCGAUAAGCAAGAAUUAAGAUGAGCCUACCCUACGAUGCGUGGUUUGUAAGAGUGAGUCAGGUCAGCUAUGGUAUGAAUGAACUAUUGUAACUGCCAGGAAGCCAAGUGAAAAGGUCGAAAAACCAGCCAAUAAAGACUUUGCCUUAUUCAAAAUUCCAUUUGAUUUUCUAAAACCCACCCCCACCCCCACCCACGCGUUUUCUCUCUCUCUCUACACCGUAAUUCAUUCCUUCAAUUGAUUGAAAGAACAAUUAAUUUGUUUCCUAUUUCGUUUUUUUUUUUUUCAUUUUCUAUAAAUUCAAAUACGCGUCUCUUUUCUCUCUCUCUCUCAGAUCUAUCUAUCUAUCUAGGGUUACUUCUCCUCCGGCAAAGAAAAAGAAGAAGAAGAAGAAAUGGCGAAUCAGCAGAAUCUUGAGAAAAUGCAACUCCGGCAGAAUUACCGGAAUCUAUGGCACACUGAUCUCAUGAGAACUAUCCAGGUCGAUACUCCAUGUAAGCAAGCAAACACACUUUCAUCACUCUUAUUAUUAUUAUCAUUAUUUCAUUUUCCAUUUCUCUUAUCUAAUUACUCAAUUCUCCUCCGCGCAGAUUGCUGCUUAUCUUUGUGGUGGUAUGUCAUCCAAAACACUCUCUUCAGAUCUCAUCAUCAUUUAUUUUCACUCUCUAAUUUUUGUUAUUUUAGAUCUUGAAUUGCAUAUACGUUGACUUGCAUUGACUAUUCAAAUUACUCUAAUUACUGUUUGCUUUAUGGAAUCUCCGUACUCUGUUGAUUAUAGUUAUUAUUUCUUAGCUCCAACUCCUCUUAUAUGGUGUCAGUCAGGUGUUGUCAGAGACUUCCAAUACUGACAUACUAUGUGAUUAUAUUCAAAUAGUUCAUUUUCUCAAAUUAUUAUCGGUUUCAUCGGUGCUUCAUAUGUUAUUAUUAUUUGCUUAAUACACAUUGAGCAAUUUUUUGAUGGCCUGUAUUUAUGUUGAUUGUUACUUAUGAUUUAGUUGACAAUUUGUAAUGUAUAUUUAUGCUCAUCACCAGUUGAUCAAGCUGAAUAAUUUAUUCUUUUUCAACUUUAUUUGAUCAUAAUGUGCUUUCUGUCGCACCUUGAGCUUAUCAGCCUUCUCAGUCAUGCGAUAGUCAGGGUUAUUGAAAAAAGUAUGUUCCUUGAAUUUAGAUGAUCAUUCAGACUUAAUUCGAUAGUACACUGCGUCUGUUUGGUGUUUUGAGCUAGUUUCCAUUUCCAAGUAUCUCUUUGUACUUUGUUUAAAGAAUUCAUCCAAGACCCGAUUCAUUACUUGGUGAUUAGUACUUUUUAGCUCCAAUGCACUUUCAGUUGAUUGCAAUUUUACUCCUCCUUAAAAGGAGGCAUAAAUGUAAUCUAUUACUUAUUUUCCUAAUAGUAAUUUAAAUUUCUGUUGUCUCAUUAUAGUGCGCCAUGUGUAUCAUACUUGCUUCGCAAACGAGCCCUUUAUGAUGAUAUGUCAAGGUAAUUGGUGCUGUUUCUGCUUUUCCAAACUUCCAAAAUGAAUAUCAGUUUGGUUGUGUGAUAUAUAUUUAUCUUGUUUGUUCCAGAUACACAUGCUGUGCUGGUUACAUGCCCUGCAGUGGUAGGUGUGGAGAAAGUAAAUGUCCUGAAUUUUGCCUUUGUACUGAGGUAUAUAAACUUUUUACUUGUUUUCCUUAUUUUUUUUACAUACCUGAUAUCUGCAAAUGCUGCCAUGGGUGUUCUUCAAGGUCGACUUUCCCUCUGGCUCUUUUAGUCAGAGUAGGUUGGGGUUAUGAAAGUAUGAAGCCGUAGACAUUGCAUGAUUUAAGCCCAUGCAUAUAAUGUGGAAAUAAUAGUCAAAGACAUAUAAUAUGACCAGGGCAGGAAGUAAUAGAGAAAGAAAAUACAUGUAUAUAGGGUUGUGGUUAGUCUAGUAAAUUGUUUCAAAUUUACAAUAUUAAGCUUGUUGCUGCUGUUUUUAUUGUUGUAUUUGGGAUAGUGAAUGUGAAAAACAACAACAAUCAAACCUCACCUCACUAGGUGGGUUGGCCACAUGAAUCAAAUAUUGCCAUAAUGGUCUAUCAUAGAUCAUGUCUUUUUCCAAACACUGACCUCUAAGUCUUGAUAGUUUCUUCUAUAUAGUCGGACUUUCACCUCUUAUGAAUAAGAGUGAUCUACGUGUUAUGGCUUUGAGGUAUUGCAGAAUACAACAAACUCACCCUCGUGAUGUAACGAGAGAUUAAAACACUCCUAGUGUUAAUCUCUGCCACAAUCCCAAAUACUUCCAAUUUUUAUCGGUGCCAUACGAUUGAGUGUAUCGGUCAAAUGUGUCAUCUGAUUUAUGCUUGACCGUUUAAAUCCACCUCUCAUCUAUCUCCUUUCCUUUCAAGGUCGUUUAUUUCCUCAUUUAUAGCCUUACCUCUGAUUUAUGUUGCCUAACUGGCCUUAUUUUUCACACUCCCCAACCUUUUCUCUUCAAUAUAGAUAAAAUUGUCAAUAUUCUGUGAUUGGUGACCCAAUGGGACUAUCAAUUGGUCUGUUCCUGGUGCACCAGCAUCAGAAUGUGGUGGGAUCGUGAUCGAAUCUCCCGCGAUUUGAGUCUCAGUUUUUGCCACAUCCAAUUUCCGCUUUGCCUCCACAACAUAUGUACCAUUGUAUGGUUCUUGUUGAUGCCAUGUUCAGUUUUAGAUACGCCAGUUUGGAGGAUGGUGCAAAGCUGGACCAGCAUACUCGGUGACCAAAUAUCGGUCCCAUCAUAACCACAAUUCAACUUGUCGUCAUUCCUCAUCUUUAUUUAAAGAACAUGAUUGCUGCUCCCUUUCUCCUCCUUGGUCGUUACAUAGGGUGUGUUUGUUUCAAGUUAUAAUUGUUAAUUCCCGGGAAUAAAAUGGUAGGAAUGUAUAUGCCUACGUUUGUUACAAGUUUACUAAAUUUUAUUCCCGGGUAUAAAAUGUUCCUUGGAAUAGAAAAAAUUUCCCGAGGAAAAGGGUGGGAAUAAAGUUCCUAUGGAGAUAGAAUAAAUUCAUAAAUAGUUUACCUAUUAUAAUCCCUAUUUUUAUGGUUUCUAGGAAUAUUAUAAAGCUAACCAAACAUAUUUUUCCUAAAUUCCUUGGAAUAAAUUUGGUAAACUUGAAACAAACACACCCAUAGUUCCUCUUCAGCUUUUCCAUUGAGUGUUCUAAAGUCCCGGUCUGUGAUUCAAUCUCUGUUCUGACUUGUUUCAAGGAAAUCAACUUGUCAAACAUAUUGCUAAAUCUGUCUGUUCUACACCAAUACUUGGACAAUGGACACACGCUCCAUACUUAACACCAAAUACUUGGACAAUGGACACACGCUCCAUACUUAACACCAAUACUUGAACAAUGGACACUCACUCCAUACUCAUAAAUGCCCACUGUUAAUAUGGUAGAUUUUUAACAACCGCCAUAGGCUAUUUGCGAAGGGUUGUCCGCCAUUGAGUUGCGGUACAAUAGGCUGCAAUGGUUUGUUUAUAUGGUAGAUUUUGAGACAUCUGCCAUCAACAACAUUGAUUGCAAUUUAUCAGGUAAUUGGAUUUUUGUUCUGCAAAGAACUUUUGCCUUUGACAACCCGCCCAAGAGGGUCAGUUCCCUUGAAGUCAGGCAGCUCGGCCUUCUUGGCCCACAUGUCCUCUAUCUCUGGUAUUACAAGCCCUCCCUUUGAAACCGGCUGGUCGGAUAAAUUGACAAAACCCGAAUUAAGAGAGAAGUGAAAAAUCGUAUUAUUGAUUGAAAAACUAUUACAGAAGAUUGAUCCGUGUAAUCCCAGAGCAAAGCUUCUCAAAGAAGAGAUAAAAAUCCCUAAACUGUGGGAAACUGUAGAUAAACUUGACCAAGAUUUAAUAUUUGAAAGGAAACCUGAGGUUUUAAGCUGGAUUUUGAGAAAGCUGGAGGAUCAUUUCUGUUGACAAUUGAUGAACAAGGUUUUAGAUAGAAAUACCGUUUGUUCAAGAUGGAGAAUGGAGAAUCUGGACCAUGGAGUUUCUUUUCACCGGUUUUUAUGUCAUUGUUGAUAAUGAACUAAAUUAUUUAUUUCAUGCUCAAAUGAGGGCGUAGGAUUGAAAAUACCCUUUCAGGUGGUGGAUAAGUAUGUUGUUGGUUUUCAUUUAUUAACCCGUUGUUCAACUAUAGUAUUUAACCUUUCUUUUCAUUUUAGGUUGUUGACUUGACUCAUCAUAGUUGAAAAGAUGAAAAUGUACUGAAAAUAUAGUUAAAGUGAAAGACGUCUCUAUUUGAAUAUAGUUGUAAAAGGGCCUCGGAGCUAUAAGUGAAACAAUUUUUUGGACUUCAUUUGGGGUCUGUUUGUAGGAAUUAGGAUUCCCUAACUGUGGGUCUCUACAUUUGGGGUGACUUUAGGCUAAAAUAGUAAAGAGAAAGUAGAAAAGUGUGGAGAAAUUUAGAGGGAAAUGAUGAAAGAGAAAAAUAGAUUAGAGAGAUAGAGAGAAGGGUAGGUACCAUUCCCUCUUUAAAAUUAGUGAAUCCUCACCCUUGUUUGUAGACUUUCUGCACUUCUUGUGCAUUGAAUACAAUUCAUUUCUCUUUUGCAAAAAAAAAAAAAACAGUAUCUUUACCAUUAACUAAAGAUCAGACAGGUUGCCUUAAAGCUAGUUUUUUGUUUCACUUGAAUUUUCUGUGGUUAGUUUAUAUAAACUGUCAAUUAACUAUUAUGCAUUGUUGUUUCAGGUUUUUCUCUGCUUUGGAAAUUCAGUGGCCUCAACUCGCUUUCUGUUGCAAGAUGAAUUUAACAUUCAAACUACGCAGUGUGAUAAUUGCAUUAUUGUACUCUCUCUUCCCUUCCCACUCUCAUCUCUUAAUUUCAUUCAUACUCACAUCAUAGACUGAUACACAUUGAAAUACAUUUUUUUAUUGAUGUUAUAUUAAAUCAUAUGCAAUUUUUUUGUUUAGGGUUUCAUGCUUUGCCUUAACCAAGUUGCAUGCAUAUUCUCUAUUGUUGCCAUGAUUGUGGGGAGUGAGGAAAUUUCUGAGGCUUCUCAAAUACUAUCUUGUUUGGCUGACCUUGUUUACUGCUCGUAAGACCUACUCUAUCUCAAAUACUGUAAUUGAUUGUGCACGUUAUAGUGAAUGGUUUUGUACUAAACUUAUGUUUCUUUUGUUUGUAGGGUGUGUGCGUGCAUGCAGGUAAGUAUGUUACUUAUUACCGGCAAUUGGUUGAUCAAUAUUUAUUUUGAGAUUAUGAUAUUAAUUCAACAAAUUUUAUUUGCAGACUCAACACAAGGUUGAAAUGGACAAGCGUGACGGGAAGUUUGGGCCGCAACCAGCGAUGGCAGUGCCUCCUGUACAGCAAAUGUCCCGCAUUGAUCAGCCAGUUCCACCUUCUGUUGGGUAUGCACCUCAACCAGCAUAUGGGCAGAAUUAUGGUUAUCCACCUGCCCCACCACCAGCUCAGGGCUAUCCCGCUACUGGUUACCCCUCUGCUGCUUAUCCUCCACAACAAGGAUAUCCCCCUACUGCUUAUCCUCCACAAGGAUAUCCCCCUUCUGGUUAUUCUAGGUGAUAAAUAAAUUUAGAGCGGUUUGUGUUGGUCUAGAUACCUAUUGAUUGUUUCAGGAACCGUUGUUUUCUUCAAUUUCGUACAUUCAAAGCUAUAUCAAGCAGUCAUAUAUGUGUGGUGAAAAUGCACUUGCUAUAUAGAUUUGACUAUUUUGCAUUUUCCCCCCAAGUUUGGAUUUCUGACAUGAGAUUACAGUUCCUAUCGGUUUGUCCAUUUUUAUACUAUGACUUCGAUUUAUAUAUUGGUGUUUAUAUAAUCUCGUUUGGUUAUGUGCAAUAUGGUGUAAUGUGCUGUUCCAAGUAUUUCAAAACCCGUGAUUUAAUGUGUGAUAUUAGCCUCACAGCCCCAAGUGGCCAAGAAAUAUGUGCAACAAUAGAAUGUUGUUGACAAAUUCACUUUAGACUUUAGAGUGUAAAAUGAAUAAUAUCCAUUGUUAAUAAAUCAAAGGUAGAUAUUAUGAAUGUAUUAUAACAAGUGACAAGCUUGUUGAAAUAAUGACCCUUGAUCUAUCCGGAAAAAAAAAUGACCCUUGACUUUUUUACAUGGUUUUUUCUAGAUUAUCUUUGAAGAAUGGUGGGUAAUUUACCCACCAACCAAUGAAAAUGAACAAUUUGUUGGUGGGGUCAAGAUAGUUCAUGGAUACCACUUAAAAAUGUGCUUAUGUGACCAAUGUGUAUUGGUUGGGGUAAAUUACCCACUAUUCCUCCAUGGAUACCCUAGUUGUCACCUUUUUACAUUAUACUGUACAUUAUGUCCUCAAACGUUGCAAGAUCCGCCACAUCAAUAUAAGGUAUCACACCUACAUGGUUUCGUCCUUGUAGAACUGCAUGCGGUACGUAAUACAUUGCAGUUGAGAAUCAACAUUGCUCCCAAUUCUACAAGUGUUGCUAUCAGAAUAUCAGUUUGCAUCCGGUUUUUCGCCAUCUUUUCUUCUAAUUUCGAUAUUAAAAUAUUUUUACAAAUAGCAAAAGUAAUGUAAACAUUAAAUUUUGUCAAUUCUCCCUAAUUAAAUUUGGAAGAAAAAAAAAACUCAGAACACCAAAAGAAUAAAAAAUGAAAAAUAAUAUACAAGUUAGAUUUUACAUUAUUAGUCCUUUUCUAACUAGUUUUUAAAAUUAGUAUAGUAAAUUAUAAAUCCACCUAUUAAUCCAGUCAAAAAAACUCAACAACUUUGAAUUCAAAUUUUCUCUCAAAAAAAAACUUUGAAUUUAAAUUUAUUUUGGUGUAUAAUUGAAUAGCAUAUGCAUAAUCCUUUUAAAAUUUGAAAAAUAUAAACAUUGCGUAAACCUCUGAAAAUUAAAAUAAUUAUGGCAACAAGAAAAAUUUAGUAAAAAAAUAUUGAUAAAAAAUAUAGUAGUUCAAGUAAAUCAAUUCGAGACAAUAUUGCUAGAUUUUCAAAGUAUAGUAUUCCUUCUGCUAAAAACAACUAUUCCUUACAUUUCAAAUUUUAUUGAAAACUUCUUUGUAAUUCAUAGCUGUCCAUGCAAAUAGCUUGAGGAACUAUUUAUAGUGUUUGUCCUCUUUAUUUCACCACUAAUCUCUUCUCUUCCGAUGUUAUGGAAAAACAAAGAAGGAAACUAAACAUGGAAAACUCAUUUGGCCUAGCUAACUCUUCUGGUUAAUAUGCUUUUAUGGCUUCCCUGAAGUGUUAGCAGUUUCUAAUAUGCAGUGACAAUGCAAUUCGGAUACCAUCACUUCAAUCUUGAUAAGACAUGCAUGGUAGUUGGUCCAAGAAAAACACAUGAAUACAUUCAACAGACAUGCAUGUCCAAAAUGCACCCAAAUAUAAGUUUGCAAAGCUGGUGUCUGCAUGACAGAGAGAUAUUAUACACAAGCAAUCACAUAUUUGGAUAUGUUCCACUAGAAUGAGCAGUGAGAGGCGUUCAAAUAAUAGUAUAUGUGUAUGAUACCCGUUAAAACAAAGGGAAACAAACACAUGAAUAUAUACAUAAGGGAAACAAACACGUGAAUAUAUACAUAUAUGCAUUAGGGGAAUUCUAUGAACACAUCAAAUAAAUUCUAUGAAAAGAAGAAUUGUCUUGAGCCAUAAAUCAAUUCAGCUGGACUGGAAAGGAAUCAAAUCUUAAGAAGAAAAAAAACAUAAACUUUGAGAUCCAUGUUAUAUCUCAAUAACGUGGUUAUCGAAUCGAGAUUCAAAUGGAUCGGAAGACCUAUUUGCUGAAUUCUUGAUCUAAUCUAUCAUGUUAAGAAUGGUAUUGUUAAGAUACAUGAUCAAUAAAAUAUGAUAUUUUUAAGUAAAAACAAGUGACUUUGCAAAAAUAUAAGUUGAUACAUGAACCUCAAAAGAAUUCAAGAUUCAAGUCAAAAACAAAAGGACAAAAAUAGUGGCUGUUAUACAAAAUUAUCGGGUAAAGUUCAAAACACUCAAGUACUUGAUAAAAACACCCAUCAUUAGCCAGAUAUAACAAGAAAUGACAGUGUAGAUAAGCACAUGAGUUUAUUGGGAAAACACGGUUUGGACCCAAAUCAAAAUGGCCAAUCAACGAUUGUAAAAGUAAGCUAAACCAGAACUAUGAUCAUUAUUAUAAAACAAACAGAAAAUUAUGGAAUAAUCAUGAUACUUACCAUCAAUAAGACCUUAAUCGUGUGAUUGUUGAUGCAGAUCCUUUUUGAGUCGGCACUUCAGAGUCCCAACAAAAUAGGGUGACCUAUACAAUAACCUAAAUUUAAUACAGCAUACAACAGAAUCUUAUCUGGAAAGCAUAAGGAUAAUUCUGUCAAAAUCUCUAACUUAUAUAAAUAUUAGAGACUGACAUUAUGUUUAUUCAAUCGCGUCAAAUGUAAGAACAAGAACACCAGAAAGAACCAUAUUGUUGAUUAUAAAAGGCAAAUAAAACUUUAAUGAUAUACUCUAAUAUAAUAUCUAUUAACCAUGUCGUGAGUCUUCCUACAUCUACAAAAGAGUUUCAUAACAAAGCACCCAAAAUAGAAGAAAACAAGUAUUUCAAAACAUGUGUCUCAGACCAAGUAAAACCUGAAAUCAGCUAGCUACAGUGGUAGAAGAGCUUUGUUUAGUACCAUAAUAACAUUGAUAGUAAUCUACAAUCCUGUUUUGCUUUUCUUGAAGAUCUGAAAAACUUCCUAACUGAUUGAACUCAAAAAGAAGAUACAAUUUUUCUUAUAUGCAUUGUUUAUUAAAAACCUCAAUGGGUGCAGGUACAACAUGUAAUAAUAAUUCAUAGAAGACAUCCUGAAAAGUAAAAAAAAAAAGUCAAGAGAAAGAAAAUUCUGAUUAUACCAGUUUAGCAUAGCCCUCAUUCUCUUCAAAAGUAUUGCUAACUCUGACCUGAAGUCAACAACACAAAUGAAUCAAAUACAUACAAUACAAUGAUGAAAUUCCCGUUCGAGCAGACAGCUAGGAGUGGAGAAUAUAUUCUGAAUAUUGGAUUCUGAAAAGUUGACUCUGGAAGUACAAGAGGCGUUCAGUAAUUAUAAGGUCAGUGUAGCCUAACUGAUUGGAUUCAGUUAGUGAAACUUUGCAACUCACUUGUACAACAGAAACGAACUUUGUUAUUUGCUAUCAGACAAUGCUAACUAACUAUUAACUGACUGUUGCUAUAUACUCUACUAAGUGCUUACAUAUUCAACACGAGCAACAAAGACAGAGUAAGAAUGAAGUUUAUGAUCAGCAAUGAUGUUUGUCGCAUAUAAAUGAAACUUUGUAAGAUUCUUGUCUUAUAACUGUUUCCAUCGCAUAAGCAACAGAGACCAAGUAUGAAUGAAGGUGAAGAUCAAUAACGAUGAAUGUAACGUAUAAUAACGGGGUGUGUGUAUGUGUAUGCGCGUGCGCAAGUAUAUGGGCAUUUCUUUUGCUGGGGACUGGUAAGUAGCCACCACCACUAUUUCCUCAAGACAAAAACCCAACUUAUUUCCUCUUGACACAAAACCUGUGAGUAAUUUAUAUAGUAAGUGAAAACAUAAGAAAUAGGAAUAAUCAUAGGGAGAAAAGAAAGAAGCAGAAGCCCCUUGCAUGGUGGCACACAUUUAUAGAAAUUAAGUGCUCACCUCUUUUACACACAACUUUGAUUAAAUAAAUAAUCAUGUGUAAGAGCAUUAAUGCAGAUAAAAUUUAAGCCAAAUGACAGCUAAAACAAGUUUCCAUUGUCAUCAUUGUUAAGUAAUCAACAUUCAGAGCUUACCUUCCCACCUUCGGUGGUUUAGGUGGAAGGUAUCAUGUAUUGCCUCCCUUCAUUGCUGAAAGUAUUAUGAGAAAGACGUUUGACAUCCAUUUUUAGAAAUUUAUCUUCUAUCAAAGAAUAGUACCUAUCAUUUCUUUUACAUAGUGAUAUAGGUAGCAUGUUAAGCAUUCAACACCGGUACCAACACUAAUAAUCUCGGGCUGGCAACCUAUUUGAAAAUGUAACAAAAUCACAGCGACAAUAAUUUAAAGAGUCUUGCUAAUAAGUAAGGAUUCAAAAAUGGAAACAAUUGAUAAAUUUCAUGUAGAAAAAGUUGUUUUUUGAUGUUUGUGUUGAAUACACAAAUCCCAAGUAAAAUUUCUACUUUAAACUUUUUAUCAAGUGCCCUAAUGACACUUGUUAGCAUUUCCCCAAUAAAUCAUAAAUUUACACGUACAGUUGAAGUUUGAAUUCAGCUUGAGUGUAAUGGUUUCAAAAUGACCACAAAAGAAAUACAAAAAUUGGAGCUUAGAUAAUAAAAGCUAAUCAUUUUGACUUAGUUCAAGCCUACUACUAAGUUAUUGAAGUUUGAAGUGAUGAUGGAUUAGAGGAAACACGAUGUCCUUUGACAAAAAGUUUCAGUUUUUCUAUUUCACCAAUAGCGGAAAGCCAUUCAGUAAGAAUCUCCAUGGUUACAUAGUCAGGAUUGCAAGCAUCUUCCACCAUCCUAUCCAUAAGUUCAAAUGCUUUGUGCAGCAUUCUCUUAUCCUGGACCCCCUUGAAAAUAGCAUUAUACGUGGUUGUAUUAGGUUGAACCCCCUUUACUUUCAUGUCAUCCAUCAAAGAAACAGCCCUUUCAACAUCGUUGUUUUUGCAUAGAGCGUCUAUUAAAAUGUUGUAUAUCACAGUGUUGGGAGGAACCAUAGAUGUAGAACACAUUUCCCCAAAAAUCUUCAUGGCCUCAUCAAUGUUCUUUUUUAAACAAUAUGCAUGUAUGACUGCCCCAUAUGUGACAACAGAGGGCUUAAGACCCUCUUUAAUCAUCUUUUUCAUUACCUUGGUAGCAGUUGCAAAAUCUCCAGCUUUGCCAAGGUAAGAAACCAAAGUGUUAUAGGUGACAAUGUCGGGCUUGACUCCAUUUUCUUCCAUUUCGUUGAGCAUUUCAUAAACUCGCUCCAGCUUCUUCUUCUUGCAGAAUCCACUGAUGAGAACAUUAUAGCAAUGUCUAUCAAGGCCAAACCCAGCCCGUUUCAACUGCGACACAACAACACUAGCAUCACCCAUCCUUCCAGCAAUGGUUAAACCAGAUAUCAAACAAUAGUAAACAAUUGCAUCCGGUGAGCAUCCAGAACUCAACAUCUCAUCAAAAUAUUGCAUGGCUUUAUCAAUGUUGUUCACUCCACAGAAGGCAGAUAUCAACGCAGUGUAUGUAACAGCAUUUCCUUUAAGGCCCUUGCCUUUCAUCUCAUUGAAAAAUUCAACUGCACUAAAGACCCUUCCAAUUUUGCACAUGCCAUCAACCAAUGUAUUGAGGGUGACCACAUUUGGCUGUAUUUGUUCCUCAUUCAUCAAGCCGAAUAGCUCACGUGCUUUAUCAAUGUUGCCAGCUUUGCAGAACCCGUCAAUCAAGCAAUUAUAUGUAAUAGUGUUUGGCUUAUUUUUCUUCUCGGUUUUCAUCUCUUCCAACAAAUUCAAACCCUCUUCUUCCCUCCCAACUUUACAAAGUCCAUUGAUCAAAGUAUUAUACAAGACCACAUCAGGUUCAACACCAAUCCACUUCUUUUCUCUUCCUUUACCUCUCAAUUUAUCAAACACCCCCAGCGCUUCGUCGAUCCUCCUAGACUUGCAAAAUUGAUUAAUAAGAAUCCCAAAGGUUAUGACACUGGGAUGUAUUUUCAUUUCUUCCAUCUCUGCCAACAGUUCAUUCAUCUUGUGAAUGUCUCUCUCCCGUCCAAGCCCUGUUAACAAGGCAUUGCAAGAUGCAGCUUCAACUGUACCACCCAACUUAAUCACAGCAUGCAAAAGUUCCCACGCCACACCAUUCUUCCGAUUCCCGCACAGCUUGGAUAUCAACUGAGUAAGCUUAAACGUAUCAGGGAAAACUCCAUAUUCACAAAGCUUAGUAACCAACCCUACAAUUUCCUCAUCAGCAAAGCCUUUUCCGGGGCGGUCCCUCUUCACCAACUCACCAAAAACAAUUUGACCAGUGAAAUCAUCAGGAGGAAAUCCGGUAUCCGGUUGAAGCAAUUGGUCAAGCACCUGGCGGGCAUCAUCAAUACGACCGGAUUUGAGCAAACCCACCAAUAAAUGGUUGCAAAUUCGUGAACUUUUCAAAGACGGGUCAAGUUGGUUGAAGUGAAGAAGUGAUUCGUCCAACGUUCUGGCAUUUCUUAAGUACUGGAAAAGAAACAUUGGCACUAAUUGACAAUAAGAAUUUAUAUAAAGAAUUGAGAUGAGAAAAGGGAAAGGUUGGAUGCAAUGUAAAUACAUACUCCUUUAUCGUCGGGAUUCGCCAAAGGUGGCUUGGUGAGCAACUGUGGUUGAGAGUGAGAAGAGUGGGAAACAUAAGUGAAACUUGGUUGGUGCAAAAAUGGCAGAGCCACGCCAUAUCGGGUUGUGAAGAUGGCAGAGUAAGAAGAGUAGUGUAGUACGGGCAUUCGAAUUCGCAUAAUUGGAAGUGGCAUAGUGAGAUUAUUUAUGAGCUGCACUGCAAGGAGAAAAUGGUGAAGAAAUUUGCAAUAAAAUAACGAAAUGCUAACCUAAUAAAUAAAUAAAUUCACACAGAAUAGAAUAACAUGGGAAUAUGCAUUUCAAACGAAGAAAUGUAAAAAGAGUGCGUGGUGCAAGUACCGAUUGCUGUUGAGAGUGGUGAAGAAAUGACGAGCGGUGCGGCGAUUCUGAAGUGAAUAUGCGGGAGGAGGAGGAGGAGGACGAGUGUUUGUCUUCACUAGUAUCUCCUGACUUAUUUUAAGCCGUUGGAUUCAUCCAAAGACUUGGAAAUAAAAAUAGUUAAAAAAUAAUUAUCGAGUUACGCACAGUUUGUGACGACCGCGGCCUGACCUCGGAUCGGAUGGGUCACUGCGUUUAUCGGCGGCCAACAGAAAAUGAAGCAAGAGGUUGCAAUGCAACUUGCACGGAACCAAGCAGAGAGGUGAAGAAGUCCUUGAAAGAUGGAAGCGAUGAUCUAAGUUUCUCUUUCCUCUCAAUUGCCCCUUCUUUCCCUUUCUGUCAUGAGACCCUUGGAUAAAUCUCAUGGUUAAAAUUGCAUUUUUUAGUUCAGAUUAUGAGAAUUAUUGUUCCAUGUAGCACACGAGUAAUUUACGUUUUUGCUCCCUCGACAACUGCCGAGGAAUUAAAAAUCCGGCUGCAGUUAACUGCGAAAACGUCGGCAGUUAUGCAAACAGUAAGCUCUGCAUGAUUCUAAAACAUGUCCAAGCCAUUUUUCAGUCAGUUUUAACCUGUAAUUAAAGCAGAGCAUUUCGAAAUGCAAAAUAAUUCAUACAACAUUGAAUCUCGGACAUAAACAAGACAAAUACAAUAUCUUUUACAAUUGUUCAUAAUUAAAUCAAACCGACAUUUGAUUCAAAUUACACAAACGUUUGAAAUUCAUCGUAACGGUUCAAAUCACAAAAAACUAUUGGCGUAAAUGCACAACUUAAUUAAACCAACAUUUUUAUACAUUAAACAAAGUAAAAAAUCCCAUGAAAUUAAAAGUAAUGUCAUCAAAGUACAAAUAUACAAAUCAAUGUCAUGAAAACACCAAAACUAAAAAACAAGUCCUAAAAAACAAAAUACUACUGCUGGUCUUGGUCCUGGUCCUGCUGAUGGUGCCUCCUCCUCGGCCUCUGGCCUCGCCUCCUGGUCAAAAUCGGCACGAUCUGCUCCCUCAUAUGGCUCAUGGCCUGAAACCACUGUUGUAACGCCCUAGUUGUUAUAAUUAAUUAUUUUANNNNNNNNNNNNNNNNNNNNNNNNNNNNNNNNNNNNNNNNNNNNNNNNNNNNNNNNNNNNNNNNNNNNNNNNNNNNNNNNNNNNNNNNNNNNNNNNNNNNNNNNNNNNNNNNNNNNNNNNNNNNNNNNNNNNNNNNNNNNNNNNNNNNNNNNNNNNNNNNNNNNNNNNNNNNNNNNNNNNNNNNNNNNNNNNNNNNNNNNNNNNNNNNNNNNNNNNNNNNNNNNNNNNNNNNNNNNNNNNNNNNNNNNNNNNNNNNNNNNNNNNNNNNNNNNNNNNNNNNNNNNNNNNNNNNNNNNNNNNNNNNNNNNNNNNNNNNNNNNNNNNNNNNNNNNNNNNNNNNNNNNNNNNNNNNNNNNNNNNNNNNNNNNNNNNNNNNNNNNNNNNNNNNNNNNNNNNNNNNNNNNNNNNNNNNNNNNNNNNNNNNNNNNNNNNNNNNNNNNNNNNNNNNNNNNNNNNNNNNNNNNNNNNNNNNNNNNNNNNNNNNNNNNNNNNNNNNNNNNNNNNNNNNNNNNNNNNNNNNNNNNNNNNNNNNNNNNNNNNNNNNNNNNNNNNNNNNNNNNNNNNNNNNNNNNNNNNNNNNNNNNNNNNNNNNNNNNNNNNNNNNNNNNNNNNNNNNNNNNNNNNNNNNNNNNNNNNNNNNNNNNNNNNNNNNNNNNNNNNNNNNNNNNNNNNNNNNNNNNNNNNNNNNNNNNNNNNNNNNNNNNNNNNNNNNNNNNNNNNNNNNNNNNNNNNNNNNNNNNNNNNNNNNNNNNNNNNNNNNNNNNNNNNNNNNNNNNNNNNNNNNNNNNNNNNNNNNNNNNNNNNNNNNNNNNNNNNNNNNNNNNNNNNNNNNNNNNNNNNNNNNNNNNNNNNNNNNNNNNNNNNNNNNNNNNNNNNNNNNNNNNNNNNNNNNNNNNNNNNNNNNNNNNNNNNNNNNNNNNNNNNNNNNNNNNNNNNNNNNNNNNNNNNNNNNNNNNNNNNNNNNNNNNNNNNNNNNNNNNNNNNNNNNNNNNNNNNNNNNNNNNNNNNNNNNNNNNNNNNNNNNNNNNNNNNNNNNNNNNNNNNNNNNNNNNNNNNNNNNNNNNNNNNNNNNNNNNNNNNNNNNNNNNNNNNNNNNNNNNNNNNNNNNNNNNNNNNNNNNNNNNNNNNNNNNNNNNNNNNNNNNNNNNNNNNNNNNNNNNNNNNNNNNNNNNNNNNNNNNNNNNNNNNNNNNNNNNNNNNNNNNNNNNNNNNNNNNNNNNNNNNNNNNNNNNNNNNNNNNNNNNNNNNNNNNNNNNNNNNNNNNNNNNNNNNNNNNNNNNNNNNNNNNNNNNNNNNNNNNNNNNNNNNNNNNNNNNNNNNNNNNNNNNNNNNNNNNNNNNNNNNNNNNNNNNNNNNNNNNNNNNNNNNNNNNNNNNNNNNNNNNNNNNNNNNNNNNNNNNNNNNNNNNNNNNNNNNNNNNNNNNNNNNNNNNNNNNNNNNNNNNNNNNNNNNNNNNNNNNNNNNNNNNNNNNNNNNNNNNNNNNNNNNNNNNNNNNNNNNNNNNNNNNNNNNNNNNNNNNNNNNNNNNNNNNNNNNNNNNNNNNNNNNNNNNNNNNNNNNNNNNNNNNNNNNNNNNNNNNNNNNNNNNNNNNNNNNNNNNNNNNNNNNNNNNNNNNNNNNNNNNNNNNNNNNNNNNNNNNNNNNNNNNNNNNNNNNNNNNNNNNNNNNNNNNNNNNNNNNNNNNNNNNNNNNNNNNNNNNNNNNNNNNNNNNNNNNNNNNNNNNNNNNNNNNNNNNNNNNNNNNNNNNNNNNNNNNNNNNNNNNNNNNNNNNNNNNNNNNNNNNNNNNNNNNNNNNNNNNNNNNNNNNNNNNNNNNNNNNNNNNNNNNNNNNNNNNNNNNNNNNNNNNNNNNNNNNNNNNNNNNNNNNNNNNNNNNNNNNNNNNNNNNNNNNNNNNNNNNNNNNNNNNNNNNNNNNNNNNNNNNNNNNNNNNNNNNNNNNNNNNNNNNNNNNNNNNNNNNNNNNNNNNNNNNNNNNNNNNNNNNNNNNNNNNNNNNNNNNNNNNNNNNNNNNNNNNNNNNNNNNNNNNNNNNNNNNNNNNNNNNNNNNNNNNNNNNNNNNNNNNNNNNNNNNNNNNNNNNNNNNNNNNNNNNNNNNNNNNNNNNNNNNNNNNNNNNNNNNNNNNNNNNNNNNNNNNNNNNNNNNNNNNNNNNNNNNNNNNNNNNNNNNNNNNNNNNNNNNNNNNNNNNNNNNNNNNNNNNNNNNNNNNNNNNNNNNNNNNNNNNNNNNNNNNNNNNNNNNNNNNNNNNNNNNNNNNNNNNNNNNNNNNNNNNNNNNNNNNNNNNNNNNNNNNNNNNNNNNNNNNNNNNNNNNNNNNNNNNNNNNNNNNNNNNNNNNNNNNNNNNNNNNNNNNNNNNNNNNNNNNNNNNNNNNNNNNNNNNNNNNNNNNNNNNNNNNNNNNNNNNNNNNNNNNNNNNNNNNNNNNNNNNNNNNNNNNNNNNNNNNNNNNNNNNNNNNNNNNNNNNNNNNNNNNNNNNNNNNNNNNNNNNNNNNNNNNNNNNNNNNNNNNNNNNNNNNNNNNNNNNNNNNNAAUAGAUUGAGAAAUCAUCGAUUGAACGAUAAGAUCGACUCUUGAAUCAUUCAAUAGUUUGAGACAUCGACCAUUGAAUGAUACAAUUGAUUUCACAAUAUUGUUUGGACACGAAUGGUGUUGUCGAGGGAUACGUGAUAAUAUCAAAGAAAAGCUAGAAUCCAUGUAUGAUCAUUAGGUUACGUGCGACGCUCGAUCAAGGAACUCUAAUCCUAACAAGUUUUACGCCCUAUUAAUCUCAAUUUUAUCAUUUGCAAUUCAGUUACUAAAACAAACAAUCAACUAUCAUUUAACUUGAAAAGAUAUUUGGUGUCAAACGGUCCGCGAUAUCGCACUAGUCCCUGAGGAGACGAUAUAAAUACUUACUAUUGUUUGAUGCAAAAAUACUACAUCAAAUGUGCAUUUAUAUAUUCGUUGUGAUGGUGGUGUAUUGAUGUUGUUGCUUGUGGCUUAUACAUAUAUAUGUUUACAAGAUGAUGUGUUUGAUGAUUAGGGUGUUAGAUUCAAUUGAAGAUUUUAAUAUCUAUAUUUAUUGUUGUGAAUCUCACCCCUUCUGCUUGAAAAUGUUGCCCUUCCUAUGUGUAACUUGCAGGUGAUCCUGAGUAGUCGGUGGUGGCUCAAUGUCGUGUCUAGGGCUCUGAUACGUGGGAGGGGAACUAUUAUUUAUAUUUGUUGUUGUUUCUUUCCAUGUAUCAAAUUUUGGAAUUGUGAUGUGGAACCUUUAUUGUCUUUUGAACAAUGUUGUUGAAUUAUGCUAAGGCCUUUAAUGCCAUAGGCUGUUGUUGGAUGUUAUGAGGUUAUGGAUUUGAAAACUAUACUGUUGCUAUGUUUUCAUAAAUAAUAAGUUGCUUGAUUAAAUAGUUUUAUUUUCUAUUUAAGAAAUUUUGAAAUGAAGUGUAGCAUGCACGUUGUGGAUUACUCUGAUGUAAAAAUGUUAUUUAAUUGCUUUUGGGUAACGGGGUGUUACAACUGUUGAGGGCUUAUGACCUCCUCCUGGCCCAUCUGUGCAUCAGGGUAGGCAACAGCGGCACUAACCAUGUCAUAGGUGUCAGGCGAGCUUCUCGCCUCGUACCGCUCCCACUGCUCUGCAGUGAUUUGCUCUUCAUUUGCAGGCCUUGGAAGAUCUCCUGGAAGAGGUGACAAAAUCUGAGGGUGAGACACCCUAGUGUACCAUAGCACAUAGCCAUCUGCCAUGCCUGCUCACCCCAAUCGUCUGCCUUAAGCGUGUCAGUGCGGAAGUCGACGAACGCCUGCACAAUGUAAGGCGGUGGCAGGUCUACAACAUCUGUCGGAUGUCUGGGGAUGGUCUGGACGUAUCCGUACUGCCUCAAAACACUCUCUGGCAAGUGACGGUACACCCUACGAACAGCGCACAUAAUCCAGCCAGAAUACCAUAAAAUCUCCUCAAAGUCAUGGAUCUCCCUGUGCUCUUUGUACGGCCUCCAGCAUACGUCAUCAAACUGUAUACGAUCAAGCAGUGACUGAUACGUGACCCCCUCCCUGUAACACUCCUAUUUCUAUUAAAGCAAUUAAAAAUGUGAAUAAUACAUUUAUUCAAGAAAUAGAGGCUACGCCAUCGUACAAAAUUCAAAACCAAUAAACAUGUAUAUAAACUUCAACAGUCGCAGCGGAAUAUAAACCAGAGUAAUUCAAAUAUACAUGUCAUGAACCAAUUAUUACAUCAACAUAGAUGAAUCUCAAAAAUUCCAACAUACGGGUAAGUCUCCAAUCAUAACAAAAUCCAAAGUAAAAGAUAAUCUAGACCGACACAACGAAGCCUAGAUCAGAGCCGACUAAACAUUAAACACCGAUAUCGGAGAAAGCUCAUGAUAUCCACCAAGCACAAAAACUCACCGAGCAACUAACCCUGCACAACGUCUACCCAUCCAUACAGACAGGUAGGCGGUUAAAACCACUUGGGUUAAGUAUUACAUCAUCAUAAUCCAAAUAACAGUUAACAUGUAUAUUUCAAUUUAAACAUCAUGCACUUGAUCAAUAAUAAUAUUCUCAUACAUAUACUUACAUCAAACCCCAAUAUCUCACAUCAAUAAUCACCAAUCACAUGUGUCAUGAACAAAUAUCAAUACACAAUCCUCAAUCACAUAUAUCAAUAAGAUUCAUGUCAUGAUAUGCACCUAUCGACACAUAUAUGCAUGUGGUACCAAAUCACCUCAAGGUCGUCACCUUCGAUGCAACAAAAAUAUCGUAUGUAAGAUUUCACACCCGUCUUACAUAAUCUCCGAAGUAAAAGAGUUCAACCNNNNNNNNNNNNNNNNNNNNNNNNNNNNNNNNNNNNNNNNNNNNNNNNNNNNNNNNNNNNNNNNNNNNNNNNNNNNNNNNNNNNNNNNNNNNNNNNNNNNNNNNNNNNNNNNNNNNNNNNNNNNNNNNNNNNNNNNNNNNNNNNNNNNNNNNNNNNNNNNNNNNNNNNNNNNNNNNNNNNNNNNNNNNNNNNNNNNNNNNNNNNNNNNNNNNNNNNNNNNNNNNNNNNNNNNNNNNNNNNNNNNNNNNNNNNNNNNNNNNNNNNNNNNNNNNNNNNNNNNNNNNNNNNNNNNNNNNNNNNNNNNNNNNNNNNNNNNNNNNNNNNNNNNNNNNNNNNNNNNNNNNNNNNNNNNNNNNNNNNNNNNNNNNNNNNNNNNNNNNNNNNNNNNNNNNNNNNNNNNNNNNNNNNNNNNNNNNNNNNNNNNNNNNNNNNNNNNNNNNNNNNNNNNNNNNNNNNNNNNNNNNNNNNNNNNNNNNNNNNNNNNNNNNNNNNNNNNNNNNNNNNNNNNNNNNNNNNNNNNNNNNNNNNNNNNNNNNNNNNNNNNNNNNNNNNNNNNNNNNNNNNNNNNNNNNNNNNNNNNNNNNNNNNNNNNNNNNNNNNNNNNNNNNNNNNNNNNNNNNNNNNNNNNNNNNNNNNNNNNNNNNNNNNNNNNNNNNNNNNNNNNNNNNNNNNNNNNNNNNNNNNNNNNNNNNNNNNNNNNNNNNNNNNNNNNNNNNNNNNNNNNNNNNNNNNNNNNNNNNNNNNNNNNNNNNNNNNNNNNNNNNNNNNNNNNNNNNNNNNNNNNNNNNNNNNNNNNNNNNNNNNNNNNNNNNNNNNNNNNNNNNNNNNNNNNNNNNNNNNNNNNNNNNNNNNNNNNNNNNNNNNNNNNNNNNNNNNNNNNNNNNNNNNNNNNNNNNNNNNNNNNNNNNNNNNNNNNNNNNNNNNNNNNNNNNAUCACCUCAAGGUCGUCACCUUCGAUGCAACAAAAAUAUCGUAUGUAAGAUUUCACACCCGUCUUACAUAAUCUCCGAAGUAAAAGAGUUCAACCAUUUUACAACUACAAUUUCAACACGACUAUGAUGCAUGGACAUGUACAAGGACUCGAUAAUGCGACAACAAUCCACAAUUUUCACCUCAAUAUAUAGGACUACUCCCAAUUAUAUUGAUUAUCUCCAUAACAUUUGCAUUAUCAAGAAAACAUGUCCAUACACAAUCAAUUCAUAGUAUUCUUCUUCAUACAUCAACAUGAUUAUCAAUAAUCAACAAUGUCAUUCAACAUCAACUAUCACAUAUAGUUUUACCAUUCAAGCAUUCUUUAUAUUCUAAGUAAGAUAGCAUACACAUCUCAUGAUAAACAUCAUAUCCAAUACAAUCAUUCAUUCAUACAACUUCACUUAGUUAUAUAAAAAUGGUCACCACAAUUCUUAAGACAAUUGGUUCAAGAAACAUUUCCAGCCAAAACGUGUCCAGUGGCAAACGGCCAACUUUGACAAUCCCAAGACAAAACGUCAUAGACAAGUUGAAAGUUCUCAAACUACUUUAAUCAAUCAUGUAUUCAUGAACUUGAGUCGUCUCCGGACUAUUAACAUUAAUCCAAGAAUAACUUAAGUUCGUAUGAAAAACCCAAUUUCACAACCUUUCACAUUCCCACCCGAAAUAUCACUUUCUACAUGAUUAAGAUGUUUGACUGCUCUUACAAGUUUUACCUAAGUCUAUAUGAGCUGUAGGUUCAACUUGCAUGCUUCAUUAAUUUACAAAAGUUUGUUUUCGACAAAAGUUUGGAAUUUCCAAAAACUCCCAAGUUAAGACUCAAAUGAAGAAUUUCAAGUUUAGGCAAGCUAAUCAUUGUUCCAGUUGGUUUUAGGGGAUUUACAGUAGUUAAACAUGUUUAAAGAAUCAUUUUACAAAGCUCGGAUUGACCCACAAAGACCCGGAACAAAAGAUUAAUGUGGUUGAAACUAGAUCUGUUCGCUUAAGCGAACGAGUUACAUUGGCAAACCACAUUGCACGCUUUCUGGUCGCUGAUUUGUCGCUCACCAGUUCGCUUAAGCGACCACAUGUUUGCUUAAGCGAACGAGUUCCAGUAGCAACCAGAAAACUUCGCUUACCAGCACGCUAACUGGUCGCUUAAGCGACCUACCCAGAAAAAUCAAUAUGACUGUUCGCUUAAGCGGACCUCUAAGCGAAUGUUCACAGUUUUGCAGAAAAUGUUACGGGUUUGGAUCCCUUUUCAUCCAAAAUCCCCAAUUUUGAUCCCUCGUUGCCCAAUUGUGUUUCCAGAACAUGUUUAAAGGUCAAUAUGACUUAAAAGACUCAUAAAGGCUCAAUCAAACUUGAAAACACUUGACAAUUGGACCAAUUCACAAAUUUCACCAAAACACCAACAACAUUUCAUUUCUCAACAACAAACCAUGAAUCAUGCAAACCCAAGCCAUGAAUUAUCAUCAACAACAUGACUUAACAACAACAACAUCAAUUGAUCAUGAAACUUAUCACAAUUCAUCAACAACAAUGCAUAAUUCACCAAUUAAGCAUAUUUCAUCAUAUACCCAUUUUUCCUACUUUUAACAUGUAAUUCAACCAACAACAAUUUAAUUAUUCAUAACUUCAUACAUCUAAACAUGACAUCAUAAUUAGAGCACGAAUUUCAUCAUUUAUGAAAAAUUAAUCAAUUCAUCCAAUUAAGCACUUUUCAUACAACUAAUUGAAAAUUACAAUAAGUGAUUAUGAUGAACUCUAACCCCCUUACCUUAGUAGGUCAAUCUCUCUAGCUUAGGCUUCAAUUUUGCUCCUACCUCUUCUCCGAACCCUUAUUCUUCAAGUCCUCUUCUCUCUAACCCUUUUUUCCUCUUGCUCCCACUUUCUCUCUCUAUUCUCUCAAAAUAUCUUGUGAAGUGAAAGUGUGAGGAAAUUUCUCAUAAGUGUAUGUUUUUAUGUCAAGUCUCCUCAAUGGGCCUAACCCUCCACUCAAUGGACUUAACCCAUUUCUAUUCACAUCUCAAAAUGUUUCUACACUCUAACGGUAAUUCACUAAUAACGGUCAAAAAACGGUAAAAUGUCACUAACGGUCUCUAAGCGGUAAAAUCUUAAUUUUACUCUAGUAACUUAGUAAAACAACUAUUCUCACUAACCACUAAAAGUAACUCUCAUCAAAACUUAUAAUUUUACCCGUUCUCACAAAGUGAUCAAAAUACCCCUAAGUCCAAAAUGACUAAAAUACCCUUAUAACACGGAAACCCAUGAAAAUGCACCCAAUGAACAAUGAUCACAUAUAAACACACAAUAAAAGUAAUUAAAAUAAAUCUAGCUAAAAAUCGGGCUGUUACACUCCCCGUGACCCUUAUGAAGCUUCCACCUCGCUGCAACCGGAUAGUUUUCCAUGUAGUCAGUGUUGGGAUCAACACUGUAAAAGCCAGGAAAAUGCGCCAAAAAUCUUGUCUGCACAAACCAAACAAAUCACAUUUAUAAAUUAUUACGCACGAAAAAUAUAACAAAAAAAUAAAAGUUAACAAAAAAAUAAAGUUAAAAAAUAUAUAUAUAUAUAUAUAUAUUUUUUAACUUUAUUUUUUUGUUAACUUUUAUUUUUUUGUUAUAUUUUUCGUGCGUAAUAAUUUAUAAAUGUGAUUUGUUUGGUUUGUGCAGACAAGAUUUUUGGCGCAUUUUCCUGGCUUUUACAGUGUUGAUCCCAACACUGACUACAUGGAAAACUAUCCGGUUGCAGCGAGGUGGAAGCUUCAUAAGGGUCACGGGGAGUGUAACAGCCCGAUUUUUAGCUAGAUUUAUUUUAAUUACUUUUAUUGUGUGUUUAUAUGUGAUCAUUGUUCAUUGGGUGCAUUUUCAUGGGUUUCCGUGUUAUAAGGGUAUUUUAGUCAUUUUGGACUUAGGGGUAUUUUGNNNNNNNNNNNNNNNNNNNNNNNNNNNNNNNNNNNNNNNNNNNNNNNNNNNNNNNNNNNNNNNNNNNNNNNNNNNNNNNNNNNNNNNNNNNNNNNNNNNNNNNNNNNNNNNNNNNNNNNNNNNNNNNNNNNNNNNNNNNNNNNNNNNNNNNNNNNNNNNNNNNNNNNNNNNNNNNNNNNNNNNNNNNNNNNNNNNNNNNNNNNNNNNNNNNNNNNNNNNNNNNNNNNNNNNNNNNNNNNNNNNNNNNNNNNNNNNNNNNNNNNNNNNNNNNNNNNNNNNNNNNNNNNNNNNNNNNNNNNNNNNNNNNNNNNNNNNNNNNNNNNNNNNNNNNNNNNNNNNNNNNNNNNNNNNNNNNNNNNNNNNNNNNNNNNNNNNNNNNNNNNNNNNNNNNNNNNNNNNNNNNNNNNNNNNNNNNNNNNNNNNNNNNNNNNNNNNNNNNNNNNNNNNNNNNNNNNNNNNNNNNNNNNNNNNNNNNNNNNNNNNNNNNNNNNNNNNNNNNNNNNNNNNNNNNNNNNNNNNNNNNNNNNNNNNNNNNNNNNNNNNNNNNNNNNNNNNNNNNNNNNNNNNNNNNNNNNNNNNNNNNNNNNAAAAAACACAUAUAAAAGUGGAUAUAAUAAUUAAACAAACACACAUUUAAAGAAAAUAAUUAAACAUAAAGAAAAAGAAUUAAAAAGAGCACAUAUAAAAGUGGAUAUAAUAAUUAAACAAACACACAUAUAAAGAAAAUAAUUAAACUUACAGAAAAAGCAUUUAAAAAAAUUACACUUACGUUAUCUGAAUUAUACCAAAGUGGCAAUGCAACAUGACUGGCAUAAGAGUGCAGCAAAGAUAAGUCUGCCGGUCCGCCAGGAAAGGGAGGGUCCACAGGUAACACCUCCGGGGCAGCAGCUGCUGCAAUGUCGUUAUCAUCUCCUACAUGUUGCUGCUGUGGUAUAUGAUCCUGGUCAUACCCACCAUCAGUCAUAUCGUGGUGUACCUGAUCCUGAUAAUUCAGGUACUCCACCACAGACGGGUCAACAACCUGUGACUCCUCAAGCUGUGUAGCCUGAGAACUCCCUGAACUAUCUCCCCUCCGACCUCUACCUCUCUUUGGGAUGUGGCCGCUCUGCCUCUCCCUCCGGUGGCUUUGGGUCAUCGCACGCCUACCACCAAUCAUUUUAGAUGGAUCAAUGGGGUCCUGAUCGGCCAUAUCUACACAAAAAAUAAUAAAAUUAACAUCAUUUCCAUAACCUAAUUAAACACAUUAAACCUAAACUAAACAUAAACAUAAUCAAACUCAUUAAAAGUACAGCAAUGAACAUCAUUUCCAUAACCUAAAAUCAUUCAAUAUAAUCAUCAUUACAAUAAAAUUUAUGUCCAUCAUUUCCAUAAUAACCUAAACAUCACUCAUUAAUUAACAUACACUUAAUCAUUUGUGUCCAUCAUAAUUCUCGUAACCUACACUAACUAAAAAAUCAAUAUACACUUAAUCAAACUAUAAUUAACAUCAUUUCUAUCAUUUCCAUAACCUAAACUAACUACAUAAUCAAUAAAAUUGUCAUUGCGGCAAUGUGCAAAGUAUAAAGCAUAUUCAAAUUGUGUUCAUUUGCCACCAUUCAAAGCCACAUUAUGAUUUAAACAACAUAGGCAACAACUACAUUCAUUUAUCAAUUCCUAAACUACACAUGCAAUCAUCAAAUUGUCAAUUUUAAAAUCUACCCUAACCACAUGCAAACUACUCUAAUUUUUAAAAAAAAAUCAACCUAAACAAAUUAACAUUAUCAUUAAAAUGAUUGACACAACUUACUUGUGAUAAUGUGCACUUGAUUUGCUUGCAAUUCGUGAAAAUGGAUUUGGUGAAGAUUGGAGAGAAAUUGUGAAUUUUGAACAAGUUUUGGAAAUGGGAAGUUCUGGUUCUGCAAAUGAUUAAGUCCAGAUUUCCUCGGCAGUUAACCAUCGAGGUUUUCCUCGGCAGUAAACUGCAGUCGGAUUUCUAAAACUUCGACAGUUAACUACCGAGGGGCAAAAACGUCAAUUACUCGUGUGCCACAACCUUAUGCAAUGUGGGAACAACAAUUCUCUCAGUUUAUAGGCCUUAAUUAAUAUUUUUAUGUCUAUAUAUUCGCCCCUUAAGGUGAAUAUGUGAAGAAUUUGAUGCUUCAACUCAUGUCCCUAUAUCGUGAUAUACAUAUUAACUUAAUUAUGUUCACAUGGAUCAAAUAUCUUAGAAAAAUGUCAACUGGUAUCCUGGAAACACUAGUUAAGGAAACAAAAUAAAUAUCUUAAUAAUAUUAAGGAUCUUGUUUUUUUUUUUUUUACAAAAAUAUUAAGGAUCUUGUUAACGAGUGUCCGUAGGACUACAUACACUCAUUAUGAAUUUCAAAUUAAAAAAUUAUUCAUUAAAAAAAAUCAAAUGUUUCAAUUCUCAUGCACUGGAAAUAUAAUUUGUUAUAAAAAUUUAUGACUAUUGAAAGUCCUUAAAGACUACAUUAGGGACACUCAAUGGUAUUCCCUUAAUUUGAAUAGGUCUAAUUGCAUUUUUUAUCUCCCAAUUUUAUUAAAGUCACAGAUAUAGAUUGUACCAAAAAAAAUCAUGAAUAUAGUCUUCUUAAAAAAAUAAAUCUUUAGGUACCUUAAAGUUUGGUUGAGUAUGAGUAUUCCAUAGAUAAAAUUUGUAUAUAAUUUGAAUUAAUUUUAAAAUAAAUUAAUAUAUCAUGACAUUAAAUGAUUUGAUGAUGGAUAUAUACUCAAUCUAUGAGAUCACCUUUUUAAAAUUGACCUUUUUAAUCCUCUAUUUCCAAAAUUGAUUCCAUUUAGUCCUCAACCAAUGUAUUUUUUUUUAUCAUAAAAUGACCACUUUUCACACAAAAAGGUGAAUUUUAGUCUCAAAAGUGGUACUAUUUUUUAAUCCAACAUUGGAGAAUCACCUUUUUUGGUGCAAUAAAUUAUCAUAUGUUGGGCGAAAAGCACAAAUGAGAUAAAAAUUAAAAUAAGGCUUAAAUAGGUCUUUCGUCCCUGCAAAUAUAGGUCAAUUGAAUUUUCGUCUCUGAAGUUACUAAUCCUUCCAAUAUGUCCCUACAAAUAUUAAUCAUUUGACUUUUGGUCAUAAUUACACCUGUUUAGUAACUUCAUGGACGAAAAUUCAAAUGACCUAUAUUUGCAGGGAUGAAAGACCUAUUUAAGCAAACCACCUCGCUCAAUCAUCACUUGCCAUAUGGGCACCACGUCGCUAAUGACAACCAUCUUAGGAAGAAAAAAAACCUAAUUAUGACCAAAAGUCAAAUGAUUAAUAUUUGCAGGGGUAGAUUGAAAUGAUUAGUAACUUCAUGGACGGAAAUUCAAAUGGUUUAUAUUUGCAGGGACGAAAGAUAUAUUUAACCCUUAAAACAAAUAUAAAAAUAGAGAUACCAAAAUAUUUGAUUUUAAAAUACAGUGACUACUUUUGCGAAUUUGAAAAAACAUGAGAUCAAAAGUGAAAUAAAACCUUUUAAAUAAUAGACUUCGUAAUGUGAUAACUCUAUCGGUAAGAGCUCGGUCUUGUUACAUUAAGUAUGCGAGUUUGAUCUUGUCAUUUUAAUUAAUAAUAAUAAUUACCAUUCCUUAAUUUGUUAAUUAAAAAAUGGUUAAAUAUAUUUUUGCAUAUAUAUACAUAUAUAAUAUAUUUUGUUAUGUUUUCUCGUUUUUAAUCUCUCUAAGAUAAAUUUCAUUUUUGCCUAAAAAAAUUCUCUCUGAAAUUUUCCCUUAAACGAAUGAUUCCGUCUGUCAAAAAAAAAAUAUUCUCCAAAUAUUUUCGAUCAAAUUUGAGGAAAGAGGAAGGGUCAUAACUGUAAUCACAAUGAGGGUAAAUUUGGUAAAGGAUGAAGUGGUUGCAAAUUGCAUUGCAGCAACGUUACUCUUUUUUUUUUUUUUUUUGGUGUGCACAGCAACGUUACUCUUGAUCUGAAUCCGAUUCCUUAUCAAUGGAGCCUACCAUUUUCUUUACCCAUUCUCCUAAACACUGCUCCACAAAUCGAGUGUUAGCUUGUAAAUUCGUUCGAGUUUACUUUUUUAGGUGGCAAAAACGUGUUAACUCGGAAGUAAACUCGAUUUUUGAUGAAAUCGGAAAGUUUGACGAGUUUAACCGAGUCAACACGUGUUAAACUUGAUAAAGUCGGAGUAAAUUCGUCCGAGUUUACCUUUGAAUUUUUUUAUUUAUUUUUUUGUCUCAUUUUCUUUCAAAAUCCAAUUCUUUUUUCAAUCCCAAGGUGUUAAAAUGUGACCUUUAAGGUUAACAUGACUCGUUUUUUCCAUGCUUGUUAUGUACAUAAGCUACGCCAAUGCGUGACAAUGACAUACAUUGAAUUUUAGAGAAUGCAUUCAGAAGCUUGUUAUUAUUGAUUGAUUUGAAAUCAUUCAAAUAUAUUACUUGCUCAAGUAUUUAAACGAGAAAAUGGAACAAUUGAAGUUAAAGUUACAACUGAAGAUGAAACAGAGUUUAAAUGUACUGAUAAAUUUUGUUUUUUAUUGUUAGAGUUUAUUAUUUAAAUAUGGUUAAUUGAUUAUGUUUUGUUUAAAUACUAGCUUACAUAUGCAUAUAUAAUAAAUUUUAUUUUUAAUUUUAGGUAAACUCGUACAAGUUUAAGAUUCGAGUUUACAUAGCUAAAAUGAACUGAGAUAAACUCUUGAGUUAUAAAACCUUGCUCCUAUGUUAAUGUUAUCUCCGCGCACAAACGUUGAAAGGAAGGUAACGUUAACGGGAAAACCAAACAAUGUGUACUCAUUUCAUUGACCCGUCUAUUUAGUUUAUGACUCUUAAUUUGUCCAAUAUAUCUCUUCUCUGAGGUGAGUCAUAUCCUCCACCCCACCCUACCCUGCGCCACUCAAUCCCUUUACUCUAAACACAAGUAGCCUAAUGCCCUAAUUAAUACUCUCUCAAUCUACACCACUCAUGCAAUAAACGAUUGCUUGCUUGCAGAUCGAGAAUAAUGUCUUGGUCCAACCGUCUCUAAAUAACUUAGAUGAACACUUCACAUGUAGAAGGGAGAGAGAAAAAAUUAACUAAAGUGCAUGAUGCAUUCAUAUGUUUGUGAAUGAUACUAUUCAUCGAUGAUGGAAUUGAAAAAAAUAAAAAUAAGUCAGUCAUUUUUGCACAAAUUAUUUUUACAAAUAUAUCAAUUAUUUUGAGAGAAAAAGAGUACUAUAUUCAGUCAUCAUCAUAUCUGUUCAAAUCAAACAACGAGCCCCAUGUGUCCGUCCUUCACAAACUUUCUUGCACAACUGACUGAUUUAGUAAAAAAUUACUACGUUAUUCAUAGAAUUCAUAUGGUCUGUAAAAAAAUCAUAAAAUAAAAUGCUAAUAAAUAUCAUCAGAGCAUACCUUAAAGAAUCAAAAAUAAAAAUUUUGUGUUAGAAUUUUUUUUUAUGUAAUGGCUAUUCUUUAAAAGUUAAAUAAUAGUAGUCAUUUUUAAUACAAAUUCUAAGAUAAAAAUUUUAUUUUUACUUUUUUAACUUGUGUGUACUCUUACAACAGUCACUAGGAAGACAAAAAAAAUAUCCUAGUAUAUAGGUAAAAAUGAAACAUAGUCCAAGGUAGCAAAGUUAAAUUAAAAUUCUAAAAACCAAUCGCGGUUGACACAAUUGUAAAUCCUAAAAGUGGUAAGUAAUUGUGAAUGACCUUGUAUGAGGUAAUCCAAAUUUUUCAUUUAUGAAAGAGAAAAAUAAUUCAAACUCUAAAAAAGAAGACCCAGAUCCAGAAUCUAUUCUACUGAACAGAACUCAUCUAUCUAUAUAAAAAAUAAAAUCAAUAUACAUCUAAAAUCUGAUUUUUCUAUGUACAACAAAUACACACAAAAAAGAAAGAAAAACAUAAAAAGAAGAAAAUCCAACCAAACAUGUCCUUAGAGGCUAGAGCUACAAAGAAAGAACAUCCUCAGCAGAAUGAAAUUCAGGGAUCCCAGAAGCAGCCCAUAAUCUCUCAUUGAAAGCACUUUGCAACUCAUCAGGUAUGAAUGGUGUUCUACACAAAGGACACGUUCUUUGAUCAUAUCCCAUCCAACGGUCCAAACAACCUCGAUGGAAAAUGUGUCUACAAUUCGCUAACCGUCUGAUCUCAUCGUUUUCCUCGAACUCAGUAAGACAUACAGCGCAGCUUUCGGGUGGGUCCACCAGCUCCAUGAAUUUUACAACUGGAAGGAUUUCACGGAUAAGAAGAGCUGAAACGGAUUCGAAUUCGGGUAUUCGAGUUGAAUUUUCGGGCCAUAUAAUGUCGGGUUCGAUGAAAUCGGGGAGACCCAUGUAGCGGAAAAUGGUGUUGAUGAGUUUUCGUAUGAAAGUGAAGAUGGAUAAAAGGUGAAGAACUAAUUUUGGGAAGAGAAGUUCUGUGUAACCUACUGGAAAUCCCAUGGUUUGUGCUCUAACAAUGACAACAACUAUAUUGCUAAUUUGAGGCUGUGUGUGUGUGUAUUGAUUUGGAUUUAACUAUGGUUGUUGUUUUCUCUUAAUUUUUGUGUAGAGAGAGAGAGAGAGUUUGUAACACUGGCCUGCCUUUUAUAUAUAGUUGAGAUGAGAAUCAGAGUUGAAAGACACUUCUUUUGGUUACAAUUAAAAGACACUUCAAUGACUCACUUUAUUUAGUAUUAUUUUUGGUCACUUUAAAAUUAAACUCGUAACAAAUGGUUAAAAAAAAUAAAUUUAUGGAUUAAAUAUGUUUUUUUGUCUCUAUAAAAUUGAGACUUUUUAAGUUUAGUCCUUAUUUUUUUUUUUUUGAAGAGACUAAAAUGAAUUAUAUUACCACAACGAAGGUCUUCCUAGCACAAGGUGUGUCAAAGAAUAAAAACCUCAAAGUCAAACAAAAAAGAUUACAACAAGGCAAAAGCCAUCACCAUAAAACAACCUGAAACAACACAAUUUUUAGCCUAUGUCUAAUAAAGGGAACGGACUAAGCCACCAACCAUGAUAGUUAAAGGGAAGAUAAGCAUAGUUAACCUUCAACCACUUGAAUGUUAGUAACUUAAUCCGAUCCACCACCUGCAUAAUGGAACUAUUCUUAGCAUUAAAAAUUAUGUUGUUCCUUUCCUUCCAUAUUUCCCACAUAGUCGCACACUAAAUCACCUGAAGAAUAGAUUGCCUCGACUUAGGACCACCGCUUAAAAAUCUGAAUUGAUGAAAAUGCCCCGCAACAUCUUUUAGUCUUUAAAAAAAAUUAUGCACCCAGUAUUAGUCCAUACUCAAUUCAAAUUUGUUUAAUUAGUGUUUAAUCUCUUGAGUUUUUGAACAAUUUUUGGAGGAGGAGUCUAUGGGUUUAUAUCAUUUCCUAUUUAUUUCAGCAACUAAUUUUUCCAUAGUUACUUUAAAGGAUUAUACUGCUUAAUCCUUUUUUUUUUCUUUCUUAAUCCACAAAAAAAUAAAGAUUAAGCAGUAUAAUGCGCGCGGAUACUUAAUUUAUCAAGAUAUGGCUUAAUGGCAUAGUAGGAGUAUAAAAUAAAAUAUUAAUAUAUUAGAUUGUGACCAAAAUAUAUAUAUAUUAGAUUGAUUAAUUAUCUAUAAAUGAAUAAAAUAUUAAUAUAUUAGAUAGAUUGAUUAGUUAUCUAUAAAUGAAAGGAUGUUUAUUAGUAGUAUUUUUCUUCUUCUAUUUACUAACUGCUAAGUUGUCUUAUUUGUGGGUCGCCAACUCUGACUUAUUCGAGUUUGAAUCAAGCUAAUUAGCUAAACCUUUGAUUUGUUUUAUUUAUUUACUUUUGGCUUUACUCUAUUUUUUUUUAUUCAAGUUUUGUUAUUGUGCAAUUUUAAAGCCAUUGUUUCCUCCUUUUUCGCACUAAAGGGUUCUCUAAUUAUACCGUCACUUUCUAAUACACCAUUUGUCCUUCUUCUUUUAAUUAUUAUCCGAAACACAAACAUCUUUCAAAAUCUUCUAGAAUCACAAGUUCUGUUGAAUCUCUCAAUAGAUUUUACCUUAUAUUAUGAUUUGAUUAUACUUUAUAUUAUGACUUGAUGUAUGUUUGGUAUCGUCGUAGAUUUAUAAAUAUCAUGACGACUCGUGCGAUUCUAACAAAUUUAAAGUAAUGUCAAAUAUGAAAUUAAACAAACAUUAUACUCCCUCUGUUCCAAAUUGUAUGACGUUUUGACUAUUUCACACGUAUUAAGAAAUGUAAUUAAUAUUGUGUGGGGAAGAGAAAUUAUGAGUUGUUUUACAAAAUUAUCCUUAAUAAAUGGUAUGGAAAAGAUAAAUUAAAUAAUUGAAAGAAGAGAGAGUAAUUAAUAGUUAAGGAUAUAAUAGGAAAAAUAACAUUAAUAUUUCAUUGGUAUUGUAAAACGACAUAUAAUUUAGGACAAAUUUUUUUUCCAAAACGACAUACAAUUUAGGACGGAUGGAGUAUGUAAGUUGUUUUUUCUCGGCGAUGUAAAGAAAAUUCACAUAAUUAACUCGUGUCAUUAUGAUGAGUAAAUUUUUAUAGAAAAACUUAAAGACGCUUGAUUAUUAUAAUUACUGGUAAUUGUUUGAUUGUUACGUACGCAUGCGUUUAAAGCAUGAGGUAUGAGUUAUUUAGGUUGGUAAAAGUAAAACUAAAACAACAGAGAAAUAGACACAAUCACAUAUAGCAUGUGACAAGCUAUAAUGAUUCAUGAAACUGCCGUUUGAAUUAGGCAAGGCGUUCAAUACUUAUUUAUUAUUAUGAGCAUUUGCUGUUGGAGGGAAACAUGUCCACGGGUUUAUCAAUUGAAAGCAAUGGCUAAUUGUUCUUGCAAUUUCUUCUUGACCAAUUCAAUUGAGGUUGGUCCCUCUAAUUUAUCAAGAAAAAUAUUUAUUUAUUUAUUUAUUCUGUUGUUAAUUCAUGGAGUAAUUGGGUCAAGAAUGAGUUGAGAGAAAGAGAUGAGGGUGAUGGUGUUGAAAUGAAAUGUCCCAUUCGUGUCCAAGAAAAUGAGGAUAAGUGUGGUACCACCAACCGUCACUAUUGGAAUUGGAACCCACUAAAGAAGCUAGACCGUGGCACUCAUCAAGCAGCUAACAAACCAAAUAAGAAAAUAUAAAUUAUAAAUAGAGAGAAUUGACAAAACUAUUUCACUCUUUUGACAAUUGAGAAAUAGUUUUAAAAAUGUAAAAUCAAGUUGUUUUAUUAUGAGGUCUUGGUUAAAAUAGUCAGGUAAGUACAACUAUUGUGAUAAAAGAUGAAGAAAUGUUUGAUGUGAUGCCUUUUGCAUUUAGUUUUAUGAAUGAGUCAUAUUGAGUAAAUAGUCAAUCAAUUACCCUCCUGAAAUUAACAAAACUUCAAUUACCUCCUGAAAUUUUACAAUGUUAGUCAAUUUACCCCCUCCGUCAAAUUUUUUUGUUAGUGAACAUGACGGUUUGCAAAUACCCCCCUGAAGUUUUGCACUUAUGUGCAAAAUGGCCCCCAAACUUAAAAAUUUAUAUUAUUUUUUUCUUAAAAACAAACAAUUAAUAGUUAAAUAUUAAAACUAACUAUUAAUUUUGGAAUUUGGGAAAACUACAUGCAUAUAUACAUCAAAAUAGGCUCCAAAAUGGGGGAAAAUAUGUAUUUUUUAAAGUGACAAUAAUGGGAUGAUUUGUGGAUUAAUAUUGGGGGUUGUGUAGUUUAAAUGGUUUGAGCAAAUUGUUGAAGGAGUUGGAGGAGUUAAAAGACUAAGAUGGUGAAGGAGAAAAUAUAAAUUUAAAUCUGAUUAUUAAUUUGUUUAUAAACCUCUAAAAAUAAUAAUUUGUCUAUUAGAAAUAACCAUUAUUGUCACUUUAAAAAAACACAUUUUUCCCUAUUUUGAUGUAAAUAUGUAUGUAGUUUUUCCAAACUCCAAAAUUAAUAGUUAGCUUUAAUAUUUAACUAUUAAUUGUUUGUUUUUAAGAAAAAAAUAAUAUAAAUUUUUAAGUUUGGGGGGCAUUUUGCACAUAAGUGCAAAACUUCAGGGGGGUAUUUGCAAAACGUCAUGUUCACUAACAGAAAAAUUUGACGGAGGGAUAAAUUGACUAACGUUGUGAAAUUUCAGGGGGGUAAUUGAUGAAACUUAUAAUUUCAGGGGGGAAAUUGACUAUUUACUCGAGUCAUAUUAUGGAUGAGAAAGAAAAAUGUAAGAAUGAAAACAAGUAAACAUAAAUUAAUUUUCCAAAAUUAGUGAAUUUGAAUCUUUUUAGUAAAUAAAUUCAAAUUCAAGAAAUCAAAAUAAGAGGGACUUAUUGGACCAAACAUUUUAAAAGACAAGAUUAACUUUAGUUAUAUUUUUUUUAUCAAUGAUUAAAUUCAACACUAACAAAAUGGAAAAAGGGUUAAAAUAAUUUUUAUACGUAGACGAAAUGACAGAUAUCACCAUAAACCAACAUAAAUAAAAUAGAGAAAUUCAAGUUUUAAUCCAAAAACAUUGUCCUUCCGAUCACACUGUUAUGAACAAAAUUAACUUUUUAUAACCAUUAAAUAAUUUAUAUAUUUGAUAUAUAUUUUAGACCAUAGACGUCCGUUAUUUUUGUAAAGUGAAAUUUUUGUUUAUAACAAUAAACAAAUAUAUUUAAACGAUGUAGAAAUAGAGAAGAAUUUCUCCUUGGUAUUUUUUGGUAAAUAGAAAUUCUCCUUGGUGCAUACUGCAUAGUAACACACCUCCAUCUUAACCAAAACCAUAAAAAUAAGGGUUAACUAAGUUUUUAAUCCUAUAAAUAUUUACAGUUUUGUUUCUAGUCCCUACAAAAUAAAAUCACACUUUUUAGUCAUGUGACAUUUUCCUUAAACAUUUUAGGGACUAAAAAUGUCGAUGGAAAAUUUUAUAGGGAUUAAAAAUGCUGAUGGAAAAUUUUAUAGGGACUAAAAAUGUUGAUGGAAAAUUUUAUAGGAAUUAAAAAGUGUGAUUUUAUUUUGUAGGGACUAAAAACAAAAUUAUAAAUAUUUAUAAAGAUCAUUUAUUUUUUUUGACCAAAUAAAAACCAUUUACUUAAUUAAUCCUACAAAUAAAUAAACGCAUCGCCAUUCACGGAAUCAUGUCCCAUCUUGAUUGGUACGCGUCACCAUUUACAUUUAUAUUUCAGGUUAGCUUCAUUUCAUUUUCACAUAUCAUGUUUUCAAACAAAAUUAUCUAUCCUUCUCUCUUUUCACUAUUCAUAUGACGGGACAUAAAAAGUAGUAGUAAAAUAGAAAGAAUAAUGUCUCUGUUUAUAUUGUAAAAAAAAAAUGUCCCUUUUUAUGGUCUAUAUAGAAAGAAAAAAACAUGUCUGUAUAAUAUGACAACCUUAUCCUUUAUUUUACACUGUCAGUUUUAGAUAUUAAAAAUUUGUCAAAAAAAAGAUAUACUGUAAAAGUAUGAGUGAAGAUUUUAUUCAAAUUGGAUAGUUUUCUUCACUCAUGCAAAACUCUCUUUUCUACCAAUGAAUUAACAAAUUUUAUCAUAUUUCUUUUCAGAGAGCAAUGAGAUUAAUCAAGCGAAAAACAUUUCACGAUAAAUUGACAAAUGAAAAAAAAAUAAAAAAUUGAGAGAAAUUGACAAAUGACAAUUGAAAAAACUUACAAUGUACUUUUUAUUUAUAUUCACCGCAUAGCAAAAGUGAUGAUACUCUAACUUUUUUCAUAUAAUAUUCACACCUAAUUUGUGAGGAGUAUUUAUUUAAAAAUUUUGAUUUAGUAGGAGCCUGGAAGCAAAGCAGAUUAGCAGAGCACAUGAAAGUAUAUAAGACAUUUUUUAGGUUGAAAUGAUGACUUUAAAUUUAGUUGGGAAACGGUUAACUACCACCCAUUACCUUUUUAUUUUAAGAAGAAAAAAAAAACUUAAAAAGCAUUUAGGAGUCAAAUGCAAGUAUAUGUUCAAUCAUAACAUCCGAUCUCACAAUUUCAACAUUUUUUUUAAUUGAGCAAGAACUUGUGGACACGUUAUUAUUAACAUAUCUAAGAACACUUCAUUAAAGUCAUAAUAGAUCUCUUCCGACUUAAACAGAGAUAUUGCGUUCAAAUUCAGUUUGAGAAUAUAACAGUGUUAAAUCUCUUAAUGGAGAGUUUUGUCACUCAUUAUAGUUCUAUUCAGCUCGAGAGAUUAGUCUUUGCAGUUACACGUAUAGAGUUUUUUUAUAGCAUGUUUGAAUACGAGUGACCCAAAGGCCAACAACCUCAAACUCAUACUUUAGACCUCAAAAUUUUGGAAUCAGAAAAUACUUUAAAAAGUUUAAUUUAAUUAUAAAUAUAAGGCUUAAUUACACUUUUGGUCCUACCAUUUUGACCAACUCAUGAAAAUGGUCCUAUCUUUUUUAAAUCGAACAAAAUCGUCCUUAAACUAUAUGUUUUUUGCAGUUUUAGUCUUAUCUCCCUAUUUCCAACUCUAGAAAUGACACUUUUAGUCCAACCACCUAUGCUCAACCAUGAAAUAAACAAAGAAUAAAACAUGCGGGUACAAGAAAUCUACUUUAUUCAACACACUGACCUAAUUUCCGAGAUAUGUUACAUACCUGAAACAUGUCUUAGAAAUUAGGGUUUUUCUUGGUUUGUGUGCUGAACAAAGUAGAUUUCUUGUACCCACAUGAUUUAUUCCUUGUUUAUUUCAUGGUUGAGCAUAAGUGGUUGGACUAAAACUGUCAUUUAUGUGCGUUUCUGGAGUUGAAAAUAGGGAGAUAGGACUAAAACUGCAAAAAACAUAUAGUUUAGGGACGAUUUUGUUCGAUUUAAAAGAGGUAUGAUCAAUUUCGUGAGUUGAUCAAAAUGCAAUGACCAAAAGUAUAAUUAAGCCUAAAUAUAAUAUGACAUGUUAGUUAUAAAUGUUCUUCUAAUUCUAUUAGUCAAUAUAAGAACCUCGUAUCAAUCUUGAUCAACAUUUUUUUUUUUUUUGUGUUAACCCUCUAUGUUUUAGAGAAAAAAAUAUAAGUAAAUUCUGACCAAUAAUUAUUCAAACCAAAAAUCGAACCCAGGUUCUCCUUAGCAAGUUUGGUCAACAUUUGAACAUUAAACUUAGCAAAACUUAUUUUUAUUAUAUAAUUUAUUUCUUUGAGAUUUGUUUCAUUUUAAAAGACCACAUUAGAAAUUUUACUUUGAACCUCUAAACAUGUUGGACUCGUCCUGUGUUUAAGUGAUGUUGAUUGAAAUUGAUUUCACCUUUUAAACUAAUUUUAAUUUAAGGCUAUAAUAUAUAGUAGACUCAGGCUAACAUGUGUCUUUAGGAUACAUGUUAAUUUUUUAUUUUUUUUUUAUAAAUAAUAAAUAUUUAUUGAGGAAAAGUAAUUUUCAAAAUUUUAAAAAAUGGAUUAGCACAAUUUCUAAUACAUAAUUUAUAUCUUUGGUAUAUUAACAUGUGACUUCAAAUUUGACUUUUACACUUAAAUUUUUGUUCAAUUUUUUUAGGUAAAACCUAACACACGAAUAAAGUAGAGUGAUGAUAUUUAUACAAACAUUUAACGAUAAUUUUUGCGACAAUUUUUUUUUUAUUAGUAAAAAACAAUAGAAAGAGAGAAAAAAAUGAGAGCGAUAGAGAGUAAAAACAUAAUAUGAUUGUUAGAGAAUGUUAUUCAAAAAAUUUCACCAAAUAAAUUUACAAUUGUCAUUUUUCGGAGUAAGUAACUUUUUAUUCUUCCCCCUCGAAAAAGAAAAUUAACUUCUUCUUCCUAACGAGAUGAGUUAUUGAAGGAUGUCGGCUUAACCAAUAAGUGACAUUGAAUACUAGCUAGUAGGGGUCCAUAACUCAAGUUUCGUUUUCAUAUGGAAUGAACAACAAUUUCAAUACUAGUAUCACUUUUUCUUCAAAAAAAAUACUAGUAUGAAGUAUCACUUUAUUCAUCGUAGACUCAUUUGUUUGGUACUUUCGUCAACGGAGAGAAUAGGAAAGAAAGUUUAAAAGAAGAAAAAGUGAAGGAGGACAUUUUAAAAAUAUGGAUCAAAUACGGUUUUGGUUUCUAUAAAAUUGUGAGGUUUUAAAUUUAAUUCGUACAUAAUACUUCCCACAUAAUACUAUUAUUAAUAGUAUUUUUUUAGUAAAUUACAAUCUUCUUCUUUCAAAGAUGCUUGAAUUACAUUUUCUUCCUCUUAAAAAUUCGUAAAUCACACUCCUCUCCCCUCUUAUGUUAAAAUAUAUAUUUCCCUCCCUUGAAAAAUAAAAUUUAUACUCCCCUCCCUUAUAAGAUGCUUGAAUUAUAAUCCACUCCCUUAGUAAUUAAAUAUGCACUACACUUUAAUCUAUUUUAACAUAAACAAAUAUGAUAUAUAUUAAUUUUGAACCAUCAUUUAGGAAAAAUUAAAUUAUUUCUUAAUAAUUUGAAUGCCAAUGAUAAUUAAAUUUAAAUAUUUUGCUAUUGAUUUGAUAAUUUAGAGUAUAAAAUUAACUUUUAAAUAACCAUGCUUUAUUGUCUUUAGUAAUUUUUCACAUAUUUUAAUUUUAAUUUGGGUUGUUUCAUAUUUUAUAAUAAGGUUUAAAACUACAUGUUAAUGAAAUUGUGAAUAAAAAAUAGCGAAAAAUAUGUAUUCAAUUUUUUAUUAUAUUAAAAUAGACCCGCGAUACUAUUUUUUUCGAAGUGUGUGUUAGAUUAUUAUUAUUAUUAUUAUUAUUAUUAUUUUUCUAGAUUAUUAGAAAUAAUAAAAAGUAAAUAUUGAUGGAGUAAAGUGUAGAUUUUAACAUAAGGGGGGAGUAAAAAUGUAAUUCAAGCUUCUCUUAGGGGAGGGGAGUGAAAAAAUUUCUAAUAUGUUUUGAAUAAGAGGAGAGGGGAGUAUAUAUUUUAACAUAAGAGGGGAGUGUAAUUCAAGCAUAUUUGAGGAGAGGGAAGUAUAAUUUACUCUAUAUUUUUUAUGAAGAUCAUUAAUUUAUAAAAUCAUUUGUUAUCAAAUUUGGUCCCUGAAGUCAAAUGGUAUCAGAAUUACAUACACCAUAAACAAGUUAAUAAAUAUACUUCACUUAGAGCUACCCAACCCGCAUUAACACCAUAAACUUAAAACAGAUAUUUGAUUUACAAAAUGAAAAAAAAAUUACAAGAUCAAAACCAAAAUUCAGUAUACUUACAGUUACAUAGAUUGAACAUAUAUUUAAAUCUAUAAAAAUGAUGGUAAUUAUUUAUUACUAUCAGAAUUCAGAGAUCAGAGCCAUAAAAAUACUAUCAGAAUUCAGAGAUCAGAGCCAUAAAAAUCAAGCACAAGGCCACAUUCCUUGGUAACAUGUUUUGGAUUAUUUGAUGAACUAAUCUGUUUCUUGUCAUGCCAACAAACACUGAUCCAUUUCACAUGAACAUGAUAAAGACCAGAGAUGGUAUGGGCAAGUGGGCAAUGGUUGAUGGGCUAAUAAGAAAAAUGUGAACCAAGACAAAAAGAGAGUGUGUGGCCAAACUGGAUAGAGUGGCGGUUCUGUAAGCAAGCAGGUGCAUUGCUUUAGGCCACCAAGCACCAUCACACUCUAUUGUUAAUCUUCUCUGACAUGGUGUCUCAAUGAGGCCAAGACAACUAUUGGUCCACUUUUAUGGUUUCUUAAUUAAUCACUAAAUUAUUAUUUUUAGUCCACUUUUGACAAAUAUUUCUAUAUAGCUAGGCUCCAUUCAACCUUAUAUUCCCUUUGUCUCAUUCUUUGUCUAUCUAUCAUCCAUAAUAAAAUCUUAACCCUUUCAAUUUCUUCAUUCUUCCUCACUUUCAAGUCCAUUCAACAAUUUGAUUAUAAACUGAAUGAAACCAUUUACUGAUAUCUUUGAGCCCCUUUAAUAUUUGUAAUUUUUCACUUGUGUACAAAUGAUGAUAUUUUAUUAUGAAUAUCACUUUUUUAAUUACUCUCUCCAUUUCAAAAUACAUAUCCAAUUUUUGCAAUGUGCACUAUUCACUUGACUUACUUUGACCAUAUUUUUUAACUAAUGUAUAAAUACAAAUAUUAGCAUGUAAGAUGUUGUUUGAUUUGUCUCGACAAAUAUUUUCAAAAUAUUAAAUUUUUAUAAUUUUUUACUUUAGAUAAUUAAAGAUAUUAACGGUCAAAAUUAUGUAUUGGUAUAUGUGAAGUGAUUGACUUGGACAUGUAUUUUGAAAUGGAUGGAGUAUCAUAUUGAGAAAAUAAAGAGAAAAAUAGAAGUAAAUACAUGAAAGCCGACUUAGCUCAGUGGUAGAGCGCGUGGCUUUUAACCACGUGGUCGUGGGUUCGAUCCCCACAGUCGGCGUUUCAUUUUUUUUUUCUGUAGUAAAAACAUAAAUUUGAAAUAUUCAAUAUGUUUUUAUAGAGAAAUAUAAUUAAAUUCAAUCUUUUUUAUUGACGCAUAUAUUCAAUCUAAAUAUAUCUUGUAGUGGUUAAAUUAAUUAGUUUUUUCUUUUCAUUUUACAAAACGUUUUCAAAAACCUCUUACAUUUGCAGGAUAAGAUUAACAGGUCAUUAGGCCAACUAAUUCCAACCAUGAUGACUUAGCUUUAGGACCUUAACAACAAUGUUUAGUCCUCUAAUUGCCACUUGCAUUAUUAUUAUUAUUAUUAUUAACUUUAUCUCUUCCUUAUUUGAUUCUUCUCACUACUGAUGAGUAUCAUUAAGUCAAUUUGGUGAUUCCUACGUUAAAGGGCAUAUGUCGCUAUUGAUUCAAAAAAGCUUUAAUCUAAGCACCAGAAAUUGCCUGCCAUUAAGUUAAAAAGUUAAAACUUAAAAAUUGGAGCAUACCAUGGUGAACCACAAUAUGCUUGUCAGAUAUUGUCUAUGCCUAAAGACAAAUGACAAAAGCAAAAAAAUAAAAUGGAUUACGAGACAAUAAUCAACAACUUGGUCAUAUAUACAUGUGCAAAUUAGUUUUGCACUGUCACUACUAUCUUUCCAAGAAUUUCUCUAACAAUUGACAUGUGAGACCACGUUGAUGAUUAGUGAUGUAGACAUAAAAAAAAUAUUUAUAACUUCAUAAAUUUGACAUGAAAGAGGUUGAAUGGAAGGUAGAAAAUGGCCUUUAUAUACACUUUCUUCUUUCUCCGUGUCUUCCUCACUUCUUCUUUUGGGAUAUUGUAACACUAAUCAUUGUUCCAUAUAUUGUUACGCCAAGAAGCAAUUGAUUAAAGCUUAAACGUGUUUGGAUUAACAACGAGUUUGAUGAAAUUGUGACGACACUAUAAAAUUAUUAAGACGAUGAUUUUGUUGUGAUCUAUCAUAAUUUCGUCAAAUUCACUCUUGAUUCAAAUCCACGUGUAUAAUUUACUGAAUAUGGUGGAGUGUAAAAUAAUCACCUAACCUUUUUUUUCCCACUCAAUAAUUACCCAACCUUUUGUUUUUUUUCACAAGAAUAACCACCUAACCUAAAAAAGUAUUUUCCUGGAGUAUGUUAUAGCAAUAUGCUAGUACGGUAUUAGUACCGUGUCCUUUUUUAUUUUAUUUUAUUAACGACACGCACAAAACACUAAAUAAAUUAAAUAGUAAAGGCACUGAAAUACUGACAAUAUAUGUAAGGCAUGGCUAGCUAGAAAGAAGAGCUAGCUCUGUUAUCUUUCAACAGCUUGCACAACCUGUUCAAUUGAAUUAAAAUGAAGAUAUGAUCUGUAAUGUUGUACCAUAUAGUAGAGUUUUAAAAAUUAGCUGUAUGAUUUUUACUAUUUAUAUAUACCGCUUGGCUUGUUGUAGACAGGGUAGUUGGAAAACAUCAUGACAUGUAAAAAUUGAAAGACAGUGUUUCAUCUCUUUCAGAAAAUAUACAAAGUUUCAUAUUGUUUGUGAAUCGAGAUUAAAAGUAAUUUAUCCAAUGAGUUGUCUUUUUUAAAGGAAAAAAUUGUUUGAGUUUUUGAAAAACUCACAACAACAAUACAUCAAAAACGCGGUCGAGCCGACUUGAGGUUGGAAAAUUGGUACGCUAGGUAGGUGCCUAAGCAUCAAGCCCUUUAAUUUGUGAGCCUCAAUUGAGGGAUUAAUAAUACACCAAAAAAGUUCCAUAUUAUUUGAGAAUUAAGAUUAAAGUAAUUUGUAAACAUCUAUGCUUCUCUAUCGAUGCCUUUUAACUAAAGAUAGAACCAUGAAGACUUAUACACAAGACCCAAAAAAAGACAAUAUAUCAAAAAAUGGUGUCGCAAAAUUGAGGUAAGAACAAUUUCAUAUAGUGCCUUUGUGGAAUGUAGGCUGGCUUUGCUUCUUAACCACAUUUUCAUUAAGCAGAAUAUUGUUACUUUGUCCGCACGUUUUGUAUUGUGGGGCUUAACCCCUGAAAAUUAAAUGGAAUAUUUUCCUACCGGAUCUAAUUGGUCAAUUAAAUGAAUGAGAACUUAUAUUGUUUAAUGUAAUCUGUUUUCUUUCCAACACAUAUUCCUUCUAGCAGCCAUAUAGUAGACUAUAGACACCGUCUUACAUCCUUGUAAGCAGUUUAUUUAAGCACUAAACAUUUUAUUUAAGCUCUAACCUAAUAAUCACUUGAUAAUAAUUUAUAUCUAUGGUGCUCCCUCUUUCGGUUGUUUAAUGCUUUUCCCCUUUGCUUUAUAUAUUCAUUCAUAACACAAACAUUUGAUGAUGGCAUUUUUGGACGCGUUUCAAUGAACAAAGGGAAGGAGAUAGAAAAGAAAGAACGCUCAAACUAAAAAUUAUCCUUUAGAUAUGUGGCCUCCUUUUUUUGUUCAAGUAUAGGACUUCAUGUAUUAAAUCACUGUUCCUAGAAAAAUGUACUAAAAAAUGAGUUCUUGAGUUUGGAGGUUGUCACUGGUUUUAUCAUGGCACGAUUGCAGGGCAUUGUGACACGAUUAACAGAAAGAGUGUAAUAUUGUACUACCAUAUUAACUAUUUAUCGUGGCACGAUGGUUGCUUAAAGUGACACGAUGACUCAUAAUUAUAGACAAUAUAUAAGACUUCAUUCUUCGGGAUUCAAGAGAGAGAAACCUAGGAUAUCAAAUGAGGUAACUUUAGGGUUGAAUGUCUUUGGUGAGAGGUUCUCUUGGGUUGGGAGACAGUUGUAAAUACUUUGGGUGAGUGAAAUCAUUGAGUCUCUUGUUCUUAGGAAGAGUUUGAGAAAAUGGUAGAAAUUAGGUUUUGUUCUUAGAGAACUUGUUGAGACUAAUUUCUUGUAACUCUUUUGUAUUUCUUUCUAAAGAACUUCUUGAUAGUGAAGUGAAAACGUCUCUCUCCCCAAGAAUAGGUCAUUGUUGGACCGAACUGGACAAACAUUUAUUGGAGUGUUUGUUUAUCUUUUGCUUGUGAUUUUGUGACUUACACUUGAUUCUUAUAUUAGAUUUAGGUUUAUUAUUGGUGUCGUCGUCGUUUGAUGUUACUUUAAUAUUGGUUACUACUUUCUUUUUGUCCCAUAAUCUAAAUUUCAUUAGUGUGAGAUUUGUAGUUAUUGAGUUCACAACAUAACUCAUAUAUGAAAAAACAAAGAAAACUUUAUAAAAAUGCACAAAUAAAUUUCUCAACAUGUCUUAUAUAGGGAGUAUAUAUAACACUUCUUGCCGGUGAGUUGUCAGACUCUUAAAAUGCCACUUUUCCAACAUUGUAUAUAGUUUUUAAGGAAAUGCUUAAAUACAUUGUAUUCUUAAAUACAUUGUCCACUUAUUUGUGUUUUUUUAAAAUUUGUUUUGAAUAGAUAUGCCUAGGGACGAGGAUGAGCGGCAUCGGGUUAUUAGAGAGGAUAGGAUCCGCAAAGGCAACACGGCGAGUACCGCUAGCGCUCGGAAGGAAAAGGUGGACCAAAACCCGUAUGUCCCGAAGACUCGGAAGCGGAGGGACGCGAGGCCAGGUGUAGAGAGCUUACUGCCGCAUAUGUAUUACUCCUCCCAGGUGGUUGAUCCGACACAGACGUAUGUGUAGCGGAGGGAUUUCAGGGAUAUGUUUGGAUGGAGGAGGAUAGAAUGUUUUAUCAGCCGGAGGACGAGGCAGAGGAGGUGCCAGAGGAUGUUGUGGCGGAUUAUAUGGAGGCAGAGAAUGUUAUUCCUAAGGGUAAACCUGAGCCUCAGACUCAGCGACAACGUCGUUGUGUUCCACAGUUAUUGCCAUAUCCUGUUGGAGAGCCUCCAUAUCCUGGAGGACAUGAGAUCACGUCACUGUUGUCCGACUACGUGAGGCACGUGGCGAACCCUCUUUGGGUGAACCAUCAUAAUGUAAGCGUUUAAAUUAUUUAAAAUUCUUUAAAUGCUUUAAAGUGAUUAUUUAAAAUAAUGUAGCAUAAAUGUUAUAAUUAUUUAAAAUAAUGUAGCGUAAAUGUUUUAAUUAUUUAAAAGAAUGUAGCGUUAAUGUUUUAAUUAUAUAAUAUUAUGUAGCGUUAAUGUUUUAAUUAUAUAAUAUUAUGUAGCGUAAGUGUUUUAAUUAUAUAAUAUUAUGUAGCAUAAGUGUUUUAAUUAUAUAAAUUAGUGACAAUGUCUUAAUUAAUUUGAAUUUCAGAUGUGGCAUGAUCAAACGAGUUACAAGUGUAUAAAUGCAGGGAAAAAGAUGAAAGAGCUUGGUAAGCCGGAGGCGGGUUUGAGGUCGUUUUGGGAGCAUGUGGAGGGGUCUGGCCUACAUGAUUUGUUAUACACGGGGUAUUCUACCGUGACCCAUGCCAUGAUACGUGCUAUGUGCGAGAGGUGGCACACAGAGACCAGUAGUUUUCAUCUACCUGUGGGGGAGAUGACGAUCACUUUAGACGAUGUACAUAAUCUCCUACACAUUCCUAUUCACGACCGCAUGCUGGACCACGAUGAGGCAAUGGAGCAUGCGAUUGAUUUGAUGACCAGGUUGUUGGGUAUGUUAGAUGUUGAUGCUAGGGCUGAGAUAAGGACUGAGUCUGCUGGUCAUAUUAGUUAUCCCACACUGAAGUGGGUUUAUGAAGACCACCUGACAGAGGCUAGACGGCUGGAGGACCCACAGACGAGGGAGGAGCUGCAGGAGAGAGCCAGGAGGAGACAAUGGUGUGUGAGGAGUUUUCUUCUAUAUCUCGUCGGUUGUGCGCUGUUCACUAACAAAACGAACAGACACAUCGACUUGAUAUAUCUUGAUUGUAUGGCGGACUUGCAGGCGAUUGGGAAGUGGUCAUGGGGAGGAAUGGCCUUAGCGUACUUGUACUACUAUCUGGAUGAUUCUGUUAUUUUGAAUAACAGAACGAUGGCUGGUAGUACGACUCUUUUUAUGGUAAUAAUUUAAUAUUUAUCUUCAUUUCUUUAUGAAUUUAUUUUAUAAUUUUUAUUAUCAUGUUAGAUUAUUUUUUCCUAAGUUAGACUGCAUUUAUUUAGGAUUUAAUUUAAAUUUUCUGUGAAGCUUUUAUAAUGUAUUUUAUUUAUUUGUUGCAGUGAUGGAUUUUGGAGCAUUUGUCUGGUCCGUACACAAGGAAGAAAAACACGGAGUGAACGCCCGAGAGACCAUAUGCUGGGAGAUGGCUUACAAGCAAAGGACAUAAAUAUGUGCACCAAUUUCGCUCACGCCUGGAUCGCUUGGAGGUGGAUGACGUCAGGUUUUCUACUUAUGGUGAUCACAGAGACGUGCACCUAUUUCAACUUAUUGUCACUUACUCGGGAUGGCUGAUGUGCGGAAAGGAGAUGGUGUAACGUCAUUUAUUUGAGCGGGUAAAGAGGAGGCUUUUCUAUGUACAGGAUGUUCCCAGACAUCCGUCAUCUGUUGCUCAGGUGCCUACGCAUGAUCUCACCACUGUGCUGCAAAACGCUCAGGCAUGGUUCUUCACUGCUUGGGGAGAUGCGUGUGAGAGACCAUGGCAUCAUGCGCCUGACUACAUGGCUUGGUAUGCCAAAGUCUCUCACCCUCGUAUUCUCCCACCUAAUGAAGGAUCUCCUCCCAGACCUACGAACGUGGAACAGAUCAUAGAGGAGGAGCAUGCCAGAGAGAUGCCUGACACACUGACGAUCAUCCGGGAUGUGGUGCAUAUAGCUGAUGAUAUUGUGGCCAGGCAAACCGAGAUGACUAAAGAGGAGAUUGUCCAAGAGGUGAUGCGGAUAGCCGGUACUGGUCGCCCUGCCCUUACGUAUCAGAUUGCCAGGCGGCGCAGGGGGCCAAGGCAUGCUAGGCAGCAGGGUUGAUUAUGAUUAGGGUUUUUUUUAUUUACUUUUUUUACUGUGAUGUAUAAUUAUGACAUGUUCCGUACAUUUUGGUAUUUAUAUGACAUUUUCCGACAUACCUUUUAUAUUAUUUCUUGCGUUUUAAUUUUUUAUGUUAAAUAUUAUUUUGUACACGUACAUUUUAAUUUCCCGACAUAUCCUGAUUAUUUACUUUAAUUUUCAAUUGUAUGCAAAAACAGGCCAAAGUUCCUGGAAAAACCAGUGCAGAGUGCACUGGUUUUGUUAACUAGUGUGAACGGCAAUUAACUGCCGCUGGUGUCAGUGGUUGUUAACUGUCGGCGUAUCAUGAAGCGGUUGUUAACUGUCGCUAGAGGCAUUUACGUAUUUUACUUGUGUCAAUAUGAAAUUUUCACUGUCAAAAAAGCAAUUUUCUCAUUCUUUUUGGGUCAAGCCGUUCUACCCAUUUUUAUUUGGGCCGUUUCAGAGUCCACUCUGGUGGAGGGCCCGAAUUAGGGCCCAUUUAGUAUAGAUUUAAAAAAAUUAAAAUUAUUUUAACACUUUUUUUUCUUCAAAAAUGAUGUUAAUAAAAAACAGUACAUAUUUUAGACACAUUUUUUAUUGAUUAAAAGAGUAAUAUUGACAUUCAGUAAGUAACCUAGAUAUCCACGUUAGAGAUUUUAACAUAAUAGAGAUUCAUUUUUGAAAUAUCUCUCAAAAAUGAAUUUUGUGAGAAUCUAUUCAAAAUAGCUUCUUAUUUUAUAUAUAUUUUUUUGAAAUUUUAUCAUCCAAAAUCGGUAAUAAAAUGUUGAAAUAUUUAAAUUGAUUUUUCCAUGAGAAUCUUUGUAUCUGAAAAAAGCCAAGGGCAAAUGCAAGCGCAUCCCUUAAAAAGAAAUUACUUGGCUCCCUUAGUCGAUUUUUUUUUUUGGUCUAGAGUCGAUUUUUUAUUUUCAUCCGAAAAAGGAUAAUUCAUCACUUCAAAAAUAAAUAAAUAUUUUUAUUCAUUAAUUUAAAAACAUUAUAAUCAAAUUUAUAAUAAAAUAUACGUGCGUUUAUAAUAAAUACUUAAAUUACAUAAAAUUGUUAUUUUUAUCAUCGACAAAUUUACAUCGUACUUGUGAAUUGAAAGUCUAAAUAAAAAACAUACAAUAAUUUUCAACCUGGAAGUUUUUCCCUAGUAAAACAUGAAAGUUUUUUUAAGUAAACAUGGAAGUAAAUUCUCUAAUAGAAAAUAUCAAAAUAGUGUAAGAAGUUUACAAAGUGCAAUAUUUGGAUUGAGAGGAUUCACCAUGCUUGAGGGAUGUUAUCUAGAGCUGUUAAAACGAACCGACCUUGGGUCAUAAAAGCCCGAAAAAUGCCGGGUUUGCACAUAAAAAAUUAGUCCCGUUAAAAAUCGGAUCUUUUUAGCCCGAGCUCGUCGUGGGCUAGCCCGUUUAUUUUAUAAUUAUUUUUUAAUUUAUAUUGCUAUACUGAAAGCUUGGACAUUGUUUCCUAGUUUCCACAAUGGUUCAGUAAUGCAUUUUUAUAUGUUUCAAUAUCUAAUUCUAUUCAAUAUGUUUCCUGUCAACCAAUGAUGAUCAUUUUGUUGAUGCCUAAAGGUUAUAAACUGAUGCAACUUUGUUUAGAUAAUUUUUUGAUGUUGUUUAUAAGUAAUUGCUGUGCUGUUAAUUUUAAAUGAACUUUGUUUACAUCAAAAUUCUGCUAAUUAUAAGUAAUUGCGGUGCUGUUUUGCUGAUGAUGCAGGGGUAUGCAAUUUAUGUUGCUCUUUUGAUUGUAUUAUUGUGGAUUUGAAUGUAAUUUGCUGUAAUGUCUACUUUAAUAUGUAAUAUUUGGCACAUGAAAAUUUAACAUUGGUAUUUUGGGAAGUUUAGCAUUCAUUGGUAUUUUUUUAGAGUAAUUUUUUAAUUAAAAUCUUAAAGUAACCGGGCUGGCCCGAAAGGCCGUAGUCCGCAAAGGGCUGGACUUGGACAAAUAUUUUUGAGCCCACCAAAGCCCGAGUCCGUCACGGGCCGGUCCGACGCAGGCCGGAUAGUCCGUUUUGACAGCUCUUGUUAUCGCAUGUUCUUUGGAUAAUUUAGUGAGCUAGGCUCUCAUUGUACCGUUGCUCUCUCUAUUCUUUUCUUCUGAUAAUUAAUAUUUUAUUGUCCCCGUGAGUAUAGCUCAAUUAGUAGGGACAUUGCAUAAUUUAUGCAGGGGCUGGGGUUCGAACUCUGGACACACCACUUCUCCACAUUUAAAUGUGUGAGCUCCCGCCACUAGGCUAUUAAACAAAAAAAAAAUUAUUGAAUUUGUCUAACCAACAGGAGAGACGGAAAAAACGUGGGAUGGGAGGGCUAGAGAUAUUAUUGUACUUUCUAUUUAGAUUAUUAGAUUAGAUAUUAGAUUUUAAUUAAAUGACCUCCUAGAUUUUAUGGAUCCCUCCCCUCUCUAACCUCCAAUAAUUAAAAGUCGAAGUCUCUUAAAAGAGUAGUGUAGUGAUUUGGAUUAGGACACAAAAAUUACAUGUAGGAGGUCUAGGGGUCAAUCUCUACUCCUAACAUUUACCAUAACCUUUAUUGACUAAACCAUUUACCAUGCUACUAAUAUUUGUUAUUUUGAUCGUUCUUAAAAAGAACACAGAGAAGGAGAAGAAAGAAAAAUAGAGAAGAGGAGUAAACAGAGAUAAAAAAGGAGAGAUGAUGGGGAGGAUCUACAUACACUCUUGACAGAACUAAUUUGUUUAAUUGAUCUCCACCCAUUAAGUUAUCUUCAAAAAUAUAAAUUGAUGACACCAACAAAAUUUCAACGCGGUAAAAAUUCGUAAAAGAAAUUCUCAAAUUCACUAGUGAAAAAGUAAAACUUAUACCGGUAUAUAAGAGCAGUACCUCCAAUGGUAAACUUAUUUAAAGGAAUUUUGUGGGUCAAAAUAGAGCAACACCAUCUUGAAGCAAUCCACUUAUAUUUUGCUCCAUUGAUGCAAUUCUAAAAAACCAAUGCAUGGUCCCACAAUUUUAAUUCAUAUAUUAAUAUUUUAAUAAAGGUUAGGAUCAAAUGACACCAUGGUGUUAAAAUUAGUUUGACAUCAAAUCUCAUCCCUUCAUUUUAUUUAAUUCAAAGGCUUAAAACUAUCACCAAAUUAAUUAAUAUACACCAAAUACUCUCUAUCACCUAAUUAAGAAAAAUAUCUAUCAUCAUUAAUUUAUAAUCAAACAUUCCAUUUUUAUUUCCUCAAAUUUAUUUGUUUCUCUUUUUUAUUUCCCCAAAUUUAUAAAUUUUCCCAGAUUUCUAUAAUCAUACUCAAACUUCUUUUCUAAACUUUUUUAUAAAAUGAAUGGUUGAACUCAUAUUUGAGUAUAUGAGAUAAAGAUAAAGAAAUAUCAUUGAUGGUGAUGAUGACUCAAACAACCAUAGGUAUAUGAGUUCAACCAUUCAUUUUAUAAAAAAGUUUAGAAAAGAAGUUUGACUGUGAUUAUAGAAAUCUGGGAAAAUUUAUAAAUUUGGGGAAAUAAAAAAGAGAAACAAAUAAAUUUGGGAAAAUAAAAAUGGAAUGUUUGAUUAUAAAUUAAUGAUGAUAGAUAUUUUUCUUAAGAGAAAUGAUAUUUGUACAAACAAUUUGUGACAACUUUUGUACAACUUUCUCUCUCAUACUCACAUGAUGGUCUUAUCCUCUCUCUUCCUUUUUCUCUCUCCAUUGUUUUUGACCAAUAAGAAGAGAGAAAAACAAGGUUGUUACUAAAGUUGUCAUGGAAUGGAUGUACAAAUAUCAUUGCUCUUUUUUAAUUAGGUGAUAGAGAGUAUUUGAUGUAUAUUAAUUAAUUUGGUGAUAGUUUUAAGCCUUUGGAUUAAAUAAAAUGAAGGGAUGAGAUUUAAUGUCAAACUAAUUUUGACACCAUGGUGUCAUUUGAUCCUAAUCCUUUAAAUAAUAUGCAAGUAUAAUUUUGUACCGAUUCAUGAAGAGACGAUUAUUACAUGCUGUCAAAAUAUUGGACAACUUCAAUGGUAAUUUAUGGAAAAAGUGGAUGAUAAGUUGGAUGAAUGAUCCUUGAAAAGUGCCGUCAGAUAUGCUCUAGGUGAAAUUCACUUUAGGUUGGGUAAAACUAUCAACGUCGCAUUUUUUUUCUUCAAACAUGGACUCUAAAAAAAAAAACUGCUUUAAGAUGUUUAAUUUUCUUAAUUACUUUUCUGCUCAUAAAUAAUUUUGAACAUCUUUUACUAUCUAAAUUUUUUAUUUUUUUUAUAUUAUUUUUGACAAAAUCCAAUCAUAGUUUUUAAAAAAAUAAUAUUUUUUUUCAAAGAAAAUGAGUAUGUUAGGAAAAAAAGGGAAGUUGAUAAUAAUUUUAUUAGAGAAAAAAUGAUGUGCUGACAAGUUAAUUGUUGGGCUGGCAAUAUCACUACUUCCGUGGCCCAGAACUCAUUAUUCAUUAGUUGACAAUUUGAAUGAUUUUGUGUUUUAUUUUAUGAAAGAUUUUUUAUUUUAUUUUUUGUGGUGUUACAAUUUGAAUGAUUAAUAUAGGACCCAAAAUUGUAACAAUAAAAGAAAAGAGGACCCAAACAAAAAUAAAAGAAGGGGGAAAAUGACAUGUCCUCCUUACUUAUGAUAUACGACGACUAUAGGGGGACCAAAUUUUGCUGGAGAAUUGCUAUUCUCACAUUUGAUAAGGCUGUGGCACACGAGUAAUUUACUUUUUUGCCCCUUCGGCAGUUAAUUGCCGAGGAAAAUCUCGGUAGUUAACUGCCGAGAAUCUUCUACUAUAAAUCUGGCAGAAGCUCUCUCAUCCAUUAUUCAUCUCAUCUUCUUCAAAUUUCUCUCACAAAUCUCUCUUAAAAACACAACCAAAUCGAACCAAAUUUAUUCAACAAAAUCAGAAGUAAGUAAUUAUACUGCUAUUAAUUUACAUUUUAGUUGUUAUAAAUGUUUUUAUUUUUUAGUUUUUGAGUACAUUUAUUAUUUUUUAUUUUUUGACUAGAUUUACAUGUUAUAAUUAAUUUUUAGGGUGGAUUUUAGUUGAUUAAUGUUGUUAAAAUAUUUGCAUGAUGUUUAUGUUAUAAUUUAGAAUUUUAGGGUUAUUUAUUAUUUUGUUGUUUUAUAUUUAUUUUUUUAUUUUAGUUUUUAAUUAGAUUUACAUGUUAUAAUCAUUUUUAGAUUAGAUGUUAGUUGAUUGAUGUUAUAUUAUAUGAUUAAUUUUAUUUUAGUAAGAGUAUAUGAUUUAUAAUUUUAGGGUUAUUUUUAUGAAUUUUAGAGUCUAUGUAUAAUGUGCACAUCAAGUGUUUGAUGAAAUGUUUGAAUGAGUUUUUCAUUGAUUGUUUUUAAUUUCUUAUUGUGUAGAUUUGAAACAAUGACGGGGUGGAUCGACGUUCAUGCGCAAUUCAACGGCGGAGAACCUCAGAGGUUGAAGGUUUGGUGCCUUGGUGUAAAGUUAAGAGGUCUUAAGGAUGAACUGACUGAAUUCAACCAAGGAGUCAACCCCAGAGACACAAGGAGGGUGGAACACCUUCGGUAUAAACGUCAAACGCUCGACGAGGGGAGAGUUUCAUUCACUUGGGUGGAAUUAACAAACGACGAAAACGUGACGAGCAUGUUUUGAGAGCACAACAUGUUCCAAUGGAUCGAUAUGCGGGUGACGUUGCUGAGAUCAACUGAAGAUAUCAUCAACAACUUGAUUCCGCCAGAAGAUCGUCAUUAGUUAGGGUAAGGUGCAUUCCAACUGCAAUAAUUGUCUUACUCUGGAUGAGGCAAUUCAAACUUGUUAAUCAGCAGGACUCUAGUAUUCGAUAAGCGUCUUGAACGCUGGUAUUCAAGUGUCAAGGAAUGCACCUCAUUCUUUUGACACUUGAAUACCAGCGUUCAAGAUGUUGAUCGAAUACUGGAGUCCUGUUGGUUAGCAAGUUUGAAUUUGCCCCAUUCAGUGGUAAGAUGAUUGUUGCAGUUGGAAGGUACAUUUUGAAAUGUAAUGUAAUUUGUAAUGCAAUGUAAUGUGAUAACAUAUAUUUUGUCUUGAAUGGAACAAUAAUUAUCUUAUUUAUUCACUUUUCGAAUUUAUUUAUUCAUUACGCAAUUUUAAUUAGUUGGAUUCACAUUAGAUUUAAUUAGUUUUUAUUCGAAUACGCAAUUAUUAAAAACGCGACUUUAAUCGAAAUUAUUUCAAAUGCGAUUUUAUUCUAAGUACCAUAAUGUCAAACAAAAUGUGCGAAACACAAAAAUAAAAUAAAACAUAAAAAUAUCGAAAACAAUUAGGCAUUAAAAGCCACUACAUUCAUUCAUCCUCGUCACACAAGUCAAUCGGGUUUCCCGCUACAGUCCCUGCGGCACCUUGUUUUGGUUGAGGACCAAAAUAGCAUGUCCUCCCGCUCCUCCUCAACCUCGAGUGAUUAUACACCGGCACCUUCGAACCCUUCUUUUUUUCGGAACCAUCGCAAACAAUUCCGUGCCACGUCAUAGGCGAUUUUUCUUUGUUCUUCUCAUCACCCUGAACGUUACCCUGAUUCUGAUUCUGAGACAUAUCUACAUUAAAAAAAAAUGGCGAUCAAAACCUAACUAAACAACAAUGCCAUAAAAUCGUAAAAUCAAAAACUAAACCUAAACCUAAACUAUCAUCAAAACCUACACCUAAACCUAAACAAUUCUAACAAUUCUACAACGAUUCAUCAAAACCUAAACCUAACAAUUCAAUAAAAGUUCUCUAACAACUCUAACCAUUCUAACCUAAACUAUCCUAACAUAUCAUAAAAUCAACAAAUCAAUAUAGUCGAACCUAUAUAAUCGAAAUUAAAAAAAAAAAAAAAAAAAAAUUCAACCGCAAAACAACAAUGCAAUAGGAUUAAAAAAACUUACUUGUUUUUGUGAUUGAAAUUGGCUUGGAAUGGCUUGAAAUAGCUCAAAAUCGUACCUUGGAGAUCAAAAAACGUAACAAUGGAGUUUUGGAAACUCCUAUGUCUGUUCUGUUCUUAUAAUAUUUUUCUCGGCAGUUAACUGCAGCCGAAUUUCUAAUUCCUCAACAGUUAACUGCCGAGGGGGCAAAAAAGUAAAUUACUCGUGUGCAACAUCCUUAUCAAAUGUGGGAACAACAAUUCUCAUUUUGCUGGUCCACACACGAAGACAUGAGUAUACAAACAAGGUCAUUUGAUGUAUAUUUAUUUUGGUUGGCAGAAGAGCAGCAGCACCUAUAACUGAGAGUUGGACAAUGAUAUAUUGUUAGCGAUGGAUGUAACUGAUUCCAUUAUUCAUCAUCUAGUUCAGAGUAUUAUGAAACAUUAUAGCUUUAUCUGUAUUUAUUUAUGAAGAUUCAGAGUAUUCCAAUUUUUUAAACCAAGACAAAUUAUUGUCGUAGUGCAUGGCUGUUUUUAACCAAACAUUUUUUCAAGACAUUUAACCCUGUCUUAAAACAUGUUUAAAAUUUGGAGUGGCUCUGCAUGAGCAUAACUCCAAUGCAUUUAUUUCUUCUUUAGGACUUGUUAUGAGUUAUCUAGUGCAAAUUUUAUUCGUAAGCCGGUAUAUCCCGCAAUAAUCUUUGAGCUAAAACUUCCUGUUAUGAACUUUUUCUUUGAUGCAAAUUUUAUUUGACUAUGCUUUCUAAUAGAAUCCAUACAACAAAAAAUAUGUUUGCGGUCAUCAAGGUUUAUAACUUAACUACUAGUUUGCGCAAUAUUUUUUGAAUAAUGUGCUGUUGAUGUUACAUUACUUAUAGUAUACAUUCUGUUCAGUUGAGAUAAAGAGUGUUGGAAACACAUUCUUUAGCCGUCAAGUUAGCCUUUUAUUCUUUCCCUUAUCGGAGUUGGAGAUAGGUACACGCGUAAUAAAAGAAAGCUUUGACAGAUCCAUCGAUCACUUUAAGUGCACAUAGCCCCUCUCGGUUGGUCUUCGCCCUACCUCUUUCGCUAAGACCCUUGUCCUGUCCCUAGAUAUUGCACGUUUAAAAAGCGUGGUCCAAAAAAGUCAUAACCAGAUCAAAUUUUCAAGUUGGUUGGGAAAUGUAUCUAAAACUAAUACAGGAACAAUCUUGUGGAUUUCUAAUAUUGUUGUCCAUUUAUUUACUUACUACACCCCCUUCUCUUUUUAUUUAUUUAUUUAUUUUAUUUUGGGUGUUCUUACAUGAUAGUACCUCCGCCUGGAACUUAAUUUUUAUUUUACUACACCCCCUACCUUUUGGUUAGAAUCUCAUUUUUAUUUUAAUAAAGGCCCUUCUCUCAUUUUUGUUAUAUAUUUGAAACUUAAUUUUUAAAAUCCCAAAAAAAUUAAAUAUUGAAAUAUGAUUUUAAUAUUAUUUUUUGUUUUAAUGUCAUUUUUGUCACUGACAGAUGUAUAUUUUAUUUUACCACAUUAUUAUAAUGUAUUUAUAGGGUCCUGCCAGUUUUAAUAAUGUUAUAUGUAAUAUGGAAAUAUGGUUAAGAAAAUAUUUGCAAUUUAUUAAAAUAUAAAAAAAGGAAUAAAGAUAGAAAUAUAUAUAUAUAUAUAUAUAUAUAUAUAUAUAUAAUAUUUUAAAAACUACCAUUACUAUGGUUGGUAAUAUUAUUAUAAUGAAAAGACGUGUUGGGAUGAUUUACAAAAUAAAAAAAUCCCAUUAGUCUGAAAAUUUAAAGCGUUAAAUGAAAAUGUGAAAAUAUUUUUUAUCUACAUUGUGAUAUAAUUAUUUGUGCGAAAAUGUCAAUAGUAUUGUGGUAUCAGAAAUGAACCUAAUCUAGAAGUCUUAGCUCAACUGGCAAAAUACCAAAAUUGUUAGGCUGGAUGCUAUGACUGGAGUUCGAACCCCGAUACCUCCACUUUUGUGUGUGAGUUUUUAAUGGUUUUGCCAUUUCGUCUUAUCUAAAAAAAAAAAGAACCUAUAUUUCCUAAAUAAUUAUUUGCAAAAUUUGAAUUAUAGUUUGUGAUGAUGAAAAACAAUAAUUUUCUUUUGUUUACCUUUCACGAAAAGAAAAACUGAGCAUCAAAGAAAGAGAAGUUACUACCGGCUUUUUGCCAACUUUGGACAAUAUUAUUAAUACACACAUACAUAUAUGAAAGGAUUAUUAUUAAGAUUCUAAAAUCAUACUACUAGCCUUUUAAAAAAAGUUAAUUAGACAAGUGAUGACAUUUUCAUAUGUGAAAAUUGUUGUAAUAUUUAGGCAUAAAUUAUCUCUAAAAAUAAUAAUCAAUAAAAUAUAAAUAAAAGAGAUCAAUAAACUUAUCUCUUUUGAGAUUGUGUUGAAUUGACCACCGACAUAACUCAUCAAUAACUAUCUUUAUUCAUGGAUUCAAUACGAGAACUGCAAAAUGAACAAAUAAUGAAAGUAGUUUGAGACGCGCUGAUCGCACUAUCUUUAAGGAUAUUUCGCGUAUAAUACGCUAAUCUCCCAAAAUUUAACAUAUUCUUCUUGAUUUAAAAUCAAAGAUACAGAACUGGCAAUAAGAAAUAUUUUCAGGAAGAUGUAACCCAAGAUUAUGCACUAGAUUCAUAGAAUUAGAGAGGAUUAUUUAUAGGUUGUGCAUGAGUUUUUAUAUAAAAGAAAAUUGGUGUUAUUGAUAUUCAAAAGAAAAGGAACCGUAACAAUGGUUGAAAAAUAGGCAGUUAGAUCAUUAGAAAAAGUAGGCACUCCUAAGAUAUAUUAGCAGCCCAUACUCAAACAUAACCUGCCGUUUUAAUUUGUUUUUUUCGGUUACAAAAUAGAAAGCAUGCACCUUGAUUACUCUUUAAUAUGAAAGUAAAUAUCCUUAAACAAAAUCAAGUUAAAAUAAUGCGGUGAAAAGAAGUAGAUCAAGUCAACUAUUAGUAUUAAUCAUAAAUAAAAUAAUAAUAAAUUUUUACUAACAAAUAUAUUAUAAAACUUUUGAAAUAUAAUCAAAAUUUACAACAAUAACAACCAAAUGUCACUAUGGCACAUGUUAAAAUUUAAUUACAUAUUUAAUAUCGCGUUGAAGUUUGUCGAAAUUAGAGUGAAUCAACCAUAAUUCUGAAUCAUGAUAUAUUGUUCAUAUAUAUUAAUAUUUGUUGUGCAUGUGAGCUACACGGGUAGACGUAAGUUGACAUUGAAUGACUUCAUAGAUGGAAAAUCACUCCCAAUUUCUAUCACUCUCAUAUCUCUUUCAUCUUUUUCUCUUAUAAAACACCUAAAAAAUAAGCUAAAUUUGCCACAACUUUCUUUUCACAAAAUCUCCUAAUCGGCUAAUCCUAAUUUUGACGUACGCAUCAAAUGCAGAAGCAAAAUACAAACGAAAUAACCAAGCUAACAUUCUUUCCUUAAAAAAAGAAAAAAAACAAGCUAACAUUCCCUAAAAUAAAAAAAGGGUUAAUUAUGUUUUAGAUUCCUAUAAAUAGGCGCGUUUCCAACAUUAGUAUUUACUUAAAUUUUAUUAAAUUUUUGGUCUCCAACGUUUUUUUCCGUUAGCAAAAUAGGUCAUCGCUGUUAAUUAUUGCUGAUUGAGCAAACGGUGGAGCACACAUAGAUGCCACAUCUGACUUUUUUUUUUUGGUUAAAUACGGUUUUAGUCCCGGUAAAAUUGAGGCAUUUUAAGCUUAGUCCUUAGUUAAUUUUAAUAGUUGUUUUAGUCCGUACAAAAAUAGUAUGCACUUGGUAUUAGUCCCUGCCCAAUUCAAAUUUGUUCAAUUUAUACUUAAACUCUUGUAUACUGCCACUAGUUAUAAUAAACUAGUUAUGAUAAAUUACGUCUUCUUUAUCUUGACGAAAUGGGCGGAAUGAUUAUUACAUACCAAAAAUAUUCAAGAUUUUCACUAUCUUAUCGAUGACUUCUCUUGCAUUGUCGGGCAGGACAGAUUUUUGUUCUGGACCGGACAAAAGGACCUUUGACCCAUUUACUUAGGCCCAACACAAUCCAAAGCCCAAACACCAUGUUUGGCAACAUUACUUGCGACACACCCCCUUUCGCACAAGGGGGGGUGCACGGAGCGAGCAAGACCGGUUCAAACGAGCCACAACGCUCUCUGCACGUUCCCGCAAUAAACUCUCUGGCGGUUACACUUCCCACGAUUUUGUAACCCCCAGAGUCAGGUGUGCCAUUACAACGGCUCUGCAGUCCUCCACCUCUAUAAAUAGGGGACUCAUAACAGUCCCCAAGGUAGAAUCUAACCUUCCUCGAAACCUUCACUCUCUGAUCUCUACUUACUUGAGUGUUGGAGUGUUUGCAGGUACGCAUCCCCCAUUCGCUCCAAGAAAGCAUUCUGAUGCAUUCUACCACCACUCAAACCACCGCAUUCAAAGUACCGGCAGUCACCUUCUAAUCAGGUACGAUCAGUUUUGUUGCCGAAUUGAUAGUUUUUUUUUGGAAUAAUUACUAGUCAAAAAUAUAUUUUCCUGAUAAAAAUACCAUCAUAACUAGUUUUAGUAGGUUUUUUAGUCCCUACAAAAAAAAAAUUACUUCUAAAUUUAGUCCUUGCUAAAACAAAGUUUGUUUAAUUAUCCUUAAACUCUUAAAUUUUUAAACGAUUUUUUUUAGACAAGUUUAGAACACUAUGAAAGGUUCAAUUACUAAAGUUUAGAAUUUUUUAACAUGAAACGAAUUAAAUAUGAAUUUUUGAAAACGAUAAAAGUUAAAGAUAAAAGUAAUGAAAUCUGGAUAUAUAAAUCAAAUUUUGCGAUAAUUUUUUGCUGAGGAACUUUUAGUAAUGUUCUUAAGACGUCUACAAAAAUUGUUAAAAAAUUAAGAGUUUAAACAUAAAUUAAACAAAUUUAAAUUGAACAGAGACUAAUAUUGAGUGCAUAAUAUUUUUGUAAGGACUAAAACAAUUAUUAAAAUUAAGUAAGGAUUAAACUUAAAAUGCCUCAAUUUUAUAGGGACUAAAAACAUAUUUAACCCAACAAAAAAAAAAGUUAGAUGUGGCAUCCACGUGUGCUUCACCGUUUGCUCAAUCAACAACAUUUAACAGCGAGAACCUAUUUUGCUAACGUCGGAGAUCAAAAAUUUAAUAAACCCAUAAAAAAAAUAACCAAGCUAACAUAAUAAAAAAAAUACAAACUCCAUACCAUCUCCAUUCAAUCUAUUGGUGAUUCCUCAAAAAAAAAAAAAAAAAAACCCAAAAAACUCAAAGUAUAUAUCCUCCUCCAAUUGUUGAAGAGAAAAGCAUACACUCGUAAUAGUAUAAUCUUUCGGCUAUUAAUUGUAAUUAGCAUUAAUUAAUGCUUCAUCUUAAAAGUAAUUAAUUAAGUACUUGUUGUCUAAGCCAGACUUGGCAGUUUCCAUAUCUAUUUUAUCUGACACAUAACCACACAAACAAUCUCGAUUGAACCGCCAUUUAUUAACCUUGGCUUUGCCUCCCGCACUCACAGGUUCACUCUCUCUCUCUCUCUCUCUAUUCCUUGGUGAACCACAAAACGACAACAACUGCUUAAAACCUUAGAUAAUGGCAACGACAACUACAACAACUAAAACAACAAUAACCAAUUCCCUCAAACCUCAAAACCAACAACAACAACCCAUUGUCAAACCUAAACGACGCAAGUGUCGCGAAACCACAAUCUCCACUUCCGCCACACAACCCGAACCCGAACCUCAAUUACCCGAUUCACCUUCUACUUACACAGUUCGUUACUCACCUGGUAGAUUUUCACCAAUCAUGGAUUUCACACACUCUUCUUCUUCACCAAUUUCAAACGGACAUUCCACUUCCGGUUCGGGUCAUGACCCGUUUCCUUCAAGCUUCACCAAAUUCAACUCUGCACUCACCGCCGGUCUUCUCAACCCAAUGUCGCCGCCACCGGACAAAACCCGAUCAAGUCCAACUCUCUUCGAAAUGAUGGUCAACGAACCCGAUAUUCAACAACGGACAAAUCAGAUCCCAAUCAACAAUGCAACUUCUUCAAUGCCAAAACCCCAAAUUAUUGCACAAGAUCGAGAAACCCUAAUGAUGAAUCGAAUUUCUGAACUAUUAUCUUCACGUAGUCCUGGUAAUCAUUUCAAUGAUUCAUCUUCCAGUGAUAUUAAGCUUACUCUUAGUUCUAAAGAUGGAUUCAGUGUUUCCAUGAAUGUGCAUCGUCAGAUUCUUGUUGCGCAUAGUAGAUUUUUUUCUGUCAAGCUUUCUGAUCGGUGGACGCAGAGUCAGCAACGUUCGGCGUUACCGUAUCUUGUUGAAAUUGCGGAUUGUGAUGAUGUUGAGGUUUAUGUCGAGACUUUGAGGUUGAUGUAUUGUAAGGAUCUUAGGAAGAAGCUUAUGAAAGAGGAUGUUUGUAAAGUUUUGGGUAUUUUGAAGGUAAUGAGUUUUUAUUUUUGGUGGGGUUUGUUUAAUUUGUUGUUUAUGGUUUAAUAAUAAUUGUUCUGUUUUAUUAGAUUGAUAAUGUAGUAUACUGUAGGAUUAGAUUGAGAUUUGAUACUUUUGCUAUGUUUUAUUAACUGGAUUAUAAUGCAAAUUGUAGGAUUAGGUUAAGACUAUAGCAAGUUUGAAUUUUAGAUUUUAACUGUUUGCAGACAAUUAUAGUUAUAUGAUAAGAUAACAUAAUUUCUGUCAUGUUGUUAUAUUACUUACUAAAUAUGCAACCGUCAAAGCCUAUGUAGCACCAACACUUCGGAUUAAAAGAGCGUCUGGGACACCGAGACAUAUGGUUGGUUACGUUUGAUUAAUCUAUUUAUCAAACAAUUGUAGGUGUUGCGUGUCAGUAUUUGUGUCUGGUGUACAUGUCUGAUUCAUGGAUUUGCGUUUUUUGUUUUAUCUUAGGUUUCGGCUGCAAUUGGAUUUGAUGCUGGGGUUUUGUCUUGUUUGGAGUACUUGGAAGCGGCACCGUGGGCAGAGGAUGAAGAAGACAAAGUGGCGUCGCUCCUGUCUGAACUUCGUCUUGAAUCUGUUGGAGCUGUGGAGGUUUUGAAGAGGGUUUCCACUGAAGUUGCCAAUGGAAAUGAAGAGGGGAAUGACAACGAGGAAGUCUUGCUUAAACUUAUUCGUGUGGUUCUUGAAGGUAAAGAUGAAAAGGCUAGGCGAGAGAUGAAAGGGUUGGUGUCGAAGAUGCUGCAUGAGAAUUCUUCUCAGAAUGAUCUUCGGAAGGAGUCAUUAUACUCGGCAUGUGAUGAUUGUCUGCAAUUACUUCGUCACCACUUUUUGCGGGCUGCGGAUUCAGACCUGCAGGAUGUAAGUCAAAUUGCACGACAAGCAGAUAAUUUGCAUUGGAUUUUGGAUAUUUUGAUUGAUAGACAGAUUGCGGAGGAUUUCCUGAAAAUGUGGGCAUCUGAAUCAGAAUUAUCUGAAGCACAUUCUAAGGUGCCUGCAGUUCAUAGGUUUGAGGUUAGCAGAGUUACCGCUAGGUUGUUUGUUGGGAUUGGAAAGGGACAAUUGUUGGCUACUAAAGAGGCUAGGUGUUUACUUCUCAAAACGUGGCUUGUUCCAUUUUAUGAUGAUUUUGGUUGGAUGAGGAGAGCAUCCAAGGGCCUUGAUAGGCAUAUAAUUGAGGAUGGUCUUAGUAACACAAUUCUCACCUUACCACUCUCCUGGCAACAGGAAAUUUUGCUUGCUUGGUUUAAUCGCUUCUUGAAUUCCGGUGAAGAUUGCCCAAAUAUUCAAAGAGGGUUUGAAGUUUGGUGGAGAAGGGCUUUCUGGAAGAGGAACGGAGAGCAAGACCGGACAAGACAAUUACGAAUUACAUCUGCAUCAGUUGAGCAUACUUGAAGAUGAUAUUUUUCCACAGUGGAGGAAACGGCAGACUAUAUACAUGGUGUGUCACCUUUUAACCUUCUCACGAUCGUCUCUAUAUGAUUCCUCUAUGAUUAUCAGUAUUUAAGCCUUCUGUCAAACUCUGGUAGAAAGAAUAGAUGCGCAAACCUUUGUGUGAAACUAGUUUUAGACUCAAUGUCUUCAUGCUUUGCCUGGUAGAUGGCACUAUUUAUUGCCACCUCCUAUUUUGUGGGAAAUAACCAGAGAGAAUACUUCUGUUUUCUUUUUCUUCCUUCAUAUCUGUUGUGUGAUUUACACCUAGGCUGAUCAUGAUUUUGGACUCUCUUGUCAGUUGAAUGGAUUGUACUCUGAUAAGAAGGAACAGAUAAAAGUGAUUCUGAGAUACCUAACAAAAAUAAAUCCCUCAUCUUAUCAAUGAGACUGUUUGGUCUUCCCCAUGCAUGCAAGAUAAAGCUUCAGAGAAAUUUUUACUUGUAGCAUGUUAUAAAACAAAUUAAGUGGUCAUAGCAUAUAGUCACCUGCACCUUUAUCGUAUCGUAUGCCAGGAUGUUUAGUUCAUGAUGCUCAUUUGUCAAUGUCUCAUGCUUCAAACCACCAAAUUUUCGUGUUCGGGUCUGUAAUGAUUUUCAAUGUUUGAUUUUUUCUCUGUGAAGUCAAUCUGCUGGAACAUUCUUUAGUAUAAUUUCUUCUUUAUAUCCUUUUGGAGUUCAAGUUUGUGAGCAUGCCAGGCAAUAUUGUCAUCCCAUUGACUAUUGUUUUUUUUCUUUUUCCUCUCUCUCUCUCUCUCUCUCUCUCUCUCUCUCUCUCUCUUAUGCAGGUAUACCAUAUACCACGCCAUUGUUGUAUGAGUUGACUGAGUUUCACUGAUCUUUACACCCCCUUGACAUAUUUGGGAUUUUGAUUGGCAUAUAGUCUUAAAUAACACUAUUCAGCUUGUAUUUGUCAGGGACUACUAAAUUAGUAUAUUCCACUGAAGUAUGUUUUCUUCCAGGAAAAUAUCUUUGUUGCGGUCAAACUAAUUGGUGGUAGCAAUAUGUUACCCUGUAGAUAGAAGUCAAUCCUAGUGCUUGUGUUCUUUUUAUAAUUUCAUUGACGAAAUACAAGUUUCCAACCGUUUAAUGUUAAUGAACUAGUACUUGACAAGACACAAGACUAAGCUAAUUGAAUACUAGUUUGAAGGUAUAGUUGACCUUCGACUGUAGAAUUCCCUAAAAUGUGCCAAAUUUUAAUAAAUUCAGCAGCUCUUUACAGGUCUCAUUACAGGCUAAUAAUUUGCUUUAUGGUAAAGCAUCGAAUGUAACUUUCUUGCAAAUCAAUCUAUGUUGAUUUUUAAUGAGUUUGGUUGAAUAAUGGGUUGUUAUAAUAGGAAUAACUUCUUUCGAGGUUCAUCUGUGGGGACAUUAUUUGUUUAUUUAUUAAGGAUCGUUCAUUCUUUACUUGCUUUUCAAGAAAAGAUUGUGAGUUUGAAACCUCUAUCAUUUGUAUCUUGCUUAAAUAUGGAAUCAGAAUGUGCAUCAUUUGGGAUGUAGAUACAAGUCUUUUAAGUGUCUUAAUCUUUAUUUUUAAUUUGUUUGAUUGACUCAAUGAAAAUUAACCAUGGUACACAUUAUAGACAUAGACGAUCUAUAAUGCUAUAUUGGCAAAUAUGUUGGUAUUGCCGGGACAAUUUAUGUUGUAAUAAUCCAUUAUUUUCACCGAAAAAGUAAAGAAACAACGUUUUCAGUUUCCAAUCAAAUCCAUGAGAAGAUGUAGAAAAUAACAGCUCUUGCAUUGUUUGCGUUUCCAUUAACACUACUAGUCAAACGACGAAGAAAAAUGUAUUCUUGAUGGUGACACGAUAAACUUAAAAUGACGAUACAACUGAUAGUAAUAGGAUCGUGCUAAUGAAAAUGAUGUGCGGCGCUAGAGUGAGUAGGUUUUGAAUGAAUGUUAAUAGAAUUUUUUUCUAUGUGAGACAAAAUAGGUUAUUUAUUUCAAAACUACUUUCACUCUCACAAAUUGAUAAAUAGACAGUUCUUUUAUUGUUGACUAAAACAAAUAGACAAAGUUUUUUUUUUUUGGUCAAGAUAGACAAAGUUAUCUCUAGUAAAAUAAAUAAAAAAUUGAAAAAGUUUCUUAGUACUAAUAUAUAUAUUUUUUUUGUAAACUAGAAGUUAAGUUUUAGUGUUUUACAGAACCAGAUUAAACAAAAAAGUUUUAUGGAACAAUUUUUUUAAAAGCAACACAUAUCAAAUGCAUUUGUUUUCUUUCGAAAAUUAUUUUCAAAUUUCAAAUGUAUAAGUAUCAAAAUAUCUUGUAAAAAAAUGCCAAAAUAUAUUUUAUUUUGAAAAUUACUCUUCUCCCUUUUGUUUUUCCUCAUUCAUGUGACGUUGAAAAAGUUGAGCGUGAGUUAACAUAAUUAAGGGGUUAAGCAGUUUUGAAAGGCAUAAGAGCAAUUUGCUUUUAUGUUUUCAAAACAUGAAGCCCAAAUCCAUCGGUUUUUGGCCCAAAAGUUGCAGAAACAAUGUUGGCUAUUUGCCGAUAAAAACUUAAAAUUGGUAAUAAAAAAAUGUUAAAACUGAGUGGUAUGGACGUGGUAGAGAAAAAAAAGGUAUAUUCAUGUAAUUUUUUUUUUCAAAUUAAAGUGAGAUUUAAUAAAAAAAAUAAAUAUGGACGACAUUUGUGUUAAUCUAUUAAAGACGUGAGCUCAUUUUUUUUAAUUUUUUAUUUUUUAUAGAUAGAUAAAAUGACAAAGUCAUCGUAAACUCAUGCACACAAAUGGGAGGUGCUGGGGUCGAAACUUCGAUUAUGACGUCCGACCUAACAAUUUUAAUGUUUUUUUUACCAAUUAAGCUAAGAUUUAUGGAACGACUUAAGCUCAUCUCUAAAUCCAACCAAGUCAAGCAAAAUAACACAUUUACUUAUGAGAUCCAUAUUUUAGCAUGUGUUGCUUUCCUUUUUUUUUUGACAAGGUUGCUUUCCUUAUCACUGUUUUUUUUUAUAAGAUCCCUCCUAGGGGUGGCAAAAAUACCCAUGCCCAUGGGUACCCGCGGGUAAAAUCCAUCACGGGCACGGACGGGUAGCUAAACGGGUAUCCAUGGAUAUAAUUAACGGGUAUUUGACUACCCAUUAUUAUAUGAAUACGGACACGGAUUUGAUGGUACCCAUACCCAAUAAUAAAUUAACUUAAUUACUAAAAUAUCCUUAUAUAUCUUAUUAUUAACCUAUUUUUAAUUUUUUUUAAUUUAUAUUAUAUUUCAACUAUCAUUGUCAUGUUGAUUAUUGUUAGUAAAUGUUAUAAAUUUUAUUUCAACUAUCAUUGUCAUGUUGAUUAUUUGGAUUUUUAUUUAGAGAUUUAUAUGUUUUUAUUGCAGAAAUUGGGAAGUCAAAUGAAGUUAUUGAAGUUUGAAAUGCAUGCAAAAUUUAGAUGUUUAUUUGGAUAUUUUGAUGUUUUUAUUUUACUUCAUGAAUUUGUAUGAAUUAUGUAAGAAUUAUGAAUUUUCUAUGGAUUAUGAUUUAUGAAAUUUUGAAUAGAUUAUGUAUGGAUGUUUAAAAGUAGUUGAAGUUUUUUGUUAAUUAAAAAAAGUUAUUCUUUGUUCCAAAAACUAAAUAAAUUCAAAAAUUCAUGGGUACCCACGAAUACCCAUGGAUACUUCAAUACCCGCGGGUACCCAUAUAAUGGGUACCCAUGUGGGUAAGGGGCGGGCAUGGGUAUCAUGUUUAUCCAACGGGGCGGGCACGGGUAUCAUACUAUCCGUGUCCAUGGGUAUCCAUUGACAUCCCUAAUCCCUCCAAAAUUUUACGUGCAUUAAAUUUUUUCUCAUUAUGAUUCGCUUAUUUAUUUUGUAUUUUUAUAGAAAAAAAAAAAGAAAGAAAUGUUAGAAAGGAAAAUAUAAAAUAAAUUAGGAGAAAACUUAUAUGCAGUACCUUAUAUACUGGUGGUACUGUUCCCUAUCAGAAAAUAACACGUGGCAUGUACACUAUAAUUUUAAUUGUGAUCUCGGUUUUCGACUGGUUUUUUUCCGCUUAAGUUAUUGUUUGUUUGUCUUACUCAUUCAAAAUCCAAUUAAAGGCAUCCUUAAUGUUCUAAUGUAUGGUUUAAAUGCAAAGUGUUGAAAUUUUUUAUUCCAGUAUUUCAGUUGUAUACAAAGUCCAAAAAUUGAAGACAAAGAAAAAACAGAGUAAACCCAUUAAUUAAAAUUGAAACUUUAUAAGGCAGAAGAAGAUAGACGGUGCUGAUGAAAGUCAGUUAGAAGAAGUAGUGGUUUCUUCUUCGAGCCAUUCAUUUAUUGAAAUUGCAAUUUGACUUUAUGGAAAAAGAAGAACCAUGUGGAAGGGCUUAGUAAGGAGAAAGCGAGUGGCAUUCUAUACUCAUAUGGAGAGGAGAGGAUGACCGAAAAAAUAAAAAUUAAUUUGGUUUAAUUGUUUGAUUAAAAGGACACGCGUAUUAUUUUAAUUGGGAGAACAACACCACCAGUACAUAAGGUGAGAGUACAAUGAUAUUGCAGGGAGAGAAUCAAGACUAUGUGGGUUUGGUUUGGCGGCGGCGAGAAUUGAUUUUGACAGAAUUGAGUUUGAGAGAAUUGAUUUUAAUUAAAAGUGAGUUGAUUGUGAAUUGAUUUAUGUUUGGAUACACUUUACUAAAAGUGAUUCUUAUAGGUUGAUGUUGUUUGGAUAGUUUGAAUCAAAAUUGAUUUUGAAUGCAAAAUUACCAAAAUGGUAUUAAUAUCUAUUUAAAAUUAGACUUCAUUUUUCAUUAAUAAACUUCAUUUUUAUUUUAUAUAAUGGUUCAAAUUUAUGUUGCAUUAUUAAGUUAAUUAUUUGUAGAUUAGUAAAACUUUUAAAAUAAAAUGCAUAUUGUAUUUUAGUAAAUAAAUUAAAAAAUGAAUAUAGUAUUAAAAACUUUUUUGCAAAGAUAGUUAAAUUUGAUUUACAUAUUUUAUAUUGAUUUUUUUUUUUUUAGGGAUAUUAAUUUUUUUGAUUGAAAAUUAUUAUUCCAAAACUAUUUUUUUAAAAGAACCUGUCAAAACUCAAAUGGGCUUAUGUAAGGAUGGGAAACGUAAUGGGCUAUUAAGCCCAAUCCCAGUUUCUUCCCUAACCUAGAGAAAAAGAGAUAUUAAUGAAACUUGCAGGUUGCAGCGCUGCAACUGAAAGCUAUAGCAAGGUCGAGUAAACAAAUAUUGAGGAAUGAAAAACCAUCACUGUGGCCGUUAAUUAGAAACUCGUUCACAAAUUUGUAGGAAAAUGAUAAAGAUGUCAUGGGUAAUUUCGGAAUAUAAAUCUGUCACCAAAAAGAAAAUCUCCAAAGCGCUUCUAAUUACCGCAGAAGCUCCGAAUUCUAGCUUUUAGUGAACGUGAAUUUGGGGCCUAAACCACGUUCAACUGAAUCGCGUCUGUAGUUUACCAAACAACAACAAAAAUUGUGAAACUGCGUUUUAACUCUUGAACGCGCGUUUGAAGCCACAAAACAUGGAACCAAACGGGUACUAUGAUAUGUGUCUAGUGAGAGUACAAUGAUAUCGCGUUAAUAUGCUUCUUUGGUUUACAAGUACUCAUGUUUGAGAAUUUUGAAGAAUACUCUUUUUAUUUAAGACUAUGAUGUGUGUCAAGUGACUAUUUAAUUAUUUAUUUCUUUAAGGAUUUAUUUUUUUUAUUUUUAAGGAAAGUUGCUUAUAGCAUUUCAUUAAAGAUAAUAUUGUUUAUACAACGCGGGAUAUUAAAAUAAGUGACGGGACUAACUAAAGAAGUGGUCUCUCCGCAAGUGCACGAGCUGCCGCAUUCGCUUGUCGCCUAGUGAACUCAACCCGAGAGUUCGUGAAGUGAGUGGAGAAAAGGGAUUAUUUAAGGAAUUAUUGUGAGGCACAAGUGCCAUUUAUUUAUUUUAUGUAGCAUUUCAUUUUAAUUUUUAGAACUAUUUUGAUCCACUUAGGGUAGAAAUUUUAAUAUAACGAUUUUUUUUUUUUUUUGGUACAAUAAUAUAACUAAUUUUAUUUCAUAAAAUAAGUAGAUUAAAUACUACUCCAUCAUAACUCUUGAUUUCGUCUGGAUAACUUUGAGAAUAACAUUAGGUCGCAUCAAUCUCUUUAUCGUAAAUUUUGUUAAAUUUCCUCAGAAAAAAAUUACAUAUAAAAAAUUUGGAGGAAAUAUUAUGGUGCAACUUCCGUAUUGAUUUUCUAGUAACGUUCUUCAACUAUCAACAUAAUUUUACAAGACAUCUUGCAUCAAUAUGUUAACCAAUUCUCAAAUGCCAAUCUAAACCCGCUAGCAUUAACUUAUCCUUGUCUAGUUUUUUUCCCAUAUUUUCAACAUCAUAGAUUCACUCCAUGGUUAAGGCUCACCUAGCUACUAACAUUAAAUCCAAUGAAGUGUUAUCCUUAAUAUUCAAUCAUCUUUCUUCAUAAAUCAUUUUGGUGACAGCUUCUUCAAAGCUCAAAGUUCCAUAUAUGAAAACAUGUUUAAUAUGACACUGCAUUUUGAAUAAUUGUUUGCUGCCAAUUUCAAUGGCAUCCGUUUCAAACUUAACACACUCCAAGUUUGUUUAUGACAAAUCUCAAAAAGUGAGUAGAUAAAAUAAAAAAACUAAUCUAUGCAAAUUUCAGUGUACAGUUUUUUCUUAAUUGUAAAAAAAUACUACAAUUAAAAAACGAGCUUAAUUAAAACAAAUAAGGUAAAAUGUAGUUCUAAUGAUAUGCAUGAUUUCAAUUUUUAGUUUAGCUAAUGGAAACAUUACACAUUAUUAAGAAAGUGUGUCUCGACAAAAAUAAAAGAAAUUGUGUUGCAAAAAAAAAAUUGUCUUUCUAAAAUAAAAUUUAUUUUUGUUUCCAUAUGAAAAGUAGUUUUUUUCAGGGUAAAAAAAAUGUGUUUUUUUCCCAUUAAAUUUAUUGUUUUUUUUUUUUUUUUACCAAAGAUUGAGAUAUAAUAUUUUUAAUUAUAGUGUCAUGUUAAUAAGGAUUUAAAAAUAAAAAUAAUUGGUAAUUUUAAUGUAAAAAAAAAUUAUUUUUUGAUGUUUCAAUAUGUUGAAUAUACAAAUCUCCAUAUAAAAUUUAUACUUUAAACUUCUUAUUAAGUGCCCUGCCAUUGUUAACAUUUAUCUUAAGGUAAAUGGUAACUAAUGUUUCAAACAUUAGUUAACUAGACAAAUAUAGUAAGAAUUUCUUAAAACUUGUGUAAUCAAGUAUUAAAAAAUGUAGAAAAUAUUGUCUACGAUAUAAAACUUAUCUUUUUUGUUUCUUUAACCGGUGUCUUGGAAGUGUCCGUUAAUGAAAACUUACAAAAGAAAAAUGGUUUUGCAUCACUCCUUCCGUCCUUCUUCCGAUCGUCUCUGAACUGAAUCUCAGACAUUGAUCCUGUAAUUAAUGAAAGCUGCUUCUUUUCUGUUUGGCUCUUGCAUGCUUUACCUACUUCAGCAUAACGAGCAGUAACCCUAGCUAGCAUAGUAGGAUUAGGAUGGUCCUAACCAAUAACCACAAAUAUACUACUAUUGUACGAGUAAAUAAAGUUAUUUUUAUACACAUAAAGAAAUAUGAAAGUGGACCACCCUAUCAUAGCCUGGUUGUGUGGCACGUUGUUCUAACAUGAAACCUGUUCAAAAAUGUGACUCAAAUGAAAUCAUGUCUCAGAGUUCAACUGUGUUCUAACUCGCGCCAGAUAAAUCCCCCGCCAUUUGUGGAGUCUCCAAUUGACUUGACCCCUCUAUAUAUCCCAUGGCCGCACCUUAUUGUUAUUACUUUGCUUCUUGAAACUUGUACAUGUCUAACUAAAUUAAUAGCAACAGAAGAAAAAAAAAUAGACAUUUAUCCAAUAUCACAUUUCAAAAUGGUCCAAAACUAGAGAUUUGUAAAAAAUCAAUUUUAUAAUAGAAAAACACAUAAUAAUUUUCCAUUAAAAUUUACUGAAAAUAGGAAAGUUCAUUUUUUUACUAUGUCCAAUAUAACUAUAAUAUGUCAUAAUAAUUUAAUAUACAUCAUUGAGUUUUUCAUUUGAUUCUGUUUUGAUUUGAUUUGAUCAGUCUUUGACCUUUAGUUUUGAUUAUUUCAUAGUACAUAUAUAACUAGAGAGAGGAGCUCAUGCUCAUAUACAAUAAUGCUCCCUUCUUAGGUACUUUUUAUAUAUGAAGAUGUGGUGCCAUAAUAUAUUAUCAUUAUAAAGGAUUUGUGUUUAUUGUAAAUAAAAAUAAAUGAUUUUUGCUAGUACAUAAACAAGUUGUAAUAAAAACUAUUAUGCUGUCAUAAAUGUUGGGAGUCUGCCUAAACGUACUAGUACAUGGAUAUAUAAAGUGAUGAAGGUGUAUAGUGAUUUGUUGCAUCAUGCAUGAGAAGAGUGCGUAGUGCACAAAGGCCAAAAAGAAUCAGUGGGGUGAGAGAGGUAGUGACAUCAUUGUUGUAUUUAUAGGCCUGUAUGUAAGGGUGAGAAGAGUAGAGCAAAGGGAAAUUUGGCAAGCGGCGGAGAAAGCUGUUCCUCCUACUUACAACACCAUUACUACCCUUUUUCACACACUUCAUUUCAACCUAUACUAACUUUCAUUUUCUGCACCUAUCCUCUCAACUUAUUCUUUCAAAUAUAAUAAACCAUCAAUUUGGUUUCAAAACUAUCACAUUCUCUCCAGUUUGAUGAAUAAACUAUAGAAAUAUACUAAAUAAUCCUUAUACUACUACUAAUCUAUCAAGUUAAUCCUUCAAAUCUCUUAAAAAUUGGUUUAUGGACUAAUUUUAUAGAUAAAUCUCUUAACCACCCAUUAUAUUAUUGGAUGGGUUUGACCAAAUUCGCUAAUUUUUGGGUUGAGUAUGAUUGGGUAAUGGAUUACCCAACUUAUUUUUUUAUUUUUUAAUAUUAAAUGACUAAACAACAGUACUCAUAAUUUAUCUUAAAUAUUACUCAACUUUUUAAUUCUCUUAAACAUAAUUGGUUAACUUAUUUUUAUUAUAAUUUUAUGCAUCAUAGAAUAAUAAAUUAUAAUAUCAAAUAAUAAACUCCAACAUAAAAUACUUGCAACAAACUAAAGCUGCAUAACAUUAAAUUGCAUUAGUAUUAAAUUAACCAAAAAUUGCAACAUCUUGAUCUGUAACAUUAGCAUGUUUUGAUUUUCAUUAUAUAGGAUACAAUGUGUAUGUUUAGAAAUAUAACAAUGAUAUUUGUACAUCCAUUCCAUGACAACUUUAGUGACAACUUGUUUUUCUCUCUUCUUAUUGGUCAAAAACAAUGGAGAGAGAAAAUGGAAGAGAGAAGAUAAGACCAUCAUGUGAGUAUGAGAGAGAAAGUUGUACAAAAGUUGUCACAAAUUGGUUGUAAAAAUAUCAUUUCUCUUAGAAAUAUAACUUGGUUUAUGAUCAUAACCUUUAGUAUUUUUCUUCUACCCUAUGAAAAUAAAGAUAAAAAAUAUUGACCUUAUUGAGUAAGUGGAUUUAUUGAGUCUGAGUCUAAUUUUACCCAAAAUCGAUUUAUUUUUAUGGGGUUUUCAUUUUUAGAAACCAUACCCACCCAAUUACCGCCCCAACCCAUUUUUUUUUAGGUUUUAUGGGUAGGUUUGACCGGAUUUUCUAGUUAAUCCAACCCAUGUACACCCUAGGUAGAAUGUAGCACUCAAAUAUGGGAAUUGAUCAUUUGCCGCGACUGAAGAGUUCAGUUAAAUAUUAGUUUUUAAAUAAAAAUAAAUACUUGAAAAUCUAAAUGUGACAAAUUAGAAAUUACAGUAGUGCUAUAUGGUACGAGACUUUUCUUCGCACAAAAUGCAGGACAGCUUGUUUGCCUUAUAAAAUCACCAUAUCUGGCUCAUUUUAAUUAUUUUAAACGGAUUAAAUAUGCUCACAAUAGAAUCUUAUAUAACUAUCAUUGCAUAUGAUGUUUACCAUAUAGCACUAUUGAUCACCGCCAACCUCACAUCGCUUCAUAUUUGAUAUCAUCAUUGCAUACGAAGGUAUAUACAUGAGAACGUGAGAGAGAGAAAUGAAGCAUAAAAAAACUGAGAAAUGUUGGCAGAUGGUAGUUACUCCUAUAUUCUUUAUAGAAAUUUAAUCUAGCUUGUUGGGUUUUGAAAAUAAAAUGAAUAGUUACUAUUCGUAUAAAUUCGUGCAAGACUGUGUCUCGUAACAUCAAGCAUUUUCCUAAAAAUUAUGAGAUAUAAUAAAUUUAAUGGUGUAGAUUCCCACACUGCAGAAAACUUGAGAGAAACACACCGGAGAAAAUCCCCUUCCCUUAAAUACUCAUCUAGUUUUCGGAACGCCGGGAUAAAGCUAAUUUAGAUAAUGAUUCCAUCUCAACUGCGUUAUAGUAAGUUCAGUGUUAGUCCAUAUAUAAAUCACAAGCAUUGAAACAUAUAUAGUUGGAAACACAUAAAACUUUUUCUGAAGGUAUACCAUUAAACUUUGUGUUAACUGUAACCAAAAGAUUAAACUCUCAAAUUAGAAGUGCUAUUAAAUUUGUCAUGACACGCUUUUGUUGUUUUGUUUUUGGUCUUAAAUUUGGUUUUGCACUAAUUGUUUAUAAGUAUCGCAAAAGUCAUCCGCGUGGAGAGGCAUAUUUGACGAUAAAUGAAAAUGAAGAAAGAAAAAGAUGCGGUCCCUCCCAUGCAAAAUGGUUUGGGGAGGAUAUGUGGGUGGAGUACUUUAUUACACCAAUUAAUAAGAAUUAGAUGUGCAAAGAUAGGACCACCUCAUCUCUAUUUCUCAUCUCAUCUUCACUCCUUAUUUUAGGAACGUUUUACACACACUAAACAACUAUGUAUAUCGGUAAAAAAAAUCAAUUUGUUUUGUAUGUCUUAUUGGUUCUCUACUUCAUUCACUAAGGUAAUUUUACUCAGUUAUUUUAACUAUAAUUAUCGUUUUCUCUCAACUAUAUAUCUAAUCUAAUAGUACUAAAAUAUAAGAUAUGAGAACAUAAAUUUUUAUCAACUUUUGUCCAUCACUAUACCUUAUUAUUUAGUUUUUUUUACAUGUACGUAUAUAUAUUAACAAACGAUAUGACGGUUAGUUAAUACUCACUAAUUGAUGUAUGUAUAAUUAAUAAGAAUACAAAAUAAUAAUGGAGGAAUAUUUGAGAAGAGAAAAUAUAUAUAGUCCUAUGUGGAUGAUAGUGUAAUAAUAUUAGAGCAACUUCAUUCAAUAUAUCUCUCGUGAGUGGAAACAGAUUGGAAGAGAAUAACUGGUAGCUUAUGGCUCAGAAAGACAACAGAGAAAACAGAAGGAGGAGGACCCACCUAACUCAUCCCAAACAGAGCCUUUUUCUCAUCUGAAAAAGCCUGUAAAAGACUUUACUUAGGAAUGACUUCAAUCUAGGGAUCCGUUCCCUACAAAGAUCUCCUUAUUCCUAUUCUUAUUUCUUUAAUUUAACUUCCAUGCAGAUUAAUUAAAUACUCCAAGGUAACCGUGACAAUUUUAGACUCCAAUUUAAAUUUAAAUGUGGCACCAUUAUUGUUGCUCAAAAUAAUAUUUGUGAUGUUAAAAGGAGAAUUUAUUCCAUAAAAAGAUGAAGAGUUUGUGAACCAUAAUCUAUUCGAUAAUAUUUUAAGCAAUAUAUAAUUUUUUUUUUAUUUAUAAAUUAUAUUUACGUUUGGUAUCAUGAUGAGUAUAUUAGAAUCACAACGAUCCGUUGUGAUUUAUCAAAAUUAUAUUUACUAGUUUAUGUAAAAUUAGAGUAGAUCUUAAAUCUAAUGCUUUAAAUUAAUAUAUUCUUUAUAUGAGUUCAUUUGUGUAUUUAAAAGUUUCAACUAAUAUAGACCAAAAAUGCAAAAAUUGAACUGCAUUAAAUCAUCAUUUUUUUCUAUGAGCUGCAAUAAAUCUUCAUGGUCUAGAAAUAAACUGUAAAGAACCAUAAUUAAUUCCUCAUACAUGUGAUACAACAAUUCAAGUGGCGGCUCAUAGUUUAUGUAUGAGGCAGAGGACAUCAUUACUUGUUGCUGGUCCUGCUUCAUCAUAUAUAUAUAUGUAAUUUAAUUUGUAGAGAAGGUUAGUCUUUUUUAUUUUCUUGACUGAAUAAAAGAUAUAUAAAUAUAUUAUGCAACAUAAUUUACUUCAAUUUUCAAAAAAUAAUACAGUUAUAUAAGAAAAACAAUGAGUAAAAUCCCCUAAAUAAAUAAAAUAAAACAAUGAGUUAAAUAUUGUUUACAAUAGAUUGAAAUAAUAUAAGAAGAAUUAUCUGUUUUGAACAUUUAUUGAUUAUAAGAUUUUUCUAAUACUAGGUAAGAAAUAAUUGAGGAAAUUUCCUUGAUAUUAAUUAAUAUUUUUGGUGGGAAUAUGAAGACUAAUUUGGUUGUAUUUAUAAAUCUUGGUCCAUUGACUCAUCAGUUGUUAAGAAAGAGAGAGAGAGAGAGAGAAAUAUAAAGAAAAAAAAAAGAGUAUAUGAUAGCAUGGAGGUCAUCAUCAAUACCCUCUCUAGCUAGCUAUCUCAUCUUCUAUUUCUGAGCAACUAUAUCUCAUCUUUCUUCCACACUCAUGCUCCCCUCAUAAUAUAAAUUAAUUCACUUAAUUUAUAUUUGAAACUAUAGCUAGAUAUAUUGAAGUUUGAAAAUUUUUAUUCAUGGCUAGACAACUUUGUCAUGAAGAUGACAAAACAUCAAGUGGUGGAUUUUGUUACAACCCAACGAUUCAAACACAAAUCCAAGGUUUUGUGUCCGAUCCAGAGAUGUUCAAUCUCACAACAGGGAUGGAGAUGAUAGGUUUUUCCAAACAACAUCUUCAACAACAUAGUACUGACACAACAAACUCUGUCAUGUGGAAAACAAAUUUCUCAGGAAAACUAAGUCAACAACAUGUUGGUCCUUCCUCUUCUUCAAAAACCAUGAAUGAUAAUUUCUAUCAUCAUCAAGAUUUCACUGUUUCUGAUACAACAAGUAGUGAUCAGAAUCUAAACAACAUGGUUCAUCAUGAUUCAUCUUCACAUCAUCAGUGGCAACAAGUUGAUGAUUCAUCUUUAAGAUGUGUUUUCCCUUGUGAAGGUAAUGAAAGACCAAGUCAAGGACUUUCACUCUCUCUUAGUUCAACAAACCCUUCCUCUAUUGGUUUACAAUCUUUUGAACUAAGACAUACUACUAAUCAUCAUUUGCAAGAUCAAGGGUAUCAAGGUCAUUUUCUUCUCAAAAACUCUAAGUUCUUACUUCCAGCACAAGAACUUCUCAAUGAGUUUUGUAGUUUAGAAAGUACUAAGCAAAAUGAUUUAGUUUUACAAAAGCAAAAAUCUCAAAAGUUCAACAACAAGCAAAGUUGGGAAGAUGAUAACAACAAUGGUGGUAGCAGUUCUUCAAUCAAACAAUCUUUAACCUCUGUAGAGUUUGUUGAAUUGCAGAAGAGAAAAACUAAGCUCCUUUCCAUGCUAGAAGAGGUAUAUUAUUACAUAUUAUAGUACUACUAUUUAUAUGUUUCAAAUUUAAAUUAUUUUAUUAUUUCAUUUCAUUAAUCAAAGACUAUUAAGUUCAAGUCAUAAUCAAGGCUCUUAACUUUUGGUUGAGAUUGGUGUCUUAAUUUGGAUUUUGAUUCUUGAACUAAUUAAGCAGCUAGUGAAGUCUUAUCAUAAAUGCCUUCACCCCGUGACAAUUGAAACUUUUUAAUGUUACCUUUUUGCUUUUCUUACCAAUAAAAAUUGUUAGGUUUCAUUUUUAUUUCUAUGGUGGAAGUAACUUUCAAACUCAUGAAAAUUAUUUAUUUAAAUAUUGUUUUUUUACUUUUGUGUAUAAGGUUGAUAGAAGGUACAAACACUAUUGUAAUCAAAUGAGGAGUGUGGUUUCAUCAUUUGAAGCUGUAGCUGGAAAUGGAGCUGCGAAAGUAUAUUCAGCUUUGGCUUUAAAAGCUAUGUCAAGACAUUUUAGGUGUUUGAAAGAUGGAAUUUUAGAACAAAUUCAAACAACAAGAAAAGCAAUGGGAGAAAAAGACCCUGUUGCACCUGGAACAACAAAGGGUGAAACACCUAGGCUUAAAAUACUUGACAGAGUUUUGAGACAACAAAGAGCAUUUCAACAAAUCAACAUGAUGGAAACACAUCCUUGGAGACCUCAACGUGGUCUUCCUGAACGUUCUGUUUCAAUUCUCAGGGCUUGGCUUUUUGAACACUUUCUUCAUCCGUAAUUCUUUUUUUUUCUUCAUUUCAUUCAUAUUUUAUUUAUUUCUUUCUAUGUUCAAGUAAGUAGUUCUAAUAGAAGUAAGGUACAAAAUACAUUUUUCUAAAGAAUCAAUGUUGUCUCCAUUUCAAAAAAUAAAAACAACUAUUGGCAGUUGUGUUAUGGUAUCGUAAGUUUUCUCAUAUCAAGAAUCUUUUACAUUAAUGUGCUUCAACAAAUAUAAAAAAUUAUAUCCUACGCAUUUUUUUUUGUUAGUUUCUGUGCAUCACCAUUCAGAUUCCAUCUUUUCAUAUGUAUGUUGUUGUGUAUAGUAUUGUCAUAUUAUUUUCAAUCAUUUCUACAUCAUCUUCUCUUACUUUUAUUUUUGCGUCUCUUUCUCAACUACUUCUUUUUAUUUUUAUGUGGACUUAAAUAAUUCUUCCUUUGUAGGGCCAUUUCUUCUUAUCUCUAAUAUAGUUAGUUUUAUUUUCUAAUUACUAUUUAAUUCAUACGUGCCACACAAGGUCAUAUAUUAAUUUUUUUUUUUUUUUUUUUGUAUAAUUUUUUAUAGGUACCCAAGCGACGUUGAUAAGCAUAUUUUGGCCCGCCAAACCGGUCUCUCAAGAAGCCAGGCAUGUUGAUUUUCUAUUAUAUUAAUAAUAAAAAUAUUAAUAUAUUUCCCUUCAUUGGACAAACUCUUUCAAUUUCAUAUUUAAUUAAAUAGUCAUAUAUAUUAGAUGGUCUUCUCAGAUCCGUCACCCAAAAAUUUGAUAUUAAUAUUUGUAAAGAGUAAGUCUUAAUAUAGACAUAUAAUAUGUUAUUAUUGUAAAUUUAUUAAUUGAAAGUUUUUAAGGUGACACAUGUUAUUUAAUUAUUAAUUAAUUGAAAAGCAGGUAUCAAAUUGGUUUAUUAAUGCAAGAGUGAGACUAUGGAAGCCAAUGGUGGAAGAAAUGUAUUUGGAAGAAGAGAAAGAGCAACAAAGAAACACGACAACCUCGGACGGAGGAAACAAUAUUAAUCAUGAAGAGGAUAAUCUUAAUGUACUUCAAAACCAAUCUCAAACUCAACCUCACGAGGAUCAAAAGCCACGACUCCUUCGAAUCGAUUCUGAAUGUGUCUCGUCUAUCAUCAACAAUGAUCAUAAAAAUGAUGCUAAUAAUAAGAAUUUGAAUCAUCAUCAAUUAGCCGCGGAUGCGUUUGGCUCGGUUGAUAUUGAUUUUUCAUCUUAUAAUACGCAUCAUUCUUCUUCUGACAUGGUUGCUGCUUACACAAGUGGUGAGAGUUUCCACCAAGGUGGCAGCAGUGGUGGAGUGUCAUUGACGUUAGGGUUACAACAACAUGGUGGAAAUGGAGUUAGUUUGGCUUUCCCACCAACAUCACAGAGUCCAAUGUUCUAUACCAGGGACCAAAUUGAAGAACCGGUUCAGUACUCUCUUUUGGAUGGUGAAGGAACAAAUAUUAUGCCAUACAGGAAUCUCAUGGGGACACAAUUGCUACAUGACUUGGCAUAAUACAUGGCAAAGGUUGUUGAAUUAAUGUUAUUAAUUUGAUUGAAGCUUCAGUCAAAAAUAUUGAAUCAUGAAGGUGCGUAUUCAGAUAUCACAUUUUAGGUCAUGGUAUAACCAUUUAUAUUAAUAGGGGAACUGAGACUAGUGAAAUUAAUGAAUUAAAUUAGACAGAUUGAUACUUUUAAAUCUUAACUAGCUAGCUCAGUAUAUUGGUAUUGGUAUAUUAAUAUAUACAUGAUGUUGCUUCCAUUGAGAAGUUACACUUAGAUAAUAUAUUGCUUCAAUAUGUUUUUUAUCAUGCCUCUAUUUCUCACUUUGAAAUUAAAUUAAAUAUAAUAUCUUCAUGUAAGACGAGCCUUAAAAAAAAAUCUCUUUGUAAGAUGAAGGGUGCAAUUUUUAAAUUUAUAAUACCGCCCUCAUCUUUAACAUUAUUGAGUUUGGUGUAUAAGUAUGAAUAAUGAGUGUCCCUUUGGUUAAAUCUAAUAGACUAAUACCUUAUUAAAUUUCACACAAAUCUAAUUCAUUCAUAUAAAAUCAGAGAUGACGCUCUUUAUAAAAUUAUUUUAGACAUUAUCUCUAUUAAGUGAUUUUCUUUUCUAGCUACAUUACACGAUUAAAUUCGUAAUUAGACAGUUUAAUUUAGUUGGUAAGUUGUCGACGCUGAAACGUUCAAAGGGUUUUAACUUGUAGGUUUAAGGAUUCAGAUCAAAAUUAGUAUUCUAUGGUACUUAUUUUACACGAUCAUUCGAAAUUUUUAUAUGGUACUUAAUUUUCUAAAAUUUAAUAUUUAUUUUACUAGCUAGAACGUACCUUCUUUUUUUAUGAAACUGUUGAUUGACCACUGAGCUAACAGCUAGCACAAGAGGAAAUCAAAAUUCCAUUUUAGAGGAAUAUUUAAGAUAUUUGUAGUUUAUUGAAGAAAAUGAAAAGAAUAUUUCAAGAAGAACAAUAAAUCAUUUGGUUGAGCAAUUUUGGUUGGAUGCUAAAAACAAAAAAGAGAGAAAAUAUCAAAGAUAAUUUGGAGAUUGUGGUCCCUUAUUCACCUCAUAAAGACAAGUUCUUGUGCCAAUAAGAAUUGUUUGCUUUAUGAUAUGUCAUUUUUAUAAUUGGUUCGCCGGUGCCUUUCUAAAAAAUUAAAUUGGCUUUUCAAUUAGUAUUGGAGGCACUACUAGGGUUAAUUUUAAGGAUGAGAUUGCAUGCUCUUUAAUGAAUGCAAUGCAACUUGUGUUUAUAAAGGUUUAUCAACAGCCCUUCAUUGCCUCGUGUAUGUAUUGCUACAAUAUAUACAUCAUAUAUAUAUAUAGUGCAUUUUUGCUCUUAUUAGUUUUACUCGUUAUUUAAUUUAUUUAAGCAUGGUAGUUUGAUAUAUUGUAUACCAUGAUUUGUUGUUAACUUUAAUAAAAGACAAAAAAAAAAUGAAAUUCAUUCCACACAAAAAAAAAAACACUCAAAUGAUAUUGUUUCUCUUUUUAUGUUGAAACAACUUUCAAUAAUUGCUAUAACGGGGAAGAAUAGAAACAACUUGUUUAAAGGUAUUUCCCAUCCAUUUAAAAGAGUCAAUUCUAUAGUAGUUAAGCAUCCUAAGUCAUGAACCAAAUACACAUUAAUUGCGCAUAAAGAAAUGGGACGUGAGAGUAUAUAUAAUUCUAUAACUUAGAAACCAGUCAUAAAUCUCUUCCACGGCGAACAAUAUAGAAAAUGUUGAGAAUUAACUGCAUUCCCUCGUCUUAUCUAGUUAAAGAUAAUUAUUUAUUUAUUUAUUCAAACACAAUUGUAUAUGUAGUUCAGAAGACAAAAUAUAUGUGAACGGAGUAUUGAAAUUGGAGUCAGCCUCAUAAGAAAAUGUAAUAUACAAGUAUUUAUUUUCAUAUAUGGUUUUGUCUAAUAUGCAUAAGUAAGAAGAUCUUACAUCAUAUACAAAUAUCUUUUUUACCAUUGAAUUAAUAAGGCGCAUCACAUCAUAUCUAAUUAUUUUAAUGAUCCAAUGAUAAAUAGUUUGUGCAUAAUGUAAGACCUUCGUAUCUCAUUUAUGCAUCAUAUAAUUGGCCUCCAAAAAUAUGUAUUACUAUUUAAGCUGGGUUUUUUUAUAUGAAAUCUUAUAUGCUCAUUCUCGACCCAUCGCACACUAAUAGAAUACCAACACACAAAUGAUUUACUAAGGGUUAUAUAAUCAUGAUGAGACUCUUGAAAGAAAGAAAGUUCCACUAUAAGAAAAACACAACUGGUUUUCCGAUUACUCCCAAAAUUUAAAAUAUUUCUUUUUUGGGAAGUAUUAAAUUUAUUUUCCUGCCCUAUUUUUCUACGGGUUACCCCCUAAUAAAAUCCAAUGGUAAAAAUAACUUAUCAGGGAUAUGCACCUCAUAAAUGCUUAGAUGGGAACGUUUCAAAGAGGUAUACCGCUCAAUAUUGUCAUUUUUUCAUGCGUGUUGUGGCCUUGAGAAAAGGUUUGCCAUAAAUACACAAUUUUCCUAUAGUAACCUUAUCUGAAGAUCUUGGAGGAGGUCGAGAGAUAACCUAAUCGUAUAUGAUUCGAGGGACAGAUCCACUAACAGACUAUGGGAGGAUAAAUCCCCACAUCCGAUUUCCCUAUUUUUUUAUUAUAAAUACGGUAAUAGUUAUUUUGGUAUAUGAAUGUGUAACGAGUAAUCACAAUAGUCUUUCAAAGUAUUAAAAUUUUAAAAUAGUCUAUGAUUUUGCACUUUUUUUAUUGGUUACAUGAGAAAAAAAAAAUAAUAAAAAAAAAACUACGUCCUAAUAAAGGACACUCCUGUAGCAUCAGCUAGUAAGGCUAAGGAUAGACAUGAUAAUGGUUGAUGCACCAUCACAAGAGACUCUGAUUGAUUAGCACCUUGUUUUGCAAGUAUAUAUGCGCAAGAGUUUCCCUCUCUAAAAAUAUGAUGAAUGGAAAUAUCCCACUCCUUAACCAAAUAUAUCUGAAUAAGCUGAGGUUUGCAUAGUGAUGAAGCCUCGAUUCUUUCUUUGACACUAAUUGCACUGCAUGAAGAGAGUCAGAAAAUACUUUCUAUGAUUUUGCACUUUGUUAGUCAAAAUAGCCCUGGAGUGACAAUAAUUAAGUAUAUUAAAAGACUAAUAUGACAAUAUUAACAAAUUAUUUUAAUGUUAUCGGGACUAUUUUGACUAGCAAAGUGCAUAAUCAAUGACUAUUUUAAAAUUUUGAUACAUUGAGGGACUAUUAUUGUUACUCCUUACACCUUCAGGGACCAAAAUAAUUAUUACCCCUUAUAAAUAAAACAUAAUAUGUUUAGAAUAAGACCAAUAAGUCAACAACCUUGUGCAAAACUUGUGAAAACAAAUAAGUGCAACACAUUUGCUAUGAUUUGUAAGCUUUUGAAGUUGGUUUUGCUUUUGUCGAUAGCAAAUGCAAGUGUUAGCAACUUAGCUAGAUUUUAGCCCCCACAUGCACCAAAUGUCUGAAUCCGUCCCUGUAUGAUUCCUGUAUAUUUUAGUACAAAUGAUAUCCAUCAUGAAAUUCACAAAUGUUAAUGUAUUACUUUUUGAAUGGUCGGAAAGUUGUCAGUAAUUGACGGAUACAUGAAAGGAUAAGAGAUAAAAAAAAAUAAAAAAAAACUAUAUAACAAGCUCUAGGUUUUUUCUUUCAAGUCUUUUUUUUUUUGGACAAUUUUUUUUUCAAGUUUAAAAACCACAUUCUCAAAAAUGCAAUGGUAGAAAAUAAUUAUACAUGUAUUUGUUACAAGGUUGAGAACAAAUUGUUCUUUAGGUUUAAAGAUUCCCAUGAAUAUGAUAGCCUUUCACAACUUCCAUUAAUUGCAAAGAUUUUUCUCAUGAAAAGGUGAAAAUGUACAUUCUCGUAAAAUUUAAUAUAUUUUUAAAUAAAUGAGGACAAUUGUUCAUAAUUCAAUAACAUUACACCAAUUUAAUAUGAUAGCCUUUCAUAACUUCCACUAAUAAAAAAAAAUGGCUUGUUAUAUUCUCGUGUAAGUUAUUUCUAAAAAUAAUUUUUGAAUCCUUGAAACAAACACCCCUAUACAAUUUAGCGAGCUUCUUUUUAGUGAGAAAAGUAUUCUUCAAUAGAAAAUAAUUCCUAAUAAAAAUAUAAAUAAAAAUUGUUAUUUGAGAGCUUAUAGCCCUUAGAAUUUGAGUUUAAUCAAUACGUAAAUGUUUUUAUGGUGUGAAAAUUGCUCUUUAGGCUUCCUUAUCUGCUCUCUCAGACAUCCAAAAAUUAUCCUUUUAUCAUGUUAACUGUCAUUCGUUGUUUACGGUAAUUAAUUGUUGUUUGUUGUACAGCAGCGCAGUUAACUGCCGUUCCAAUCAUGUUACAUAUUUCAUACAACUUUCUUCCACCUACGAUAUUCACUCACCAACUUUCUUCCCUAUUUCAUUCAUAACUGAAAAAAUGUGAAUUUUUUGUUUUUGAAAAAUGUUGGUCUCAAAUCAUGGAUGGCUAAAAUGUUUCUACACUCAUUUGACUUCAAGCAAUAAGUAUGGUAUUUUUUUUUACCCGUCAACAUUGUUUCAUUUUUCUGCCAUAUUUUUUAAGGUUUCUACACUCAUUUUUUACAACUACGAGUGUCCAAAUUUCCAGUAGAGAUUUAGUCUAAUUUUUUGAAGAAGUGAGAGAUUUAAUGUAAUGUUAUGAAUUUUUAAGCUGUUUGAUGUAAUGUUGUGUAGUAGUAUAUUGUCAAUUUUUGUAAUGUUGAAUAGUUUGUUGAGUUUCAAUCAUUCGUGUACCAAUAAUGUAAUGUUGAAUUGGUGUAAUGUUAUUGAAUUGUGAAUUAUGAUGUUUUAUUGUUGAUUAUGAGCGAUAAAUGUUGUAUAAUUGGUGCACUGCUUGUUGAACGGUGUUUCUAAGUUACAUGUGUUAUGCAUAGAGUAGUGAUAUAUUGACAACAAUUUGUGACAACUUUGUUGACAACUUUUAUUUUCUCUCUUCUCAUUGGUCCAAAACAAUAGAGAGAGAAAAAAGAAGAGAGAGAAUAAAAAUAUAAUGUGAGUAUAAGAGAGAAAGUUGUCAUAAAAUUGUAAUAAAGUGGUUGUACAAAUAUCAUUUCUCUUAUGCAUAUAAAGGUUGCAUACUGCAUUUAUCACAAGAUUGGUAUUAACUAUUGUAGGUGUCAAGGAUAGUUAACUAUCAACAAAGGUUGAUCAAUAUACAACACGAGGCUUGUGUGAGCCAGUUUCCCAAUUAGUUCAAACAAUUUCUUUGAGAUAACCAAAUAGGACCAUAAUAUAUUUAUUUGGUACCAUUUACCAAGCACAUACGAUUGGAUAUCCAUACUAGUAGAAAAAACAAAUGAGUUGGGGUAUCUAGCUGAAUUAUGAGAGCUACUUUUAUCGGUUUUCUUAAAAAAAGACACCUAUUCAAAUUUAUCAAUUGUAACAAAAAAAAAUAAAUUGUUUUUCUCGCAUCUGGAUAAGUAAAUCCGAAUAAAUAGAAAACGUGUUUUCUGUACUUUCAGAUGGAUAAAUCCGGACAAUAGUAGUUUUUGACGUGAUUUCAAAAUCCGAACUAGCAGAGAAGAGUGGGAAAAUAAGCUCUUUUUUCAUUUUAUUUUUUCGUUUUGGAGGAAGCCUUAGUCACUAUUUGAUUGCAUAUUAAUAUGUUAAUUUUCUUUUAACAAGAUACUCACUCCGUUCUUUUUUAAGUAUCUUUUUUGAAGAUUUCUUUUGUUUUUAUUUAACUGUCACUUUUAAAGUUCAAUGCAACAUUAAAUGAUGUUUUAUCAAUAUUACCCUUAAUUAUUUAUUGCGGAGAGAUAAAUACUCUCUCCGUUUCAAAAUACAUGUCCAUUUUAGAGAAAUUUUUUGUUUCAAAAUACAUGUCCAUUUCAUAGUUUAAGGAUAUAUUUUGUCUAUUUUACCCUUGUCUACCAAUUAAUUGGAUUCUAGAUUUUCUCCACAAUAAUUAUUUUCCACUAAUAAAUGUUGACCCAAUUUUAAGUAGAUUUACUCAUGCACUCUCCUAAGAAAUUAUUUUCCCAUGACUACUGCACUCUAAUCCAUCGUAACUAACUACUCCUAAUUAAUUGGACUCUCUAAUUUGUUUAUAAAAAUUGAGUUUUUAUAUUUAAAACUACUGGAAAAAAAAAUGGAAAACAAAGGAAAGUCUGUGAAAGUUGAAUCUCAGCACAAUGAAAGAGUUGAAGACUCUUUUGACAGCAUACAAUAUGAAAGGGUUGAAGACUCUUUUGAUGGGUUACAAAGUGACACAAACAUAACCUUGCAAGAACAUGGAGAUUGUGGAGAAGCAUCUUCAAAAGCAACAAAGGAUUUUGACUUAAAUACAAAGGCAGAUUGUGGAUUUGAUUUGAAUGAAUAUCCAGUAGAAGAAGAAGAAGAAGAAGAAGAAGAAGGAGGAGGAGAAGGAGGAGGAGGAGGAGGAGGAGGAGGAGGAGGAGGAGAGGGAGAGGGAGAGGGAGAGGGAGAGGGAGAAGGAGAAGGAAAAGGAGGAGGAGGAGAAAAUGUGGUUAACAAGAUGUUGAAAAUUUAUCUUCCUAAUCUUAACUGAAACUUUUGUCAAUUUAAAUUCAUGAAUUCAAUGGAAGUGAUUUAGAAUAUUUUGUUGUAUUGCAAAAAAUAUAUGAAAAUGUAUUAUGAAAUCCUUUCUAAUAUUUUAUGUACUAUCAAAUCCAUUCUUAGUGUUUUAUGUAAUGUCUGAGAGUGGUACCUACAUCUCUGAGUUUAAUUAUAAUGGAAGAAGGAAAGGGAUUAAACUCUGCAUAAAAUUUGAAUAAGUUGUUCCAUUAAACAGUGUUGCAGAAAUUAUGAAAAUGAACAAUCAUUCGAACACCGAAAAAAAAACUAUAGUUUUUAAUUGUAAUAUUAUUUGUAAAUGGAAAGGCAAAAGAGUAAUCAUGAGAGUAAGCAUACGAGGGAGAUAGCAAUGAUGAGAUCUAUGAGCUUUAAAAUUUACAUGAGUUACAUAUAAUAAUCAUGAUAAAGGUAAAUACUCAUAACAAAAAAAUCUCUACAAAAUAAAUAUAACAUAAAAUCUAUGAAAUCUAUGAAUACCAUACUAACACUGUAUAUAAUCAUAUAAACAGGAGCAUUAGAGUACAAUUAUAUUUAGGCUAAUUCUAUAUACAUGGAGUACUAUAUAUGUAGAGUAUCUCAAAGCAUCACAAAGGCUUUUUAUAUUCAUAUAAUAUGGAGUAUUAGAGGACAAUUGUAUGCAGGCUAAUUCUAAUUUGUUUAUAAUGCCAUGUUACGGUUAUGUGUUACUUUUUCUUACUUUUUGUUGUACUAACUUUCAUCGUUCAAUAAUCACCAUGCAGGUAGCUCAAAAAGAAACUACUAAUUUACAGAAAAAGACAUCACUGCGGAUUACGGGAUGUACCAGUUACGUAUACUAACAAAAAAGAAUUUAAGAAAAUGAGAUUACAUACCAGCUAUGUGAGUGUUGCUUUCUUCUCCUGUAACAAAGUUUUCUUCCUCACCAUUUAAAUCAUGUAGAUCUUGAUUUAAAUCAAACAGUGGCUCUUCAUUUAAAUCAAACAAUGGUUCUUCAUUUAAAUCAAAUGGAAAAGCAUUGAGAUCCAUAGCAAAAUUUUGUUCUUCAUGAAUAAUAUAAAUUUGAUAAAUGAGUACCUAACUCUUAUAUAUAGUGAAAUUAUAAGUGUUUUUGAAAAAAUGUUGGGAAAAACAAAUUUUAAUUUAACUUUGGUGGUAAACAUUUUAAGAUUAGAGUAUAAAUUUUGGAGGGAAGUUUUUCAAUUGAGUUUAAAAAAAAAUUGUAUUGGCAUGCUAUUUUCAAUACAUAACCGCAGCAAAAACAAUGUGAUUUACUAGAUGAACCAUAUGUAUUGGUAUUGUCAGUAUGUAUUGGUAUUGAAGGAUGAUUGAAUUUAAUUAAUUUUGAUAUUGGUAUUGGGAGUAAUUAUGAGAUGGGGUAAAUAAAUGUAAAAUGGAGGAAAUCAAAGACAAGGGUAUAAUAGGAACUUUUGUGUCAAACUAGCUUGUCCUUGGUUACUGCAAUUUCUCCAAAAUGGACAUGUAUUUUGAAACGGAGGGAGUAUAUGAAAUAAGAUAUUAAAUGAAUAAGGUCAUUAUAGUAAAAGUAUAACUUAUUGCAAUCAAAAGUAGUAACAAUUAUUAAUUGUCUUGGUAUAUGUAAAAUGUCAAAAUAUGACAAUUAAAAAGAAACGGAGGUAGUAUCAAUUCUAUAAGAUUCUUACCCUUAUGUUGGCAAUAGAUUCUAACUUUAUUUUAUAGAAUCUUCUUUAAAAAAAAAACACCGUGCUGUGUUUAAUAUUAGUAUUUGCCUUUUGAAUCAUCAAUGAUGUUUGAUUCGUUAUGUGAAUCAACAAUAUUUUUAGAAAACAACACACCGUACUGUGCAAGGCAAGUAGAAUUGGGAGCAUCUUUGCUAAUCUGCUUCACAGAAUAACAGGUCUCAUAACUCAUAUGAAUAUCUAAAAGAAAAAUAAAUUUAUUUUUUGGCUCUCAUUUUGUUUUAUAAAAUUUGUCAUAACCCACCAAUUUUUUUAAAAUAAGAGAUCUUAGUAAUUUAAAUUGUGAUCAAGAGGUAAGUAAUAAUGGUCUAAAAAUUGUUCUUGCCAUGAUUUCGAACCGGAUUCUCUCAAAUAUUCAAUCAUGUAAUUAAAACAUAAUGUAUCAUUAAUCUCAUUUAUAUAGUUUCGUCCAAAAAAAAUUAAUUUUUAUAAUACAAAUCACCUUUAUUCUAAUUAUACUACAAGUAAUUAUAUAUCACAAGAACAAAUCAACAUAAAAAAAUAAAUGCUAAGAUGCUAAACACUCGUAUAAUUUUGAACGGACAAGGACUUUCUAUCUUUUUUGAAGGAAAAAGUAGAGUGAUUUUAGACAAAAUUAAGAUAAACUAUAAGAGAUGAUGAUGUUAAAAACGGUUUGAAUCUUUCUCCUAUCUUCUAAUUAUCAAAUAUUAUUUCUUGUAAUUCUAAAAGUGAGAUUUUGGAUAGGAUUAAGCAUCAGAUCAAGACUUUUAAUUUUGUUAUCUUCUCAUUCAUCCCCUUUCUCAUUUUUUUUCUCUGCUGAUUCUCCUUCUGAAUUUGUUUAUGUUUUCUUUGCUUCAUCUUUUCCUUUACUACUACCUUCCUUCCAAUUUUGAUUCAUUUCUAACUAUAAUUUGAGGAGCAAUUGAAUCCGAAUGAGCUCUAUUUUCUUGUUAUAUAUAUGUAGCAAUAUGCAUUUGAGCUUUUAGUUCAUUAGGAUUAGGAAGGUUGUUGAAGGAGAUAAUAAAUGAGAAGUAUCAUUAGUUAGCUAGAUUGUUUGGGUUGACACGUUUUCUCCCUAAACACAAAUUACAUGGUUGCUUGCUUUUCCUUAGGUGUUCGUGUCUAUUUUUUUUAUCUAUAAAUACAAAUUGCAUGUUUUGUUUCUCUAAAAAAAAUUGAACAUAAAUUUAUUGUUAGAUUAGUAAUAGCUCAUAUAGACUGCUCCACUUUUUUUUUUGUUUGUUAAUCCUCUAAUUUUUAAGGGAAGAGAGUUUUGGAAAUGGAGUUUGAGCGAAGGGUAAAUAUAAUGGUAAUAUGUUUAUGAUAACUAAUGUUGUUUGCAACUCAUUCUUAAAAAAAUGUUUACUCUACUAUGUUUAAUGGUAAUACAAAUUUCUCCUAAAACUUAAUUUAUUGGUGUUUAUUGCGGUUGAUAAAAUCCGUGCGACCUACUGACCGGCGAUCUAGUAAAUAGUAAAUUUUAAAAAUUGGAAAAUACACAAAAUUAAAGAAGCUAGAGUACAUAACAAUAAAGAAGCUAUAGUAUAAGUUUUUAUCAUAUAACAAAUUAUUAAACUCAUUUUCAUAUAAACUAUAAGAUAUUUUCAUAAGCUAUCCUGAAAAGUUUAUGAAAAUAAUAUGAAAAACAAUUUAUUGACAUGUUAUGAGUUGUUUUCAUAAGCUCUUCCAAAUAAAUCAAUCCAAGUUUUUUUUUUUUUUUUUUUCCUGAAUCAGCAAAAUUUAUUAAACGCCAACCUCGCAAGACGUAAGGUAUAGAUGACAUAAAGAUACAAAAGAUGCCGCAUAUAGAGAGUACACCCAACCCCAAAACGAAAUAACAGACUCCUCCACAAGGAACCCAAAAACUGUGACAGUAUAGCAAGUUAUGAGCCUGUAAUCCGGUACAAUGGCCACCGAAUUACACAGCCAUAGCUCAAACUAGGCACAAACAGACCCUCAGCCCCAAACAAAGAACCCAAAAGGCACCCUAAAACAAGGCCUACCCAAAACAGAAAAUUCCAACACGGCAGGCCCUGCUAUUGCAACUCAGCAGCUGCACGGCUACAGCAGCACAUGAAAAACAGCAGGUGCUGUUUGAACCCGCAAAGGAGCCCCCAAAAACUCAGCAGAGAACAGCAAAACUGACAGAAUACCGGCAGCAAAGAAACUGCAGUACACCGCAGCACCCAACACAGGACAGCACCGGAGCAACUUAAACCGUGAAUCGAUCCAGGUUCUAAGUCAAUCUUUUCCUCAAACCCAGUCAAGAUUAGAAUCUAUUCAUAAUAUUGUUGAUUAUUUGUAGAUGCUGCAAAAAUCAGUGUUAAAGAACAAGUUGUUGUGUUAUCUUUUAGCUAAAAAUUCAGUUACUGUGAGAAAAUGACAAUGUAUGAUUCAUCAUUCAGUGGUUAAGGACUAAAGGAAUAGUGCUGAAUGUUUUUUUUCUUUAACAGCAUAUUCCAUUGUUAAUGUUAAUCAAUUACCAAAUAUUUGUCAAAAACUACUAAAGAACCACAAAAUGAGAGUUCAUAAUACAAGAUAGAUAUCAGUAAAAUGAUAAAUACCAAUAUUUCACAAUCAAAUUCUUCUAGUUUGGUAUCACUAGUCAUCUUAAGUUUAGUGAAAGUAGAGACUCUGUAUACACCGCCAUUUGGGAUCUCAUAAAGCAACGGUCACUAUAGGAGUGAUACUUUAGCAGUUGUCCUUUGACAUUAAGCUUAACUAAUCCACCAUUGGCUGGUCCAACAAUAUCGCCACAAUUUGUAAAGCAUAAUGGGGAAAACUCCGGAUCGGGGUGAAAAGAAAAAUCAAAAGUCUUAGUCCAAGAUGAAUGUAUUGCGUAUUCUUGCAUCACCCAUAUCUUAAGUGUAGGCAUCUCCAUAUUCCAUACACUAAUAAGUCUGCCAAAUACCAUCAAAUCAUAAAUUCUAGUAGAGUAAUCACUAUAAAAACCAUCUGGGAGAGCAGUCUCUGACAGUGUCAUUUCCUUUAAAUCAAAGGCAAUAAUAACAUCCAUUUCAGUCUUAUCAUCAUAAACCAGCCAAUGAAUAGAACCAUUCAAGAACGACCCAACUCUGGGACCACCAUUAGAGCUUGCAGUAUUCUUAUAAGGCAAAUCAGAAUCAAACUCAAUUUGUUCCCAUUGAUUACCUCUCAAUGAGAAAAUCUCCAAGUCAAUUGAACUAGAUACCAUGUAUUUUUAUUGUAGAUACCAUGAACUAGAGCUUCAUGAGCAUAAGCUUUCUUGAAAAGAUAAGUUUUCACCGACAUGAUUCUAUGUGUGGAUGAUGCAGCAAGUUGAAAAUGUGAAGAUGCCAAAUAGGGAUCAGAGAUUAGAGAGAGCCAUGACUUACAGACGCCUGCAACGUAGUACAGACUUCACCGGCAACCUCAGCAGGAUUUCGGUUAUCACUUCUUCAGGCAGAUGCACUCUCUUCUUCGCCAUCUUUCGUACAAGAUAGAUAGAUAGAUAAAAGAGUAAAUUACACUCCCCUCUCCUUAAAAUAUUUGAAUUACACUCUACUCCCCUUUUAUGUUAAAAUAUACAUUCCCCUCCCCUCUUAUUCAAAAUAUAUUAAAAAAAAAUUCAAUCCCCUCCCCUAAGAGAAGCAUGAAUUACAUUCCCCCUCCCCUCUUAUGUUAAGAUUCUACACUUUACUCCCUCAAUAAUUUUUUUUAUUUCUAAUAAUCUAGCAAAAAAAUAAUAAUCUAACACAUUUCGAAAAAAAAUAGUAUUGUCGGUCUACUUUAAUAAAACCAAAAUUUGAAUAAAUAUUUUUUGCUAUUUUUUUAUUCACAAUUUCAUUAACAUAUAGUUUUGAACCCAAUUACAAAAUACGAAACAAUUCAAAAUAAAAUUAAAAUAUGAAAAAUUACUCAGGACAAUAAUAUAUGGCCAUUUAAAUGUUAAUUUUAUAAUCUAAAUUAUAAAAUUAAUAGAAAAAUAUUUAAAUUUAAUUAUCAUUGACAUUGAAAUUAUAAAGAAACGAAUUUAUGUUUCUUGAUGGUGGUACGGAAUUAGAAAAUAUCAUAAAAAUAUUUAUUUAUGUUUUCUUUUUGAAAGAAUGAAUUAUUUAUUUAUUUAUUUAUGUUAAAAUAGAUUAAAGUGUAAUGCAUAUUUAAUUAUUAAGGGAGAAAGUUAUAAUUCAAGCAUCUUAUAUGGAGGGAAGUAUAAAAAAAUUUGAAGGGAGGGGAAUGUAUAUUUUAACAUAAGAGGGGAGGGGAGUGUAAUUCAAGCAUCUUUAAAGGGAGAAGAGUGUAAUUUACUCUAAAUAAAACCCUAAUUACUUUUUUUUUUCUUUUCAAUUUUGUGAAUUGAGAAUGGGAAGGAAGGGACUCUAUUGGUGGAUUGGAAAUGUCUGUCUAAAUGCACCCCAACUGAAAUAUUCUUUUUUUUUUGUUCAAAAACUGAAAAAAUCAAUAUUUUAGGGUAUGUUUGUUUCAAUGGAAAGAAAGUGUUGAGGAAAGAAAGGUGAGUGAAAGAAACACUUUUCAUUGUUUGGAAACCUUCUAAAAAGGUGAUGGAAAGAAAGAAGCUGGUGGGAUCCAUGUCAAAAUCCUUUCCCCUCACAUGGACGGAAAGGUUGAGGCACAUCAAUAUUUUGAUUGAAAAGUCAAUAAUACCCUUACUUUUAUUGUUUUUCUUUUUUGCUAUUAGUUAAGUGUGUUUUUAUCUUUUUCUAAUUAACUGUUUUGUUAUUUUGUUAUGUAGCACUAGACUUACGAUUGCAUACUCACAACUAAGCAUACAAUUUUUUUCCGUUGAAUUAUGUGGACACGUGUUUAUAUUUUAUAUGAUAAUAUAUGUAUGCAUUACUAUAUCUAUACAGGGAUAUUUAUGUCAAUUAAAAAAUAUAGAUCUUUCUUUCCUUUCACUUUCUAAUUCACUUUCUCUUAUACCAAACAACCAUAACAAUCCCUUCAUUUUCUACUUACUUUCUUUCCUUACAGAAUCUUUCCUAUCUCUAUCUUUCCUUUCACUUUCAUUCCCAAACCAAACAAAGCCUUUGUCUCCCUAUAACACAUUUUUGUUUUUGUUUUUUUAGUCCCCAUUAAUUUUGAUGAUUUGUCACUCUUAUUAAUGACGUGUCAUUUGUGUGUUGGCUUUCUCAUUUUUCAAGUCGUUAAUAAUAAUUAGUUUACAUCCAUAAGAAAAAGGGUCUGUUUGGGAAACCAAAAAAAGAGCUUUUAGCUUAUAGCUUAUAAACUCGUUUGACAAAAAAAGCUCUGUUUGGUAACACUUUUUCACCAUGAGCUUAUAGCUUAUUUCACGAGCUUAUAAGCUAUUUUUCAGAAGCUAUUCCAAAUAGCGUUUGAGCUUAUAGCUUCUCACUUUUUCUUCCAAUUUUACCCUUAUUAUUUCAUUUAAAUUGUAUUUUUAUCCAUUAUAAUUUUUAUAAUAAGCUACNNNNNNNNNNNNNNNNNNNNNNNNNNNNNNNNNNNNNNNNNNNNNNNNNNNNNNNNNNNNNNNNNNNNNNNNNNNNNNNNNNNNNNNNNNNNNNNNNNNNNNNNNNNNNNNNNNNNNNNNNNNNNNNNNNNNNNNNNNNNNNNNNNNNNNNNNNNNNNNNNNNNNNNNNNNNNNNNNNNNNNNNNNNNNNNNNNNNNNNNNNNNNNNNNNNNNNNNNNNNNNNNNNNNNNNNNNNNNNNNNNNNNNNNNNNNNNNNNNNNNNNNNNNNNNNNNNNNNNNNNNNNNNNNNNNNNNNNNNNNNNNNNNNNNNNNNNNNNNNNNNNNNNNNNNNNNNNNNNNNNNNNNNNNNNNNNNNNNNNNNNNNNNNNNNNNNNNNNNNNNNNNNNNNNNNNNNNNNNNNNNNNNNNNNNNNNNNNNNNNNNNNNNNNNNNNNNNNNNNNNNNNNNNNNNNNNNNNNNNNNNNNNNNNNNNNNNNNNNNNNNNNNNNNNNNNNNNNNNNNNNNAUUUAAAGUAUUUUUUUAAAGAAAAAUUAGUUUACAAAAUUACAAAUACUUAAAUUAAUGAUAUAAUUUUUAUUAUGAAUUAAGAAUACCUUUUAUGUCAUUUUACAUUUAUCAGCUAGUUGAACCGCUAUUUUUACCAAACACUUCAGUCAGCUUAUAAGCUAAAAGCUACCAGCUAGCUUAUCAGCUAAAAGCUAUCAGCUAACUUAUCAGCUAUCCGCUAUUUUUACCAAACAGAGUCAAAGUAACCGAUUAAUGAUUCUUACUUUAAAAGUUUGUCAUGUCAAGCUUUUCUUUAACCCUUAUUUAGAUUAAAGGAUAGAUUGUGUUAACUUUAAGUUUUGUAUUCUACGGUAAAGUAUAGUGUUUUAAUGAUAAAAACAAACUAAAUUCGUGUCUAAUGUAUCUUAUUUCCUACAUUGAUUCAAUCUAAUCAAUUGACGAGUUCAUAUAAAUAUAGUGGAUAUUACUGAAAAGCCAACUGACAUAGGGGCGGUUUGUUUAAAAGAAUUUAAAAAUUAUAUUUGACUUUUUAGUUAGGGAUGAUGAAGCAGAUUGACCCGCUCCAUUUAGAUCCACCUCACUUAAAGCCCGUCAAAAAUAGGACGAAAUAGGCAGAGUCAAUUUAGAUGAUCGAAUCCAAAAAUUCCACACCGCUUGGCUUAAUGGCGGGUUGACGGCCUCGAUAGUCAAACGAAAAAUUAAUAACAUUUUUUCAUUUUUUUAACAAUUUUAUUGUUAUAAGAAAUACUAUGUUGCAGUUAUUUAAAAAAUGGUUAAUUAAGUUUUUGGUUCCUAUAAAUAUCUGCAGUUUUGUUUUUAGUCCCUAUAAAAAUAAAUCACAUUUUUUAGUCCUUAAAAAAUUUACUAUUUGUGUUUUUAGUCCCUGUUAAAUUAAAUUUGUUUAAUUAUGCUUAAACUUCUAAAUUUUUGAAAGAUUUUUUAUAUACAUGUUCAUAACAUCGUAAGACACUCUUUUAUUAAUUUUUUUUAGUUUUUUAACAUGUAAUGAAUUAAAUAUGAAUUUUUCUAAAAGCCAAAUUUUGAAGAUUAUAUUAAUGAAAAUUUGGACCUAAUAAUAACAUUUUAAGUUACUUUUUUACGGAGGAACUUUGUAUAAUAUUCUAAGUAAGUAUGUGAAAAAUAUGUUACAAAUUUAAAAGUCUAAGCACAAUUAAGCAAAUUUUAAUUUUACAAAGACUAAAAGUAUGUGUUGGUCCCUAUUAAAUUGAAAUUUAUUUAAUUAUAAUUAAACUUUUAUAUUUUUAAAGGAUUUUUUAAGAGACAUGUUAAGAACAUUAUAAUAAUCUCUUUUAUAAAAAAAAUUGAAUUUUUUAUAAAAAAAUUUGAAUUUUUUAACAUGUAAUGAAUUAAAUAUAAAAUUUUUAAAUCGCCAAAAAUUCAAGAUAAAACUAACAAAAAUAUGGACCUAAAAAUAAAAUUUUGAGCUAAUUUAUUGUGGCGGAACCUUUUAUAAUAUUUUAAACAAGUAUGUAAAAAAUUAUUAAAAAAUAUAAAAGUUUAAGUAUAAUUAAACAAAUUUUAAUUUAACAAGGACUAAAAACACUAACGGAAAAUUUUGUAGGGAUUAAAAAGUGUGAUUUAUUUUUAUAAAGACUAAAAACAAAACUGCAGAUAUUUAUACGAACCAAAAACUUAAUUAACCCUUUAAAAAAUAAAAAUUAACCGCAAAUAAAUUUGUGGAAGAAUACAAGCUUAGUAGACAAAUUCAGAUACAUGAGCUGUUUGGUUGCUUCAUUUUAAAUGAUGUAUAACCCAUUGAUAAAAAAAAAAAAAAAAAAAAAAAAAGUUGACAAGUUGAUGAGUCGGUCCCUAAUUACUGUGAGUUAGGAGAAUUUUUGUGAUUUUCAUCUUCAUUUUUCUCAUUGCAUUGGGGUUAAUACAUAAUACAAAAAGCAAAUUAAUUAUAACAUUAUCAAAUUGAUAAGAAGAGCUAUUCCCGUUUGAAAACAUAAUUAAAGAAUGUAAAAAUAGCAGACUGGCACAUGAUAUUAAUAAGCAUGGCUCUUCAACGAUAAUACAAAGUAAACUUCUGUUAUUGUCCCAUCUAAUAUAAAUCUAAUUGUUUAAAACUACAAACUUCUUUGUACAUGGACUUUUCCUCAACUCACCUAUUUUCAGUGAACCCUGGGAAAGAAUUACAAAAUUUCACUUCGUGGGAGUGAGCCACCCAAUGAAUAAAUAAAGGAAUUUUGGUAUGGAGCUUCAAGAGAAGAUAAUGCAUAAGAUUGAUCCACCUCCCUAAUAUAUUUCAUUUGACAGUGACAUGAUGAAACUAUGCUUCACUUACCUCACUUUCCCUACACAUACCCACAUCUAUCACCAUGGUUCCUUUCUUCUUUGACCUCAUAACUCUGCAACAGUUUCUCCUUGGAGCCUGUAAAAUAUAUACCAAAGCAAAAACCAAAAUCAAAUUAUAGCAGUGCCACCAAACCAGUAAAAUUUUCAAGUAAAAACUUGAAAUUAAAAGCAGUCAAAAUCGGGUGGCAAGUGUACGAAGACUAUGACAAUAACUUACUCUAUCCCAUAGAUGUGGAUCUGGCUUCUUAUAUACCUCCACUCUGUCAACAGAAGAAGGAUUGGCCAUCUUCCACCGGCAUUCUGGGUGAGGAACACGAUGCCUUUCAUAUUCAGUCAGUGUUUGUUCUGUUGUAUCAUUGUAUUUUGCCUUUGAGAAGUAAAAUACAAAAGGCUUCUGACAUGGAUUUCGGCUAACCGGACGCGUGUUGAAUGCAUAUGCAGUGUAAUCUGCUCUUCUGUACCAAUUCAAGAACGUUCUUGAAGGCAUUUCCAUCUCUCGGGGUGAAAACACGCCACGGAAUAUCUGAACAGCAAAACCCCAUGAAACAGAAACAGUCCAGUGCUUUGAUUUGUCGUAGCAGAUGGAUUGCUGCAUGAGCCCUGCUGAGUCAAGCUUCAUUGGUAUUGUCAACCGUUGGAGGGCUUCUACGCGAGUCACAUUGGGGAAGAUUGGCUCAACCACGUCAAGGUGGUGCAGUGACACUAAUGGAGUCACCGGAUGCGAUGCAAGAAGACCGAGCAGGUUCCCAUACACAUCAUACUGUUCCAAUAAACCAGAGGAUCUCAGUAUAAAAUUAAGUUAAUAAAAUGCACAACACUGCAUUCCUUGUCUAGCAUUAGCAUGGCAACUCUGAUUUAUUCAUCAAAAUAAAAUACAGUUUUGAGAAUGGUAAAAAUAUUUAGGCCUGUUUACUGUACAUGUUUCCUAUUUUCAUUUUUACUUCAACUAAUAAACAUAAGACUCGGUUAUAAAGAUCGUGACCGGUGGUGUAUGGGGGGUCGGCUCGUCGUCUUCAAAUUUGUUCUUAAAAUCCUUGGAGCUAGUGGUGUUUCUGUGUUAGUUUUGUUUUCUCAGAUCUGUAGAGGUGAGUUUAGGAGCUAUCCUAUUGCUCUGUCUAGUGAAGUCUUGCAGGUGGAGCGAAUUUGGGUUGUGGGGGUGUUUUGAAACAUUGUGUCUGAUGCUUUGAGAGCCUAUCUUAUGUGCUCAAGCUCAAGCUUAUAUGUGUAGUCUGAUUAAGCGUAUAAGUUAAACCAUGUUCACCUUGUGUUUGGUUUCAUUAUAAUUAAUAAUUUUUUGUUGUUCCUAUAAAAAAUAAACAUAAGAGAAUAUAGAUCCAAUAGUAACCGAAAAAAAAAGAUCCAAUAUUUCUCUCACCAUUUUCUUUUACAAUUUUCAAAAACAAAUCAAGCAAUUUAAAAAAUAUUGAAAAUGUCAAAACACUGUUUUCAUUUUUUGUUUUUUGGUAUAUGCAUUCUUCUUAGUUUAUCUUCCAUUUUCUUUAUAUUACAAUUGUUUACUACAAAAAAUCUUCCAUCUUCUUGAUAGCAAUUUAAAAUGAACACAAAUUUUAGAAAAUGAAAAUACUUUUAAAAUAAACGACAAAACCUUAAUAUUAUUAUUAUUAUUAUUAAAAAUUUAAAACAAAAUUCAUUUCCUGUUUUUUAAAAAAUUGGAAUAAUGUAAUUAUAAUAAUUAAUAUUCCUUUUUAAUUUGUAAACAUGUGUGGCUAGGUGCACACCACAAAAACCAUAAAGAUCUCCUUGGGAGAUAACCCAGGCACGGUCAAGGAGAUUUUAUAGCAAAUAUUUCUAUUCUUCAAAGAAAUCAGGAGAAAAGGUAAAAGCCCUUAUGAAUUUGCCUAGUUGCCUCACUUUCAUCUUAGGGACCAGGCAACAACCAUGUAUUCCACAUGGAGCUCUUUCAAUCAUUAAGUCAAAUUUUAACACUAAAACGGCAGAAGCAUCAAGUUUUCGGCCACCAACCUUUUCUAAACUAAAUGGUCUUUUUUUUUUUUUUUGGUAGUGUAACUAAAUGUAAAUGGUCUAAAUCUAAACUCUAAACAUGUUAUUUUAUUAAUAUUAAAUCAAAUUUAAAUUUAAAUACUACUACCAGGAAACUUAAAAUACCCGCAAACCAUAGCAGUGAUUAAAUUCCACUGUCCACAAAUUAAAUGCUAGAGUUCAGUAUCCACCACGAUAUCAGAAGAACAAAAAUUUAAUGCACAGUGCCCAUAAGUCACCACCGACACAAAUAAUAUAAACUUGAAGACCAAAAAUAAACCGGUAAGGUAAAAUGAAAAUUUACAGCUUCAACAAUUCUACUACUAUUAUGAUCAUAAAAAAUAAAAAUAAAAAUUAAAGGUAUUUUUUGGUUCGGCGAUGAUGAAGUUUGAUUUUGAAAGAAUCAAAAUGUACAAAUUCUAACUUCAAGUAGAAUCAAUUUUAAAGGCAAAAUAAAUUCUAUUCGAAGGCAACCAAAUAUGUUAGAAUUAAUUCUCCACCUUCAAAAUCAAUUUUGUCCUCUUCAAAAUUGGAACGAAGCAUACUCUAAAAUCCCGGUAAAAAAGCAGGUAGCUGAUAAACUAACUUAUGGCCGAUGAGCUAAUAGCUUGGAUUAAGAUUGCAAAACUUUUUGUUGAUUGUUCGGUAAAAUUAGAAUAUAAAGUAGCUAAUAAAUACUUGUAAAAAAAAAAAGUAGCUAAUAAAUAUGAAAUAUCGUAAAAAAUGUAUAAUAUUGAAUUAUUUUUUUUUUCAAUUAAGAUUGCAAUAAAUGUGAUAAAAAAUUAUAAGCUAUAAGUUUUAAGUUGUAAGGCUACUUGAAUUAACUUAUAAAAAAAAAACAGUAUAAGCUCAUGCAAAUAAGUUAUAAACUCGUGAGAAAACAACGGUUAUCAAACAAGUCUCUUUUAGCCAUACGAGCUAUAAGUUUAAAUGUGUGUCUUACUUUUGCCAAUCAGAGCCUAAAUAUGGCAAUUCGUUAGGGGUAAAGCAAAACUAAACUCUCACUCACAUUACACUCAAUGAGUGCAACGUACCAAACAUAAAAAACAGCUUUCACUUGAAUGAAUGAAUUAUUAUGAUCACCAUUAUUAUUAGCAAACAGUUAUUAAAAACAGAAAAGAAAUUGCAAAGUAGAAAAGCAGUUUCACACCCACCGAACCAAAACGGGUCCACAAAAUAAACAGACAGUGUAAUAAUAAGUGAACCACGUUUCAUGAUAAGACACUGACAGCACAAAUCAAAAAAACACCGAGUUAAAUCACUCACCUGGUGAAACCCCGUUUCUUUAGUGAGUGGAACACCGAGUUCAGCCAUACAAGCAUGCAUUCUAUCAUCUGAGCCAUACAAUCCUGGAUACCGUUGAAUACACCGAUCCUGCAUUUUGUGAAGCGCUUUCGCCAAAGGAUAGCUUAUAGCAAAUCCACCACCACCAUAAGCCAUACCAUAGGAAAAGAAAAUAUUCUGCAAAUGACUUUCAGAUAAACUUCCAAUGUAAUAAAAUUGAUUAUGAUCGUAUUUUCUUAGAAUCCUAAUCAAAUUUUCGGUGACGAAGACGGUAUCAUCGUCACCCAUGACGAACCACCGUACAUCUUUCAUUCCGAGCCGGAGUGUUUCCGAUACGAUUCGUGAGAUUCGGAUUGCGGAACGGUGACCUUGUUUGUUUUUAUAAGCGAAUUUUGAAGUGUCGCCGGAGAUUCUCACCGGCGGGAGCCGACUUUCGUUCUUUUGGGUUUUAACCUUGUUGUCUAGCCAUACUACACCACGCAUUUCCUUUGCUCUGUACCAUAGCUUGAUGUAGUUUUUUCUUUGCUCCCAUAGCUUGGCCGACGCCGCGAUUCCGAAAACAACGUGCCGGAGCACCGUUUUGUUGUCAGUGGUGGUUUGUUGAGUAACGAGGCGGAUGGCGGAGGUGGUUGAGGUUGCAUUGAUGAGUGGAAGAGUUGAGAGUGUGUCGGUGGAGAAUGGAGUGUCUAUGCAAGCGCGUGAAGUGGAAACGAGUUUGAGCGAGUAGACAACGUAGGUAAUUGAAACGAAGAGGAUGAGUAAGAGGAGAAGCUUGUGGGAGAUUUUGGAUUGUGUAGUUGUUGUUGUUGUUGUUGUUACUACACCUCCAUUGGAAAGAGGGGUGCCGACGGCAGAUUUAGGAGUCCAGAUUAGUUUAUCUGAAUCUUUCAUGUUUGUAGGGAAAAGAAAAAGACAAUGUUGUAAAGUUAGAGAAAGAAAUCAAAUCGGGGUUUAAAAGUUAAAAGCUUUGAAGAGGUGAGGAGAAUUUGAAGGAAGCAGAUCUUGCAAUCUAGUAAUAGAAAUAGAAUGAUUGGAAGAGAUGAAUGUAGUAGGGUAAGAUAAUUAAAGGCGGUGAGAAAUAGAAAGAAGGAAGGGUUUUUGGUGUUGAAGGGGAGACAAUGGUUAACAACGCCAGCCGAGGUUCAGUUGAGUGACAGCUCACUGUUAAGAUGAAAUUAUUUUGGAUCACUCAUCAUAUCAUAUGGGAGCUGCUGAGAGUUGGAGAAUGGAGACCAAGAUUAGAGUGGGCCCUUGUUAUUAUUCCACUUUUCCAAUAACUACUCUUUCAGCAUGUUUAAUUUAUUUUGGCUAAAUUAUAAGUUUUUUAUUCGUUUGUCAUUUGCAUUGUUUAAUUUCAGCAUGUUUAAUUUAUUUUGGCUAAAUUAUAAGUUUUUUAAUUCAUAGUUAACUGACAGUUUUCUUUUCAAAAUUUGAACUAAAAAACUUAAUGCAUGUAUUAUAUUAAAAAAAUUAUUAGAGUUAUGUAUCUCCUUGUUUAAAAAAAAAAAAAACGUUAUCUUAUCUCUUUGUUUGAAUAAUAAAUGAAAUUUGAAUUGAUUUCAUUUAUGUCAUAUCUCCAUAAAUAGAAAUAAUAUUUGAAAUUAAAUCAUCAAAACUUAAAAGUAAAAACAAAUUUGGUUUUACCUAUAUAAGUUUAUAAAAUACAUGAUUGUUUUUUAUAGAAAAAAUUAAUAAAUUGAGGUAGAUUAGUUUAUGGUUUUGAAUUAGAAAUAUUAGAGAGGACAAUAAAUAAGAGAAUAUUUUGUAUGAGACAAAAAUAAUAAGUUUCUAUUUUAUUGAGAGAAAAGAAAAGUAAUAAAAUGCUAUCAUAUUGAAAAUAAGCAUAAAGCAAGAUUUCUUUUUCUUAUAAAAUUAUUGCAUUUAGCAUAUGAGAAAUUAAAUUUUAUAUCCCUUAAAAAAAUUGUAAAUACAUUUAUCUUAUUUAGAAUGUAAAAUUAUGAAAUUUGGCAUAUGAGAAAUUGAAUCAUUAGUUAAAAAAAAGAGAUUUUUUUUUUAUUUUUGGCAAAAAGAGAAAUUAAUUCGUAUAUACCUUUCAAAAAAAUUAAUUGCAAAUUUUUUUUAAAAAAAUAAUAUAUGGCCAAAAACUUACAUCUUAAGGAGAUAAGUGGAGUGUCCGAGUUUCAAACUCAGUCUUUUACAUAUAUUAUGAGAUUUCUAUACCAAAUGAGCUAAGUUUAUGGGGACUAAUUUAAAAUAUUUUAAUUAUACUAAGAAUGGAUAAAUAAAAGUGGGCAUGGCAACGAGGCAGGUCUAACCAUCACUGCCCUCGCCCCCGUCCCCGUCCCCAAACCUUAUCGGAGGUAAAAAUUAAACACCCAACCCCGCCUUCAAUGGGAAUGGGUUCCUGACCCCGCCCAACCCCCACACGCGAAAAAUUGUAUUUUUCAACAAAAAAAAAAUGCAUGUUUUUCAUUUUUUCCAUAGCAACCAAAAAUAAUAAUUAAAUUAGUAAUAAAAAAUCUAAUAAACCAUAUUCAAAAGAGAAAGAUAAUUUUGAUUAACAUGUUUCGAAAUAAUAACAAUAUACUAAAAUAGUUUAAUAUUUAUUUUACAGAAAAUGGAAAUAAGAUUAUUAAAUUUAUUAAUGUAAAUUCCAAUAAGUGAGGGCGGGUAUAAGCAUCCCUCAACUCUGACCCCCCUAUUAAAAAUUCAUAUUAUCCCCGCAUACAGUUAAAUCGAUUUUUCCCCGUUAAAUUUGGAGUAGGGGCGGCUUUUGUUUCCAUUUCUAAUAAAAGAGAAAAAAAAUUAUGCAAGAAAAACAAAAUAUUUCCUAAUUGAUUGAGAUGAGUAAGAUAAAUGAGCAAUGCUAUAUCUUUAAAAAAAUAACAUCAAGAAUUCUUCAAGAAUAAAGAGCAGUCAAUCACAAUGCACUAUUUGUGAAAAUUCAAGGAGGUGUGGUAGAAAAAUAGGAAGUUAACAAUUAAAUCAUGCAAUUAAAACUUGCUAACUAUGUCUUGAAAAAUUCUUGAUGCUAUUUUUCUAGAGAAAUAGCAUUUUCCAAGAUGAAAAUGGGGGACAUAAAGCAGAAAAACAAACCCUUAGAAAAACGGGAGAUAUAAAAAUAAAUUAUAGAAAUAAAAAAUAAAAACAGAAAGAAUAUAUAUAUAUACAAAAGUGAUAAAAAAAAGUAUAAGUUUUAUCCUUUUUUUGUUUUAAUUUUUUUCUUGGUAGAUAGAUGAGAUGGCAAAGCCAUCGUAAUCUCACACACAGCGGCGAAGCUCGCAAAAAAUUUAUGCAAGGGCCAACUAUAAAGAAGAUUUUUUUUUUUAAAACAAACAUAUUAAAUUUAAGAAUAAAAUAUAUUUUUAGUCCUAUAAAUUAUAAUUUAGGGUUAAAAAAAUUAUUCAAUUUUUGUCUUUGUUUUUUAAUUUUUUUUUUUAAAAGAAAACUGUUUUUAGUCUUGAAUUUAAUCUCUAACAAAAAAUUAAGGAUUAAAAUUAACAAAUUUUAGUCUUUUCAAAUGUAAAUAAAUAGUUUAUUUGCAAGAAACUCAUUGUACAUUUAAUUUGUCUAUGACUAUUGUCUUGAUCAUUUUUAUUGUUGAAAAAUGUUUCUUUAUUGUUGUUAUUGAGACGGGAAGUAUCAAACCAAUACAAACAUAGCUAUAAAGUGUGUGGUGCUGGUGGGCUGAGAGUGUGUGGACCUACAAUUGUAUUACUUUAUUUGUUAAAUAAACAAAAUAUUGUUAUUAUUUAUUAUUUAUCUCUUUUGGGUGUUAAUCUUUCGAUUCUUAUACAACAUUAUCAAAUAAUUUGAAGUUCGACCGGAAAUUAAAUAAAGAUAGAAAAAAUUAUUUCAUCUAAAAUUAAACUUGGGGUAGCUAAUUAUAUAUUAUUAGGGGUAGCUAAAUAUAAAAAUAUACCUACUCGCUCAGAAAAAUAUUUUUUUUUUGGGUAGCAAGGGCUACCCCUCCCUUGUACUACCAUCCGCCCCUGCUCACACACAUAAAGCGGCGGUAUCAGAGUUCGAACCCCGAUCACGACGUCCGGCCUAACAAUUUUAACAUUUUUAUGAGUUGAGCUAAGACUUAUAGGACUAUUACUGUUUUAUAUCUGGUACUUCUUCGCUUCUUUUGUAAUAAGAUUCUCUACAAAAUUCACGUUAAAUAAUAAAAAAUAAAUAUAUUUUUCAUUUAUUUAGUAGCCUUUUUUCACACUACCAAAAAAAGUUAGCCUUUUUCAACUAUAAUAUAUUUUUUUAUUAAAAAAACUAUAAUAUUAUUUUAUUCAAAAAAAACUAUAAUAUCAUUUUAUUUAUUAUCAAGAUUCUUUCAAUUUAUUAGAUCAUAAAUAUCUAAAUGAGGAAUUCGUUUUCAUAAUUAUCAUUAAUAUUUUCAACACUAGAUACAUGUUACACAUCAUUAGAAACAUUUGAAUUGUCCUCGUGAGCUUAGUUCGAUUGGUUUGGACAAUGCAUAAAAUAUGCAAGGUUCGAGGUUCAAAUCCCGGUCACUACCAAAAAAAGAAAUAUUUGAAUUGUCAUCAAUUUCUUCAUUUUCAUGAUCUAAAUUUCCCAAGUUUUUGUUUCGCUCACUUUGUAGUAAAUAGCGAUGAAAACACUUGAUUGGGGGUGUAUAUAAAACAAUAUCAAUAGAUCUGAAAACUAUGUUCAUGUUUGGGCCCCAUAGUUUCAUUUUAUUAUACAAAUCCUCUUAUAAACAUGUUUUUCUAUAUACACUUCCUGUAUGAAACAUUGGACCUAGGUGUUCACACCCCAAACCUAUGCCCAAGGCCGCACAUGCUCUUGGAAAUUGGAGGGUUAAGACCAAAAAAAAUUUGAUAAUGUGUUUUCUAGUAACUAAUUUUUCGCACUUCCAAACUUUUUACAAGGUGACUUAUUUAUAACUUUAUAACGGGUGACUCUAUAAAUUGAGUUCAACGGAUUAAUCAAUGUAAUCUACUAGUAUUAUUUUAGAUGCGGUAAUCACACGUCCUCGUGAGCUUAGUUCAGUUGGUAUGCAUAAAAAUAUGCAAGGUUCGUGGUUCAAACCCUGGCCACCACAUGAAAAAAAAGAUGGGGUAAUCACACAUGUUUGUCAGCCUCGUUUAACCCACGGAAAUAUUGGAGCAAUGAAGGGCAGGGUAGGUUGGCUUAUCAGGUUAAUUUAAAAAAUAUAUUUUUUGGGUUAUUUAUUUUACUUAUUCCAUUAUUUUUUCUGUAGCUCGUUUUGUUGAACAUAUUAUGCUGAGUUUAUAGUACUGCUAAACUUAUUUUGAUGGUGGAUUUGGUUUGUUUGCUAGAGCAACCUAGACUAUUUUGACGUUACGUUGAAUUCAAUUCACAAGACAGGACACUAUUAUAAUAACGUCUUGUAAGCAAAUGCUUCUAAGUAAAAACGUUUUGUAAGCAUUUGUGGCGAUUUGCUUUAUGAAAACUAGCAUCAUUAUUAUUUUUUAGCUUGGACACUCUUGAGUUGAUGGGAAAUUUUGUGUUCCUUGUAUACUUGUGUAGAUUCCAAUGGCUCAAGGCUCGUUUGAUGGUUAAAAUAGGUAGAGAAAGUAUAAAAUGCGUUGAAUAAAAGUUAUAUGAAAGUUUGUCUUAGUACAAUGGUAGAAGCGCACAGAGUAACUCACUAAAUAAUAUUGUCAUCAAGCUAGGUCUCAUGGUAUUUGAUGAUUAACCAAUAAAGAUCUCAUGCUCUAGUAGGCUAGCACAAGUAGAUGAAAGUUACAAGAAUAAUGUAAAAUAUAUAGAUGAAAGUAGAUAGAUAUAUACAAUAUAUAUGCUUCAUGCAGCCAUGCUUCAAAAAUGACUAGUUAGUUUUUUGUUGAAGAAUGCAAGCCAAGUGAUGAAGCUCUGUAAAUAACAGAGACAAUGGAAUGACAAACAUUGGCUACUAUCUUUGAUUUUAUCUGCCCUCUCUUCGGAAGUGGUCUUGAUCUUGAGCAUCUGAACCUGCAGUUCAAGUUUGCAAUUUCUGAAGAUUCAAAAUGAUGGACAGUAGUGGUAUUCAUUUUGCUAAAUAAAUGAAUAAUUGAUGCUUGGUUUAUACCUUUAGCAGGAGCAUGAGGUCUAUGAGUUUAUAUAGAUGACUUGAUUACCAUACAAUUUGAAUACCGGGUGUAAGCCCUGUGGGCUAAACUGAAAGCAGAUUUACAAGUAAACAAGUAUUAAUUAAAAAAGUGAUUACUUUAAUAACUAAAUAAUCACUAGGUUAAAUGUUCAACUUUGUUGCAUAUAUAGAUUAGAAUGUCAACUUAACUAAGACAUUUUUUCAAUUUUUAUAUUGAACAAUAAUGUUUAAUGGGACAUGGUCAUGGUCCUUUUGAUUUUAUUUUAUGUGUAGGUAUGUAUUUCAUUUACCAGUUGCAGUUUGGUGGGGCUCAAAGAAUCAAGUGCGACACGAGCACACCAACUUGUUUAUACUAUAAAUAAACUCAAAAACAGUAGAGAACUUAAGGAUCAAGAAAUGUUUGUAUAUAGCUAUGUAUAAUAUGUACGAAGUUGAAGUACGAUACUAUAUUUUGGAGGAAAGGGAACCUAACCAACUCAAUCAAAAGCAUGUGGUCAACCUCUUUAGACACAACUAACGUAACGGACCAUACAGCAAAAUUCUUCUUUCAGAAGAGAAGAAAAUUGUUGUUGACACAUUUCAAAGGGUUGAGAAACACAUGUAAAUUACUUAAAUGUCCCUUCGGCUAUUAGCUGCCGAAUUUAUUUGAAAUCAACUGCAGUUAACUACCGGGAAAAACCUCAACAGUUAUCUGCCGUGGAAAAUGAAAAUCCAGAAUUCAUUGACCGUGAUGAGCAAUUUUCCUUUUUGAAUGGCAUGUGUUAUCAUAGCUCUUGCGUCAUGUCCCGGGUUGUAUAUUUUGUAAUGUUAUUGGGUUACCUCGUGUGUGCCUGCCAAGACAUAAAUUGGAUCUUCAGGAUAUAGUUGAUAUGUCCACAGUCUGACUGUGACCAUGUGCAUGUCCAAAAACAAUUCAUUAAAGUUACGACCGAUUUAGAGGCUUAUAUUAUAGGAAAUAAUAUAUAUAUUUUUUUAAGGAAAUAAUACUUGAAAAUCAUUUCCUUCACCAAAUAAAUUAUUACUACUGUAUUUGAUUGUGUGUAUCGUAGUUGUAGUGUUGUAGAAUUCCUCGUGCAUUCAAGUCUAAACAAUGUAAAUUAUAUCAUAUACGACAAUUAUCCAAAAAAUAAUUGACAUUAAUUUGAUGUCAAUUUGAGCUUCUUCCUGAAGCUGAAAUAGAGUUUAUUCCUCUUAGAAUUAUUAAUCCGUACUGAAAGCUGAAAUAUAUUAUGAAAAAUGAAAAACUAUUAAGCCAAAACGUGUAGACCCACGGGGUUUGUUGGUUGGCAAUCUUAUCCUAACACUAAACCAAUUUCAACUAUUUCCUUUUCAAUUUAUUUCAAGUUAUGGAGCCAUCAAAUUCAUUUGUCGACAUUGGUAGAUAAACAAAGUGCUAUAAGUGUUGCAAUUUCACAAUGAGAAAGAAAGAAAAAAGUUGAAUCUGAUAUUCUCAUGCACAUAGAUUUUUUAAAGACAAAAGCAAUCUCCAUUUGUCAUUAUGAACUGUAACGAUAUUUUGUAAUGGUUUUCUUCGUCCCUUUUCUGAACUAUUUGUUAUUGAUUUUAUUAACCGUUCAUUUGGUGUGCAUAUAUAGCAUGAUAUAGAACAAAUCCACAAACCACAAAACCGGCUCACCGUAUUGUCCUUUCUGAAAGGAUGCUCUUAAAUUAAGACCCUAGUCCAAGGUUUGGACUUUUCAUUAGCGAGUUUAAGUCAAAUAUACCAAGGGUAAUUUAGGUUUCAAUUGAUGGUUUUACUUCUUCCAAUUAUUUGUGGUAGAUUUUGUUCCUAUAAUUUAAAAGUUUCAUUGUUUUAGUCUCGGAUAUAAUUUGUGGUAGAUUUACAUCUAAGUGAUAAUUUUGCAUGUUGACGUGACAUGCCACGUCAUAUUUGAUACCACGUGGACCUCGAUUGUCACAUCGUCUUUACAUCUAAGUGAUAAUUUUGCAUGUUGACGUGACAUACCACAUCAUUUUUGGUACCACGUGGACCUCGAUUGUCACAUCGUCAAUGUCAUGUUAGCAAACAAUAAGUGACUUUCACGUGGUAGGAAAAACAAAAAUAAACGUUGUUACAUAUAUCAAAAACAAAAACAAAAAAUUAUAAAUUACUUACUAAUGUGAAAAAUGAAAAGAAAAAAAAAACAUCUUUAGUUAUUGCAAAUGCAAAUUUGUCGUGAAUGUGAAGUAAUGUAUUUUGUCAAUAUUCUCUAUUUUUUCUACUAUUUUGCAUAUACUAAAAAAAUGUGAAAUUUGUUGUCAAUGUGAAAUAAUGUUUUCAACCCACUAUCCCCUUCGCUUCAUUCAUGUCCAUCCACUCACGCCUAAAGAAGCAUGCAUCUCUUGUAUUUGAUUUCUGAUGUGAUCCAUACCUGUGACAUGCAAAAAUCAAAUAUACAGGCAAUUAACAAAAAUCCACGACACUUCCAGAAAAAUAGGGCAGGAACUAGCACUUGUACAUUUCAGAUUAUAAAACUCGAACAACAUCAAUCUUAUUCGGAUGUAUAAUCCGAACAACUUCAGAGUUUCAGAAGAAGAAAAAAAAUCGAACCCAAACAGUUACAUGCAGAGGGAAUGUGACCUAACCUUGAUUUUGAUGUUUGAUGAAGUUUGAAAUGUGAUGAUUUUGAACAAAAAAUUGCAAAGAUUCACCCAAUAUGUAGUUUUCGGAUUUUGUGGUUGGAGAGAGGUUUUAAAGCAAAUAUAGAAGCUAUAGAAAAGGGAAUGUUUUCUGAUUUUGAGUUGUAAUAUAGGGAGGUUUCGGAUUUCAUAAUCUGAAAUGAUGUUUGAAUUAUAGAAUCCGAAUAAUAGGGCUCGCGGGAAUCUCAUAGAGUGAAAAAAGUAAUAGUCAUUAAUUUUUUUUGGUCGAAGACAUAAAAAAAAAGUUUAAGAAGUGACUUGGUCUUUGUGCUUUCCACUAAAAAAAAUAUAGAGUAUAAGAAAAAGAAAAUGAUUUCUUUUUCCACCCUCCAAGCCACUCACGCACCCUCUCUUAUUUCAGUUUUACCUCGUUUGAAUUAUAUACCCCCUUAAGGUUGAGAAGAGAGGAAAAUGCAACAGGUAUACAUGGGCCCACCGUUAGACCACAUUAGGGACAUAGCAAUUGGAAUACUAACCAAUGAUAAAGUGGAUCGGGGAGGUCCAAUCUAACAGGGCUUGAAGCAGAUAAUUGUCGAGGCUCAUGGUAGGAUGAUGUAUCGCCUAAGGAGGGGUGAUAUGGGUGGGCAUGCUUCUACCUAGUUGUAUUUGUGUAUUUUUUAUUUUUACGACUUUUUAUGAUUUGUUAUGUUAGUACGUUUGAAUUUGUAUCAUUUGGCCAUGACCGCUGAAUAUUUUGAUUUGAAUAUUUAUACAAUUAGGAUACAAUGGCCAUGACUUUUAAUGAUUAUCAUAUGGUUUGUUUUAAUUUUGAUGUGCGCCAAUAAUAUGGUUUGAUUUGUGUUGCAAAUUCGGUCUAAAAAUGCAAAUAUGUGUGCCUUAUGGUGAAACAUGUAUGUUCUAUGUGUCCACACAUUUUGGAUUAUAUAAUACGAACAUAUAUUUUAUGCAUCUGAAUUAUAUAAUAUGGAAUAUGUCAACAUAUAGACCACAAGUUCUCUUAGAAGCUGGUCUGAUGGGGGGUUUGACACGGUUCAUAUUAUAUAAUCUGAAUAGUUUAUAUUUAUUUCGGGUUAUGUUUUCUAAAUCGUUUUGAAACAAGAAUUGGUGGAACCAUGAUAAUUUGAAGGUGUUUUUUUUUUUUUUUUUAUAGUUUUUAUCGGAUUGUGAUUAUAUAAUCCAAAAUAUUGUAGAAAAAUGUUUGGUUAUAUAAUUCAAACAUGGGUAAAAUGGAAAAAGUGAAGGACGUAUGAGAAACAAAUUAGGAUGGAAUAAUAAAUUCUAUAAAAAAAUUCAACAUCUGAUUUGGUUGAUUAAGUUCAAAAUGAAAGAAUAGCCUGGACAAUAAGCUAAAUUAACUAAGAGACAACGGAAUAAAAGCCGGAUGAAAAUAACAAGAAAUCACGUGACAUUUCCCUCCAAAAAAAAAUAAAAAUUAGAACACUUUUUCGGUUUUUCCUCAAAUGGAUGUAAACUUUGUAAAAAAAAAAGAUAUGAACUUGAUAAGAGAUUUAAUAACACUUUUUCUUAUACAAUAUGGAUCCUCUCAAAAUAAAUAAAAAAUGGGUAAAUGAUAUGGAAGAACCUGAAUUGGAAUCUUAAUUAAAAUAAUUAUUGGUCAAACUUUACUUACUUCUUGUUGAAUUUGACAGUACAAAAAUCAUUUCUUCCAAAAACCAGAGGAUUAAAAAUAUUGGGUUGAUGUAUUUUUAAGGAUAUUAAUUUUUUUAACACUUGACAAGGUAACUUAUUUAUUAUUGGCAAAAUAAGUUGAGCUCAACAGGUUAACCCGUUUAACAUGUUAUUUUAGGUGGGGGUGUUGAGAUAUUAGAUAGACAUUCUCAUUCAAAUUGGUGCGUCCUGUUAACUUAAAAAAUCUAUUUUUCCAAUUAUUUAUAUCACUUAUUCAUUUUAUUUUUUUUAUAGCUCAUUAGCUCAUAUUUUUGGACAUAUUAUGUUUCUAGUUUAUAUUACUUCUAAACUUAUUUGUUUUUCUUGCUCGAGAAACCGCUCACUUUUUACAGAAAAAAGCCGAUGUGACAAAGUUUUAAUGUAUUGUCGUCCACAACAUUGCUAACAAAGAUGUGUAGGGUUUAGGAGAUGGAGAUGAAGGAGGUGGAAGGAGAUAGGGAUAGAUGUUGAGGAUCUUGAGUACUACGAGGAGAAAUCAAAGAGGCGACUUUUAAUCAGGACAUCUACCACUUGUUUUUUAAGUGAUAGACAAGGGUGAGGAUAUCAUUUUCCAAGCCGGAACGAGAAACGUCGAAACAAAUGUUCUGGGAUCGGCUUUCAUCGACUUUUUCAUGUUUCUAUGCCGCAAUUCAGAAGUGAAAUGCAGUUUGCUGUGUUUACUUUUUUCUAGGUUGAAGGCAUGAAUGUGUUUUUGGGUUGAAUUUGUAGAUUUUGGCCUAUUUUUUGAUUUAUUUAUCCUCAUAGCAUAAAGUAUGUCGCUUCACAUACCACGUCUCUAAAAUUUGCCACUUCAACUUUUUUAAAUGAAAAAAUUCUAACAUGGGUGCAACUCAAAUCGUAAAUGAUUAACAUUUGAUAUUUCGUUAAGACUCUUUAGAACAAGAAAGUGACAAUUGCAAGAUUUUUUUAUUACAGUAACUAAAAUCAAAUUAAUCCAUUUUUGUUUGGAAUUACAUGCGUAAUUAAACCUUUACAAAACAUAGGCAAACAAAAGUUUAAAUGUGUUUUUUUAUCAUACGAAAAGAGAAAUUUAUAACGAGAAUGCACAGGUCUAUUUUACAUGGAAAAUGAUUGAGAUUAAUUUUUCUCUUAAGAAAAUGAAGUUUGGUCCGUGAAGAGUAUCGACAAUGGCAUCGAUCAUGGGAGGGAGUGUCUUCGUGUCUUGUUUAGAUGCUUACAAAUAUUCACGGGAGAAGAGCAAAUAGUAUUUUAGUAGGUCACAAUGUCACAUAUACAUGUUGAAACAAAAUUCCGUGACCAAUGUGGACCCAUCCAAAGAGUGCUCUUGGCCAUACCCAUAAUCAAUCAGAUACGAGAAACUACUAAAAAUUAUGCAAUCAUAGCACAUGAAAAACUCAUUAGUGAAAAUCUUUGUGCUCAUUUUACUUUAAUUCAAUUCAAUAUUAAGGAAUUAAGGAUAACUAACUAUGCUAAUGAACUAAUGGUGGAUGGUUUUGCAUGUAAUGGAUAUAGAUUAUCUGCUUUAAUUAAUGCAAGUAUUUGCACUUACUAAUUGAUCUCAGCCAUUAAUUUAAAAUCAAUCGAUUCCCGUUGCGUCUUAAUCAACUCACUUUUAAUUAAUUUAUAUUAUUAAUUUGAAAUCAAAUGACCAAGAUGGAUUGAUACAUCACACAUAAUGUGUGGAAUCCAAAUUGUGAGGUCAUGCCCACUAAUAUCAUGUAAAAAACACAAGUUGUGCAUGUAUAAGUGGAAGAUUAGGCACCAAAUUAAUGCACUAUACAAUAUAGUAUGCCCAUACCACUAUCUUUAUUCUCUACUAGAGCUUAAAAUAGAACAGAUAGUGAACCACUAUAAACUUCAAAGGUACAUGCUUGAUUGAUAUCUAUCCAUGAAUGUAAGUGGGUGACUAGGGAAGAGAACCACACAUUAAGGAGAAAAAAAUAUGGCUAGAAAAUGGAAGGCAAAAGAAGGUGGAACCGAAAAGUGCAAAAUGGUCUUGCAUAGAUACAUUUUAGACUUUGUUCAGUUCAUAGCAUAUUUUCAAACUCCACAUGCCAAUUCAUUAAUUUUUUUAUAUGAACAUUAGACAACUAGCAUGCCAACCUCCACAAAAUUACCUAAUACAUGUAUUAUUUUUUCACAUAAUGAAAUUACUUUAGGGAAGUCAAUUAUGCAAGCAUUUAAUUUUUUUACCUUCCUAGUUCUAAUUUUAGUAAUUGUAAGUUUCCCCCCUAGAUAAUUUAAGCUAUAAAAAAGGACUAGAAUCUAAUGUUUAAAUGCAUUUUUGACCUUAGAUGCUUAGACUAAACCAACUUAACAAAUUCCAACUAAAAUGCAAUUAUUUUGAUUCAGUAAAUUCUAUCCAUUCUUUGCCAAUUAAAUGCAAAGAAACUUGAUAGAACUAAAUUUGCAGGCCGCAACUUUAUCACAUUCCUGUUAAUGUUAUCACAUGACAGAAUAAGAAAUAUGAUUUGUGGUUGGGUGGGUGGAAUGAGGAGAGCAAAAAAGAAAGCAAAAAAUAAUGCACAAUAGUCACUACCAAUACACACACAUACCAAUAUAUAUACACAAUACACAUCUCUAAGUACACAUAUCAAUAGCUCAACUCUCUCCAAAGAAACUCAGGUACCAAAACAGCAUUGUUUCAUUCUCAUCUUUCUUUCCUAUGGAUGUGUUAUUGUUAUUACUACCUUUGUUGGUUGCUUUGCCAAGCUUGUCUAUAGUUGAGAGCCGCAAAACACCGGUUGAGGACUACUAUUUUGAGUAUUGUGCUGUGAGCUGCAGAGCUUACAGUGCCUCAGUGACAGAAUUUGGAGCGGCCGGCGAUGGAAAUACUUUGAACACAAAAGCUUUUCAGUCAGCCAUAGAUCAUUUGAGUCAGUACUCAUCAAAUGGUGGUUCUCAACUAUAUGUUCCACCAGGAAGAUGGUUGACUGGUAGCUUCAAUCUCACCAGUCAUUUCACUUUAUUCCUACACAAAGAUGCUGUCAUUCUUGGUUCUCAGGUUUGAUAAUAGCUUAACUAACUUUUUCCUGUCAAUAUGAAUAUGAAAAUGUAACGUAACUCUUCACCAUAUGUAAUUAAAGUAUUUCAAUACUAUGUUUGUGUUUUGUUAGGAUGAAAGUGAAUGGCCGGUGAUUGAUCCCUUGCCGUCUUAUGGUAGAGGGAGGGACACUCAGGGUGGAAGGUAUAGCAGUCUAAUUUUUGGAACCAACCUCACUGAUGUUGUCAUAACAGGUAAUAUUUGGAACCCAUUUAAUUAGUCUAAAUAAGUCUUAGGAUGUCGCUGAUUGAAGAUCGAGCUUGUACAAUCCUGUUAUGCUUUUGGAAUUAAAAUAUAAACCAGUCCAACUAAUAUUUGCUUCUAUUGAUUAUUGAAUUCAAAUAGGGAACAAUGGCACACUAGAUGGACAAGGUGAACUGUGGUGGCAAAAGUUUCACAAGGGGAAGCUCACUUAUACUAGGCCUUACCUGAUUGAAAUCAUGUACUCGGAUAAUAUACAGAUAUCCAAUCUUACUUUGGUUAAUUCUCCAUCCUGGAAUGUCCAUCCUGUUUACAGCAGGUUCAUCUUUUUCUCUUUGCAAUGUCUAUUAUCAAUCUACUAUAUUGUUCUAAGUAUUUUAACAUAAAGAAAUUGAAUGCAGCAACAUUAUUGUUCAAGGCAUCACAAUUCUUGCUCCUGUGAAUUCACCAAAUACAGAUGGGAUCAACCCUGGUAUGUUAGUAAAUAUUUUAAUAUAUAUUUUUUUUUUAAGAUGUUACAAUGUGUAGUCUAGUACUGAAUACAUUUUCAUGGUUUUGACGCAGACUCUUGUACGAACACGCGAAUUGAGGACUGUUAUAUAGUGUCUGGGGACGACUGUGUGGCCGUGAAGAGUGGUUGGGAUGAGUAUGGUAUAGCUUAUGGAAUGCCAACUAAGCAGCUGGUAAUAAGAAGACUCACUUGUAUUUCUCCAACCAGUGCUGUGAUUGCUUUAGGGAGCGAAAUGUCUGGUGGGAUUCAAGACGUCAGGGCCGAGGACAUUGUGGCGAUCAAUUCGGAAUCAGGAGUUAGGAUCAAAACUGCUGUUGGAAGAGGAGGAUAUGUCAAGGACAUAUAUGUUAGAAGAAUGACUAUGAAAACCAUGAAAUGGGCAUUUUGGAUGACAGGAGAUUAUGGUUCUCACGCUGAUAACAACUAUGAUCCUAAUGCAAUUCCUGUGGUUCAGAAUAUUAAUUAUCGCGAUAUGGUUGCUGAAAAUGUGACUAUGGCAGCAAAGUUGGAGGGUAUAUCUAAUGCACCAUUUACUGGAAUCUGCAUAUCUAAUGUAACCAUUGGAUUAGCAAAGAAGGCUAAAAAACUUCCAUGGAAUUGCACCUAUAUUGCUGGGGUUUCAAGUGGUGUGACUCCUGCGCCAUGUGGCCUGUUGCCAGACCAAGGAGUUGAGAAAAUUGGGCCAUGCGCCUUCCCAGAAGACAAUUUGCCCAUUGAUGAUGUACAGGUUCAAACGUGUACUUAUAGAAGGAAUUUUUGAUAGUACAGAAGAAAUGGCUCUGUUCAAGUGAACAAUCUAAACAUUGUAAUACUUUCAAAAACUGUUUGUAAACUUUGUACUUUUGUGUUUAAGUCAUUAACCUAUUGGACAAUUAUAAAAACUCUUUAACAAAGGGAAACCCCAACAAUGAAAACAAUAGUAACUGUUUGUUUACACUCAUAACAAUAUGCUGUGCGGUAGAAUAGAAGCUGAACAUUGUAUCUUAUGUAUUUUCGUGCCUUGGGAUGCGAGAUUGUGCAAAGCAUAUGUGGUUUCAAGCACACUCUAAGUCAACAAUGAAUACGUGUUUAAGCAUCUGCUUGUGAAAUUCAUUGAUUUUGAGUGUUAACCUUGAAAAAAUACAUAUAUAAGUAAAAUUGAAUGCUGCAUUCAAAAUGCAUGUAGUUUCAUCAAGCAGACAUGUUACAAAUUUACUGUUAACCCUACUCUAUAGUGCUAAACAUAUCACUUAAACAAAUUUAGCCAUGAAGCAAGAAAGGCCACUGAUCACCAUAGGUGAAGGAAGGCAUGUUACACGCGUAACAAAUGUUGCCAAAUACAUAAUUGAAACAUAAAAACGAAAUUUAAAGAUAAUUAUCAGGUAUUUAUGAAAGAAGCUCCAUGUCUAUGACAGGCUAACAAUUUGCUAUCAUAUUUGCUUUGCUAUUGAGUCAUGACACCCUAGUCCUCCUAAAGCAAACUUCAGAACAAUACAACAGCUUUUUUAUUACUUGUAUAAAUGCGUGUAACAUCCGACUUUUACCUAUUCUUCAAGAGAAUUUUCUUUCCAUAUCGGAGUUGGUUUUAAGAUUAGAUUACAAAGGAAGAAAAUAUCUGUCCUUAGUGAAGCAUCUGAACGAUGGACAUGCAAUAGAGGUUCGUCUUGUUACAUUCAUACAAAAUAAGUAAAGGAUUACUGACAAAGUGGAUCUGGAUUGAACUUCACAGAUUCCUUCCAAAUGAUCUCCUUGAUAUUGUCUUCAGUGCAUGUAGGUUGAUCAAAAUCAAAAGAGAAAGGCCUAGGACAAACUGGCUCCUCAUUGGUGUUGUGAAGUGAUGAAAGAUAUGGGUGACACAGUGCCUCAUCAACUGCAAAUCAAUGAAAAUACGACGGCAAUAUGAUUAUAUUGAAGCAAAUGAGAGUGUUGGCUAUAAAUCUCCUCUACAAAAAUAAUAAGUACCUGUAAUGCGUUUGUUUGGGUCAAAGAUAAGCAUCUUUUCUAACAGAUCAAGUGCCUCAGGUAACAUGUUUGGGAACCUGGACGAGAAUUUUUGCUUCCGGUACUGUUGAAACUGUCUAAAAUAUCUUCUAGCAUUGUCACUUCGGAGAAAUCCAAGGCUCGCAUCAUCAGGUGAACCUAUUAACUUUUAUGCAAAAGGAAAAACAAAAUGUCACACAACUUGCGGCCAUCAAUUUAUAACCAAUCUAUAAUAAUAACUUAUAUAUGCAUUCAUUAACAACAUUCAAGAUGGAACCUGAUAUCAUUUCAAAGGGAGUUAUCAUAGCUUCAAAUGCAAUAAUAUAUCAGUUAGAAACUUAGCAAUGCUUCAGAUGAACAUGAGUUAUAAGGGAAAACAUGAAAACCAUACCUCUGUGAUAAGCCUUAGUUGAUGAACAUAGUCUUUGCCAGGAAACAAGGGCUCUCUGGUCAUAAUUUCACCAAAUAUGCAACCAACAGACCAAACAUCGAUUGCAGAAGUGUACUCAGAACAAUUGAGGAGCAAUUCUGGGGCUCUGUACCAUCUUGUGACAACAUACUCAGUCAUGAAAUCUGUUUCAGAUGUUGUCCUUGCCAAACCGAAGUCGCCAAUUUUAAGGUCACAGUUUGCGUUCACUAGUAAAUUACUUGGCUUAAGAUCACGGUGCAAAACAUUAGCUGAGUGCACAUAUUUCAACCCACGUAACAGCUGAUAUAAGAAGUACUGCAGAAGUUUCAUGAAAUGUUAAUUUCAUGCUUAAUUGCCAACUCAUUUGAAAAGCACAGAUCAAAACUCAACAUUUCUUGAGGGGAGUUUGUGUGACCAUGUUAUGUUAGCAAAUAAAGAGUCUGAUUGAAUUGACUUGUUUGAGUUUAUCUACCGCCAUAAGCGCAUGUGAGACUUUCCGGGAGAGCGUAUGGAAACAACUUAUGACUUGACUUGUUUAUAAGUUGUUUUCAGCUUAUUUCCGCAAGCUCUCCUAGAUAGCUUAUGAAAACAAGUUCUAGUUUAUAUGAAAACAAUUUGACUAUAUUUUAUCUUUUGUCAUAAAAAUGAUUUAUACAUAAGCAUUUAUUUGAUAAACGCUUAUGCUAUAAGCAAUUAAUUAAGUUGUUUAUCCAAACAAGCUAUAAUCAAAACUUCUUCUGAAAAAAUCGUAGUUGACAUGAAAUUAAAGUCUAACAAUAUCACUAGAAGCAAACCUGACAAUGUUCUUCACGAAGUGGUUGGUCAGAAUGAAUUAUAUGAUGGAGAUCAGUGUCCAUCAAUUCAUAGACAAUGUAUACAUCAUUGAAUGCCUCCUUUUUCGGGGGUCGUAUGAUAUCCUUGAUGGCAAUGAUCUGGUGAAGGAUAAUAGCAAUUGAGAAAAUAUCUAUGAAGAGAAAAUAUUUUUCGCUUCCAUGAUAGUUGUAUGGGUAAGAACAAAAGUAAAAAAACUUUCCCUUACCUUUGACAUAUAUACAUCAUAAGAUCUUUAUUUUCUGUGACAGUUUUAAACAAAGCAAAAAAUUGUAUUGCAUGGAAAUUAGCUUCUCACUCAACACUCUAAAAUUUAGUUACCUGCUCAUUUAUUUUGUAUUCUGUUUUAUGUUUAUGUAGUAUAUAAUAUAAGAAACUGAAAUUGAAAUUGAACUAUAGAACAUUAGAAAGUUUCUGACUCAUCAGUUACCUAUUGUUAAGAUAAAGACUGUAGUCCAUAAAUACUUAGCUACGUAUUAGUUAGAUUUUUUUUGUAUCUUAUAUGUAGUUAGAUAAUCCACAACCAAUUCAUGUCUGAUUUCAUAAUUCACUGUAAACCAUAUGAAGUGGUGUUCAUGCUAGAAUCUGAUAAGACUCUUGAAACGUACACAGACCAGAACAAGGUUAUAUAAUUUAGCCUUAUACACUCAUGAAUGAUUUACCAAAGAUAUUAAGAGUUUACAUACGAACUUGAUGUCCAUAAGGUGUCAGCUCAGUGGUAAGAGUUUGACCUUAUAACCUCAAGGGCGGAGUUCAAAUCCGACCGUUGUAAAAUGGCCACUAUUGCCACGUUAAUUAAUAAUAAUUUUCCUCUUCUUCAACUUCAAAAAAAAAAAAAUACGAAUUUGAUGAGCAAGUAGUAAAAUAUGAAAAUAAAUAAGAGAUGAACACUUACAUUUGGGUGAUCCAUGUGACGAAGGAGCUUGAUUUCUCUCAAAGUCCUUUUAGCAUCAAUUAUAUUGUCAAAUGCAUUACCAAUCUUCUUGAUGGCAACUUGUUCAUGUGUAUCAGAAUUAACAGCAGCACUAAAAAGAAAACCAUUGUUCAAGUGACAGUAAAAACAUUUACAAUAAACAAAACGUCAAAUUCAUGCAUUCAUUUGGUCCUAUGAAUUAGCUGAACCAAAAGCCAAGACCAGAAGUUAAUGAAAGAAAGAAACAAGAACACUUACCAAACGAUACCAUAAGCGCCUCUACCAAUAGGGCGAAUGGGUGGCACAUACUUAGAAGACACCUCAAACAAGUUUCCAUACACAUUGUAGUGUGCAUAUUUACCACCAUGAGUAAGAACCCUUUUGAUUUUAGUGUCCCCUGAAGCUGAAGCAGCAGCAGCAGCAGCAGCAGCAGAAGAGCUCGACUCUUUUGUGGCCAUGUUUGGUGUUAAAAAUUGAACAAAGGGUCUUCACCUUUCCAAUACAAAACAAAUGUUGAAUUGAAAAAUCAGAGUUAGAUUUUUCAUUAGCUAAGCUUAAACAGCAAACAUUAUUUUUCACUGCAUUCAGUUUAUUAUUUAACUAUAUAAUAUUUUCCCUUUCUAGUAACUAUACUAUAUAUUGACUUUAUAGCAAAUUUUAAUGUAAAGCCGUACAAUUAGUACAUAAAAAUAGGAAGAUACCUUUGUUCUUGGAACAAUGUAUUGUUGGAAGCUAAGGUUGACACAUACAGAGAGAGAAACAAAACACAAGACAAGAAAGUGAAAGAGAAGCAAAUGUAUGAUAAGUGUGAUUUAAUAAAAAAUUUAAUAACAAACCUGAAAUGGAGUUUUCCAGAUCAUGAGCAUAAUACUUGGCUAUUGAUAAUUCUACCUGUAAAAGCUAAAAAUGUAACGUGAUUUUUAAAAGUAAAAUAUCAAAUUAAUUGCUUUUUUGGGAUAUAUCACGAGAUGCUUGCUUUGUAUUCCAUAAUGGUUCAAACACUUAAGAUUUCUAGAAACCACUCUUCUUUCUCUUUUUAGGCUCUUCUUUCUCUUUUUAGGUUGGUGUUUCACCUAUAAGUUAACCAUGUUCCAUUCUGGAUUCACGUAUUGCAUAUGAAAUGAAACAAGUGGCAUGGUUGAAAGUUCAACACGUAUUGAACUUUAUGACAUGAAAAAGAAAAAAGAAACUAAUGGAUAAAAUGAACAUGAUAUGAAAGAUAUUAGUUAUAAAGUCAUCCUCCAAACUCAUGAUCAUGAAUUUCGUACAGGUUUUCUGUGAACAAGUACUGUGUGUGUUACACAUUAUAUAUAAAGUUCUGAAGAGAUUUUCUUUUUCUUCUCUAUUUUCAAAUCAACUCAACUCUCAUUUUCAUAUGAAAUGCUUUUAUAUUUGUGUGACUGUGCAUGGUUUCGUCGACUCAUGGUACAGGAUUUGUCUCAACAAGUUGUUUUUUGUGUACUUGAAAGGUGGAAAGUGAACAUGAAAGCGCAAAUCUUUCUGCAUGUGAUGGAUGAGAAUAGUGAAUGACUACUUUCUGCAGAAUGGAAGUCUAUGUUUUGAGUUUGUAGUGACAUAUUUAAUGGGCAACGAUUGCAACAUCCUUAUCUCUUGACUUGCAUGUCGAAAAUGGAAUUGUUGGAACUUAAAAAGAAAAUUAUAUGAACAUAAAAAACAGUCUAUACUCUAACAUAUUCCUCUCGUUAGUCAAACUGAAAUGAUUCAUCUCACGUGUUACUAAUUAGUCCUUCGAGUACGUAAAAUACAUUCCAUCAGUCCCUAUAACAUCCAUUAGGUCCUUGCUGUAUUUUGGUACCCUCAUAUUGCAUUACAGAUGACUUGUCUUACUACUAUUUUGUAUUUAUUUAUAAACGGUUUAAUUUACAUGUUACUAAUUUAUAAACGGUAGUUAAUUUACAUGUUAAUAAUUGUAUUUUUUUGAAGGAACUAAUUGUAUUUGUUUUAAAUGGUGGUUAAUUUACAUGUGUUAAUUGAUUUAAUUAUGUUAGUUUUAGUUUUUAUUUUGCACAUGCAAACUCAUUGCCUCAUUUCUCCUAUAAAUGGACAUAGAUAGAAAUUUGAAACAAAAACAUUCACAAUAGUUAACUAACAUAUAACAAGUGACAUUGUAAUACUGGACUGCUUAUCCCUGAACAAAAGUUGGGAGAUUGCAUACAUUUUCCAGAUUGUAUAUUUGACCUGACCAAUGCAAGUUCCAGGGUUUUUCUCGAGGCUUACACAUUAAUGAUUUUUUUUAAUUACAUACAAGACUAAAAUAAGUCAGAUAUUGAUAAAAUUGUAGUUAAGUUACUGUCUAAAUUUCACAUAGGAAUAAUUGUAAAGCAUCUGAGCUGCGGCAGUCACCACAUCAGAUCAAAUAAAUCAGGAAUACGAGAAAAUGAGAGAUUGAGAGCCAGAUGAUUAGCCGCAAGUUAACAAAACACUCAGAAAUUCAAAAUCUUCAUUGAAUGAUAAACAAAUUUAGAGUAGUGUCACAUGUCGAUUAAACAACUCCGACUACAAGAAAAUUGUGCUCAAAAAAGCUAAACAGAAGACUAAAGUAGAAAUCAUUAUACUUUAAGCAUCUGAGCUGGUUGGAGGAGCCCCAAAACCACCAGAUCCACGACCAAAUCCAGGCCUUCCACCAGGACCCUGCACAACAAGACAGCUCAGACGAUUCAGAAAAACUUCAACAAAAAAAGGUGGGACUAUACCCAAAAAAGGUGAGUACAAUUGUAUACAAGAAUAGAUUUCUGGCAAAAUUCUUCUAUGCAAAUACCUAGUUAUAAUUAUGAACAUGACGGCGACUACUUAGUUAUCAAAACAACAAGUAUUUAUCCACCAGAAUAAGUAAACUACAAUACUACAUUGGUGAAAGUAUGUCUCUGUGUUUAUUCAACAAUCAUGUAAUCAAGUACACAAUACUGUUCAGUCAAAAUCAACUUAGAAUUGAUAUAGAACAAGCCUAAAUUGCAGGGAACCCCAAAACUUCAAGCUGACAAGAUUUCAUGACUUUCCACAGUGAAUACAAGUCAAUCAAUAAUUGAAUUUUUUUUAACAAGUAGACAGAACAGAAAUCUUUUAUUCAUCAACAUACUUGAAAUUUUAAACAAGUAGACAAAACAGAAAUCUUGUAGUAUUCGGAAAAAAGGCAAUUGGGCAUACUAGAAAUACAUAACAUUUAAAGCUAGCUAUUAAGCACAGAUACGGACAUCGGACAAGACACAAACAUUGACACUACCCACCGACACCAGGACACAAUUGAGCAUCAUAUAACUGGAACGGAAUGGCCUGCUUCACAAGACAUUACAUUAACUAUAAGCUACACCUAAUAACAUCAUAUUAAAUAAUUUAGACGGUAAACAAAGAUACUAAGACCAGCCACAAAUAAAUGCAACAUUG
This 122562-nucleotide long non-coding RNA is filed under the name Medicago truncatula (barrel medic). RNAcentral describes it as "long non-coding RNA (MTRU_LNC006667)". The stretch from base 41767 to 41898 matches the Rfam family "MIR2599 microRNA precursor family". Lineage: Eukaryota; Viridiplantae; Streptophyta; Magnoliopsida; Fabales; Fabaceae. The record is from RNAcentral.